Molecule: long non-coding RNA, 106316 nt
Filed under: Volvox carteri
Lineage: Eukaryota; Viridiplantae; Chlorophyta; Chlorophyceae; Chlamydomonadales; Volvocaceae
Description: long non-coding RNA (VCAR_LNC000412)
Source: RNAcentral
UGAAAUACUGGGCAAAGCUGACCGAUGUAGCUCGAUGGCGGAAGGUCUGAAAGCGAAGGAACGGCGGCCAACAGCUUUUGAUCAACGCUCAGCCCUUUUAAGCCAAGGCUAGAUCGAGUCACAAUUUACUGAUUGGUUUCAGACAGAAUGAACCUGUCUGGCAGGCAGCAAGAAGAUUUGGCUGCUUUGAAAGCUAAAAAUAUUUUAUUUUCUACUUUCAGGGACGUUUGGGUUACGCCACAGGACCUGGUAGGUAUGAAUCGCAUUGUUAGAUUACUUUUCGUCCCAUGGACCCGUCAGCAGGGACGUACCCUAUAGGGUUUAGCUAAACGCGGGUAUCCUCGUUCCGUGAACGUUCAGUAAACGUUCCGUGAACGGUUACUCUCAACGGUCACAUUUUAGUGAACGUUCACUGAAUUUCAGCCAACGAGUACGAACGUCGUGGAGUACAGGGGCCCUAUGCUUGGUUUCCCAAAGCCCUGAAUUUCUUGCAUAUGCACAUGUGCAGAUUCAUGGUGAAGGUAGGCUGGGUAAAUCGUUGUGCUCUGCCAGGAGAGUGAACUCUGUCAAUGCAUCACGCGCCUCGUUUGCUGCCUUCAAGAAAACUGUACGGCUUACAAUAUAUUGCCGGUGGCACCACCAUAAUUAUGGUUAUAACCGCACCGGCGGCCAGUGGCUGAAGCUCCAACUGCUGCUCUGAGGCCUACUUGGUUUGGCAGGGUUUGGCAGGGCAGGGAAAAAGGGGAAUUAACUCCUGAACCGCGUACAGCAGUAUGGAUCCGGAGACGCGCAGUAGCAAGCUACAUUUACCUUAGAAUAUCUUUAAGCUAUUAAAGCUUAAUCACAGUAACAGUACAGUCCCGUAGUUACGAACCAUACUCGUUAACUGUACGAACUCACUUUCUGUUGCGCUAUCACAACCUAGCGUACGACACCAAGACUCCAGGAAUGGAGAUGGCGGCAGGUGGGCCGCAUCUAAGCCACCCAGGUGAAGUGCUUCGGCCAGACACUUUCGUAUCACUAUACCAGUGUUCGGAGUUCAAGACUCUGCUGUCACCAUUCUCGACGUAUGUCUUCGAACUCCGACUUCUCGUGUCUUUUCUCGCGCCUAACGCUGGGCCGUCAAUCGUGGUCGAGACCCUCCUCAUCCACGGCCUUACAUCUAAAGUCUUCCGCUAAAACAGCUAAGGUAAGAGACGGCUGUUACACGCGCUUGCUGUCCACAUGUGGUGUGUCAUGCUUACGUACUCCAGCUUCUACAAGGUCAUGAAUAUCAAUCAGAUCAGCUAACGUCUCAAUGAAGAGUCCAAACAGCUCCGUAGAUAAAGGACACCCUUGCUUCAUUCCUUGCUUAGACUCAAACUCUAGAGGAGAUCUCCUCCCUCUUUCUCAUCCACCUCCUGUACCUUUUCUCAGAGCAUCUAGCAUGAUAUACGUGUAUCUAUAUGCACGUAUAUAUACAUAUACGCAUGCACAUCUUGACUAUUUGACUGUGUGCAUCCCUGCCUCCCCUUUAGCUGUUUCCUGUUUCCCGCCAGGCAGAUGAUGAACAAGCCAAGGCUGCCAAGCAGCUUGCAAACAGUUUCGCUCGCUUAAAUAAUUGCAGGUAUAUAGAGUUAGUGCAUGUUAUCACUCGGGGAAAGACUUGGUCAUGGAUGGGUUUUCCAGUCAUGGAUUUGGUCAUGGAUGCGGUCAUGGAUCCGGCCAUAAUUUGCCAUCAAGUCAUGGAUUUGGUCAUGUAUGUGGUCAUGGAUCCGGUCAUAAUUUGUCAUUAAGUCAUGGAUCCGGUCAUGGAUCAGUUCAUAGUUUGCAUAAGCAAGUGCAGGAUAUGACUGGUUGGGGUCAUGAAAUGCGUGGUCAUGAUGUCAUUUAUGAUGGGAUUUAUGACAGGUCAUGGGACCGCAAUAUGACCGUAUUCAGUCAUGGCUGCACUUUAUGACCCCAUGAGGUCAUAAAGGUGGUCAUGUACCUGCUCAUAAAUAUGCGGAACAUGACCAGGUCAUAUUGUGCAUGGUAUUCCAUGAUGCAACAAUGCAGGCCAUGACCACCCUGGCCCAUGUUUUGCACUCAUUCCAUGAGUCGUACACUGCAUUCCAUGACCACCCUGGCCCAUGUUUUGCUUGGUUUACAUGACGCGUACACUGCAUUCCAUGACCACAUUGGCACAUGUUUUACAUUGUUUACAUGAGUCAUACACUGCACUCCAUGACCACCCCUGGCCCAUGUUUUGCGCACAUCCCAGAAGUUGUUCACUGUGGGCUUAUAAGUCAUGACCAGCAACCCAUCAAUAUGUGGGCUCCAGACUCCAAGUCUGCUAUCGCAAAUAAAUGUAUGUACUCCAACACUCCACACCGUUAAGGUGACAAACCUCAAUGUUUCAGUGGAUCAAUCAGGUAAAUCACCCACCAGUAGCAUCCUAUAAAGUAAGCCAGAUUACCUGCAGCUCAACUACAUUCCUGAACCACAACUGCCUUCCAUUAUCAAUAUCAUAACUAUGAACUUCACUCCUUGCAGGUCUCAAUCCGUAAACCUUCAGGGACUUAAGUGUGUGCCCUGGCAGCUUGUUUCACUGCAGCAAGCUCAGCCCGCAUCUGGUGAGCAGUGAUGGCGGUGCACCACAUGGUUUCAUGGUCAGGCAUCCCAUAUGCACCACCACCAGUGCCACCCGUCGCCAUGGUGUCCCCAUACUCUGCAAUGACAUCGUCAAGUCUCUCGCCAAUCAGGUCCUCCAGGUAGUCACCCUCUGGCUCACAACCAGCUGGCCCCAUAAUUGUUUUGCCAGCAAUCACAGCCGCUUCCGGUGCAGCCAUGGCCAUCUGAGCUGAGACCUGCUAGCAGAACAUCAAGAUGUGAGCAUAUGUAAGACCCAAAAUGCAUGAUACUGGUGCCCUGCGAUGUUCAGGAACCUACAAGCAACUGCAUGACAUGUGCCAUGGAUACAUCCACAAUGACAUGUCAUAAUACAUCAUACCCAUAACCCAUACCCCGCGUACCUGCUGCUGCUUCGGUGGCACCACUGUUCAUCUCACCCAUCAUGACGGCUGGGGCCGUGGCAGGGGUCUGGCAGGAUCCCUGCAAAUGCAGCAUAUGGGCCGAAUUGAUAUAGUCUGUUGGAAUAAUAGUUUAGCAGCUGGAGGGAUGCUCGGGGGGCCCUUCCUCGUCCAUUCACCCGGACAUCCGAAGAGACGGAGGGUUCAGAAAUCACCACCUUUCCAGCGUGCAACCUGAUCAAUCAACUUUAAAAUCAACUCCACAUCUCAGCAGCUAGCUUACCCUCGUUCCCCCGAACUUGGGGAUCUCCCCGGGAAUCCAACCCUGGAUCUUAAACCGCUAAACACAGUAGAGUCAGCCCAGAACUAUUUAACAACAUGUACUUACAGCUGCCUUGGCAUUCACAUAUGCCACUCGGAUGAUCGAUGCCAUGAUUGCCCGCUUCUUCUUUUCAAGGCACGCCUGGCUGAUCCUCCAGUACUCCAAUGCAGACUUGGACAGCACAUCUGCGUGUUAUACAAGGAGUUGUGCAGUUAUGUGGGGUUUCCAAGCAUGCAACUGCAGCUGCAAUAAAUGCCACACUUACAGUUUGUGUGGCAGUACACAAACUCGAUGGCAUCCUUCCACUUANNNNNNNNNNNNNNNNNNNNNNNNNNNNNNNNNNNNNNNNNNNNNNNNNNUCACCCACCAGUAGCAUCCUAUAAAGUAAGCCAGAUUACCUGCAGCUCAACUACAUUCCUGAACCACAACUGCCUUCCAUUAUCAAUAUCAUAACUAUGAACUUCACUCCUUGCAGGUCUCAAUCCGUAAACCUUCAGGGACUUAAGUGUGUGCCCUGGCAGCUUGUUUCACUGCAGCAAGCUCAGCCCGCAUCUGGUGAGCAGUGAUGGCGGUGCACCACAUGGUUUCAUGGUCAGGCAUCCCAUAUGCACCACCACCAGUGCCACCCGUCGCCAUGGUGUCCCCAUACUCUGCAAUGACAUCGUCAAGUCUCUCGCCAAUCAGGUCCUCCAGGUAGUCACCCUCUGGCUCACAACCAGCUGGCCCCAUAAUUGUUUUGCCAGCAAUCACAGCCGCUUCCGGUGCAGCCAUGGCCAUCUGAGCUGAGACCUGCUAGCAGAACAUCAAGAUGUGAGCAUAUGUAAGACCCAAAAUGCAUGAUACUGGUGCCCUGCGAUGUUCAGGAACCUACAAGCAACUGCAUGACAUGUGCCAUGGAUACAUCCACAAUGACAUGUCAUAAUACAUCAUACCCAUAACCCAUACCCCGCGUACCUGCUGCUGCUUCGGUGGCACCACUGUUCAUCUCACCCAUCAUGACGGCUGGGGCCGUGGCAGGGGUCUGGCAGGAUCCCUGCAAAUGCAGCAUAUGGGCCGAAUUGAUAUAGUCUGUUGGAAUAAUAGUUUAGCAGCUGGAGGGAUGCUCGGGGGGCCCUUCCUCGUCCAUUCACCCGGACAUCCGAAGAGACGGAGGGUUCAGAAAUCACCACCUUACCAGCGUGCAACCUGAUCAAUCAACUUUAAAAUCAACUCCACAUCUCAGCAGCUAGCUUACCCUCGUUCCCCCGAACUUGGGGAUCUCCCCGGGAAUCCAACCCAGGAUCUUAAACCGCUAAACACAGUAGAGUCAGCCCAGAACUAUUUAACAACAUGUACUUACAGCUGCCUUGGCAUUCACAUAUGCCACUCGGAUGAUCGAUGCCAUGAUUGCCCGCUUCUUCUUUUCAAGGCACGCCUGGCUGAUCCUCCAGUACUCCAAUGCAGACUUGGACAGCACAUCUGCGUGUUAUACAAGGAGUUGUGCAGUUAUGUGGGGUUUCCAAGCAUGCAACUGCAGCUGCAAUAAAUGCCACACUUACAGUUUGUGUGGCAGUACACAAACUCGAUGGCAUCCUUCCACUUACUCUGUGCAGAAGCCGAUGUACAGUGGUGCCUUGAUGGACAGAGGCAGGUUCGAUGCCUUGAUUGUGGCCUGCAAGCAAGUCAGUGCUUCAUGAGUGUGUAGUGACAAGUUGUGCUGCUGUUAGGGGCCUUACCCGGCAGAACCUCUCAUUGAAGUUGUGUUGGACAACUUCAUCCAUGACUUUAUUAACCUCUGCAACAAAAUCCCGGUCCCAGGCAUCCCGCUGCUUGCGUCCCUCGGCGAGUAUGUCAUCCUUGCUCUUCUUGCUUGAUUUUAAGUUUGCACUUCUCUCUCCUGGGAAGCUGUGGGGUUCCAAGGGAAGAAGGAACAAGGCAAUUCCCAGGUUGUCAUGCUUAUGCUUUUAAGGGCAACAACAGCAGCUUUAAACCAGCCAUCUUGGCAAAAAAGAAAAGAAAAUUCAGUGCAUUUCAGUUAGAAAGGGCUAAGCAGAUUGAAGUCGGCAGCUGGCUGGGAACCACAUUUAAAUGCCAUUGUUGACGGCAGGUCAACGAACACACCUGUUCCCGUGGGAAGCUCCUUCACACCGAAUGUGUCAUAGAAUAUGACAUGUUGCAGAAGACAAUCCUCUGUAAGGGCACCCGCAAGGGCUUUUGAUACUUCGUCGCCAUUGGAGGUGAGGACCGAGUUCAUUAUCAGGGUCCGCUGGGCUGCAAAGUGCUGGAGGUAACCGACAGGCUUCAACGUGACAUUGGCCCGUCUAAUAAGAAGUGCGGAAUGCUGCACCGCCGACAUUCUGCGCAAGCUCGCAGUCAAAGGAAAGUCGAUGACUUUGGCUGUCGUCUGUUUGGUCAAAGAGUAUGAGUAUAUUAAGUAAGAAUUACAUGUAUUUGGCACAGUUAAGUGCCAGACACUGUAAUGCCUUUCCGAUUUGCAGCUCCAUGACAGGUACAACUUGCACUGAUGGAUCCAGGAUUCACACAUGCAAGCGCAAGGGCAUCUUUUACUGUCAUUAUUCGAUCUCAAAAUCUAUGCAAUUCCAUGAGUAUAAUGGAUUUGUGUUCAUACGUGUGGUGUCCGUUGCCUCUCGGACAUCUGAUGUCGGGCUUUGCAGAACCAUUGAUCCCUCCCACAGGCGCCUGUUCCUUCACAUAUGGUACUGAGUAAUGGCUCAAUCUUAUAUCAGUCCGUAUUGGAGCUGCUUUCCGAUCGACACAGCAUUUCAGUGUCAAAACACUGAUUUCCGCCAUCACUCCACAUCAUGCCAUGGCAUGGAUGAUGGCGGAAGUGCUGUGGUGGUUUUGGUAGCGUUCAGUUUUGGUGACGGUGGCAUUGGUGAUGGCGGGGAUGGUGAUGGGAGCCUGGGAUGCUGUUUUGCCAUCCCCAGACUGCGGCCAUGGUGACAUUGAAGCGAAUGCGUCGCCUAGGUUGCGGGGGCCCCCCGUCAUACCCUUAAACACGCCCUCCUAACCAUUCCGCCCCGCCGUGUUUUCCCCCUUUCCCCCCUCGUUUUGCCAUCCCCGGACUGCGGCCAUGGUGACGUUCAAAUGAAUGCGUCGCCUAGNNNNNNNNNNNNNNNNNNNNNNNNNNNNNNNNNNNNNNNNNNNNNNNNNNNNNNNNNNNNNNNNNNNNNNNNNNNNNNNNNNNNNNNNNNNNNNNNNNNNNNNNNNNNNNNNNNNNNNNNNNNNNNNNNNNNNNNNNNNNGCGGCGGGAAAUAGCAACACAGCAGCAGCGGCAGCGACGUUGAAGGGGCUUGGAGGUGCAGUAGCCUAAAUGGCAGGCGUGGCAGCGGCAGGAAAUAGCAACAGCAGCAGGCGCAGCGGCGGCGGGAAUGAGCAACGGAGUAGCAGCAGCAGUGACGGCGGUGGGGUUGGGAGGUGCAGUAGCCUGAAUGGCAGGCACGGCGGCGGGGGGAAAUAGCAACACAGCAGCAGCGGCAGCGACAGUGAAGGGGCUGGGAGGUGCAGUAGCCUAAACGGCAGGCGCGGCAGCGGUGGGAAAUAGCAACAGCAGCAGCACGGCGGCCGCAGGAAUUAGCAACGGAGUAGCAGUGGCCGCGAUGAAGGUGGGGCUGGGAGGUGCAGUAGCCUAAACGGCAGGCAUGGCGGCGGGGGGAAAUAGCAACACAGCAGCAGCGGCAGCGACGGUGUUGGGGCUGGGAGGUGCAGUAGCCUAAACGGCAGGCGCGGCGGCGGCAGGAAUUAGCAACGCAGCAGCAGCAGCAGCGACGGCGGUGGGGUUGGGAGGUGCAGUAGCCUAAACUGCAGGCGUGGCGGCGGCGGGAAAUAGCAACGCAACAGCAGCAGCAGCGACGAAGGUGGGGCUGGGAGGGCCAUUACUCUCAACAGCAGGCGCGGCGGCGGGGGGAAUCAGCAACGCAGCAGCAGCGGCAGCGACGGCGGUGGGGUUGGGAGAUACAUUAGUCUGAACAACAGGNNNNNNNNNNNNNNNNNNNNNNNNNNNNNNNNNNNNNNNNNNNNNNNNNNCGGGGGCCCCCGUCAUGCCGUUAAACACGCCCUCCUAACCAAUCCACCCCGCCGCAUUUUCCCCCUUUCCCCCCUCGUUUUGCCAUCCCCCGACUGCGGCCAUGGUGACGUUCAAAUGAAUGCGUCGCCUAGGUUGCAGGGGGCCCCCGUCAUGCCGUUAAACACGCCCACCUAACCAAUCCACCCCGCCGCAUUUUCCCCCUUUCCCCCCUCGUUUUGCCAUCCCCCGACUGCGGCCAUGGUGACAUUCAAACGAAUGCGUCGCCUAGGUUGCAGGGGCCCCCCGUCAUGCCCUGAAACACACCCUCCUAACCAUUCCACCCCGCCGCGUUUUCCCCCUUUCCCCCUCGUUUUGACAUCCACGGACUGUGGCCAUGGUGACGUUCAAAUGAAUGCGUCGCCUAGGUUGCAGGGGGCCCCCGUCAUACCCUUAAAUCGCCCUCCUAACCAUUCAGCUCCGCCACGUUUUACCCCUUUCCCCCCUCGUUUUGCCAUCCCCCGACUAAGGCCAUGAUGACGUUCAAACGGUGUCAGAAGUAGGCUGGGCAGGGAGGGUGUGCACAUGGGAUGUGCCUGGCAUGCACCUUGAUGGGCCAGCAGCCUUGUACAGGCUGUGCACCCCAUCUGGUAGCGCUGGGUUGACCAGGUGUGCAUGGUGCAGGUGGCGAGCCAGCGCCUCCAUACAGGCGUAUGUUCCUCUGCCCCUGCAUUCUGGCAUCCUGUUGUUGUUGGAGGGGUUGCGCUGUGUGGCUGUAAUGUGUCAGAAGUACAGGCGCGGAGGCGGCGGGAAUAAGCAACGGAGUAGCAGCGGCAGCGACGGCGAAGGGGCUGGGAGGUGCAGUAGCCUAAACGGCAGGCGUGGCAGCGGCGGGAAAUAGCAACAGCAGCAGGCGCGGCGGCGGCGGGAAUUAGCAGCGGAGUAGCAGCGGCAGUGACGAAGGUGGGGCUGGGAGGUGCAGUAGCCUAAACGGCAGGCGCGGCGGCGGCGGGAAAUAGCAACACAGCAGCAGCGGCAGCGAUGGCGAAGGGGCUUGGAGGUGCAGUAGCCUAAAUGGCAGGCGCGGCGGCGGCGGGAAAUAGCAACACAGCAGCAGCGGCAGCGACGGCGAAGGGGCUUGGAGGUGCAGUAGCCUAAAUGGCAGGCGCGGCAGCGGCAGGAAAUAGCAACAGCAGCAGGCGCAGCGGCGGCGGGAAUGAGCAACGGAGUAGCAGCAGCAGUGACGGCGGUGGGGUUGGGAGGUGCAGUAGCCUGAACGGCAGGCACGGCGGCGGGGGGAAAUAGCAACACAGCAGCAGCGGCAGCGACAGUGAAGGGGCUGGGAGGUGCAGUAGCCUAAACGGCAGGCGCGGCAGCGGUGGGAAAUAGCAACAGCAGCAGCACGGCGGCCGCAGGAAUUAGCAACGGAGUAGCAGUGGCCGCGAUGAAGGUGGGGCUGGGAGGUGCAGUAGCCUAAACGGCAGGCGUGAUAGCGGCGGGAAUUAGCAACGGAGUAGCAACGGCAGCGACAGCGGUGGGGUUGGGAGGUGCAGUUGCCUAAACGGCAGGCGUGGCGGCGGCGGGAAUUAGCAACGGAGUAGCAGCGGCAGCGACGAAGGUGGGGCUGGGAGGUGCAAUUGUCUGAACAACAGGCGCGGCGGCGGCGGGAAAUAGCAACAGCAGCAGGCGCGGCGGCGGCGGGAUUAGCAACGGAGUAGCAGCGGCAGCGACGGUGAAGGGGCUGGGAGGUGCAUUAGUCUGAACAACAGGCGCGGCGGCGGCGGGAAAUAGCAACAGCAGCAGGCGCGGCGGCGGCGGGAAUAAGCAACGCAACAGCAGCAGCAGCGACGAAGGUGGGGCUUGGAGGGCCAUUACUCUCAACAGCAGGCGCGGCGGCGGGGGGAAUCAGCAACGCAGCAGCAGCGGCAGCGACGGCGGUGGGGUUGGGAGAUACAUUAGUCUGAACAACAGGCGCGGCGGCGGCGGGAAAUAGCAACAGCAGCAGGUGCGGCGGCGGCGGGAAUUAGCAACGGAGUAGCAGCGGCAGCGACGAAGGUGGGGCUGGGAGGUGCAUUAGUCUGCACAAUAGGCGCGGCGGCGGUGGGAAAUAGCAACAGCAGCAGGUGCGGCGGUGGCGGGAAAUAGCAACGCAGCAGCAGCAGGAUCGACGGCGUUGGGGCUGGGAGGUGCAUUAGCCUGAACAACAGGCGCGGCGGUGGCGGGAAAUAGCAACAGCAGCAGGCGCGGCGGCGGCGGGCAUUAGGAACGGAGUAGCAGCGGCAGCGACGAUGAAGGGGCUGGGAGGUGCAUUAGUCUCGACAGAAGGCGCGGCGGCGGCGGGAACUAGCAACGGAGUAGCAGCGGCGGCGAUGGCAGUGUGGCUGGGAGGUGCAGUAGCCUAAACGGCAGGCGCGGCGGCGGCGGGAAUUAGCAACGCAGCAGCAGCGGCAGUGACGGCGGUGGGGCUGGGAGGUACCAGAUGGUGCCAUUUGCACAGCAAUCACAUAGUGCUAAACGCAGUGACGUUUCUUAUUGGUGCUGCAAAUUGUCCACGUUCACAUAACUUCUGGGCAGCAAGAGGGGAAAAGCCGUACAAUUCCGGACCCUGGUCCGGAAGUGUACAGCAUGGUAUGAAGUUCACAUGGCUGCAAAUUCAAAUCUGGGAAGUUGUUUCGUGGCUACCGAACUUUGUUGAUUGCAUCAUUUAAAUCCUGGCCAGAACCUGCCAUAGAAUAGGAUGCUCUUUUGUCAUGGCGGGACCAAAUGCUUGCUUGCGUAGAAGCAUUAGAAGCUCGACGAUUGAUGCAAACGUGAAUGUUCUGGUACUCCUACACAUUGUGAUCAUUCUUACUGGUCACAUUAGCCAGUUUGCCAUGUCAUUGAAUGCGCUGGAGGUGGCAUCCAAACCACGAAAGAUCAUUUACAGACCGGAUGUUGCUCCGGACUCCUCCCAGCCUUUUAACUGCACCAACUGUGCCAACUGGUUUGGUAGUCGGUCACAUGCAUAUCGGCACCAGUGCAAAGACAGGGGGUGGAGUAUGGCCGCCGCCGCGCCUGCGGUUAAGACUAAUGCACCUCCCACAUGUUUUAGCUAGUUACAUCAACAAUGCUGUGCUGUNNNNNNNNNNNNNNNNNNNNNNNNNNNNNNNNNNNNNNNNNNNNNNNNNNCGGAGUAGCAGCGGCAGCGACGAAGGUGGGGCUGGGAGGUGCAUUAGUCUGCACAAUAGGCGCGGCGGCGGUGGGAAAUAGCAACAGCAGCAGGUGCGGCGGUGGCGGGAAAUAGCAACGCAGCAGCAGCAGGAUCGACGGCGUUGGGGCUGGGAGGUGCAUUAGCCUGAACAACAGGCGCGGCGGUGGCGGGAAAUAGCAACAGCAGCAGGCGCGGCGGCGGCGGGCAUUAGGAACGGAGUAGCAGCGGCAGCGACGAUGAAGGGGCUGGGAGGUGCAUUAGUCUCGACAGAAGGCGCGGCGGCGGCGGGAACUAGCAACGGAGUAGCAGCGGCGGCGAUGGCAGUGUGGCUGGGAGGUGCAGUAGCCUAAACGGCAGGCGCGGCGGCGGCGGGAAUUAGCAACGCAGCAGCAGCGGCAGUGACGGCGGUGGGGCUGGGAGGUACCAGAUGGUGCCAUUUGCACAGCAAUCACAUAGUGCUAAACGCAGUGACGUUUCUUAUUGGUGCUGCAAAUUGUCCACGUUCACAUAACUUCUGGGCAGCAAGAGGGGAAAAGCCGUACAAUUCCGGACCCUGGUCCGGAAGUGUACAGCAUGGUAUGAAGUUCACAUGGCUGCAAAUUCAAAUCUGGGAAGUUGUUUCGUGGCUACCGAACUUUGUUGAUUGCAUCAUUUAAAUCCUGGCCAGAACCUGCCAUAGAAUAGGAUGCUCUUUUGUCAUGGCGGGACCAAAUGCUUGCUUGCGUAGAAGCAUUAGAAGCUCGACGAUUGAUGCAAACGUGAAUGUUCUGGUACUCCUACACAUUGUGAUCAUUCUUACUGGUCACAUUAGCCAGUUUGCCAUGUCAUUGAAUGCGCUGGAGGUGGCAUCCAAACCACGAAAGAUCAUUUACAGACCGGAUGUUGCUCCGGACUCCUCCCAGCCUUUUAACUGCACCAACUGUGCCAACUGGUUUGGUAGUCGGUCACAUGCAUAUCGGCACCAGUGCAAAGACAGGGGGUGGAGUAUGGCCGCCGCCGCGCCUGCGGUUAAGACUAAUGCACCUCCCACAUGUUUUAGCUAGUUACAUCAACAAUGCUGUGCCUGUGGGACGGUGCGAGCUGGUGACUUAACUUGUCAUGCUUGAACACAGCAGGAGAGAAUCUUUGCUAAUUAAACCUUAAAUACAUGCCUUAAGUAUGUAACAUAUGGCUUCAAAUUAACAACAGGGUGUAAGGGAGCUGACCGAGUAAGGCUUGGCAACAGGCCAAAAGGAAGUUGCCCUGCUAGCUGGCAUAUACUGAUCUUUUGCGUUGGAUAAGUGCAGCUAAGCCUAAGGGCUUUGUUUACGGCCGCGCCUGAAUGCAUAUCAAGUCACUGCAAGUGGCUGAAACGAAGGUAAUUCAAGUGCACUCCAGAAUCCCGGCAGGGAUGCUGUAUAGUACAUUAGCAACGGAGUAGCAGCGGUAAUAUACUAUGCAGCAUUUCGGAAGGGAUUCCGGAGUCCAUAUGGCAUAUAAUUGUCAUUUUUUAGAAAGGAACAAAACAUGAACACAUAGCCAGCAUAUGACCAUUGGGAACAUGACUGAAUUUCAACAUAUGAGUGGCGAUUCAUGAUCAGUCAUGCUGCACAAGGAGCAUGACAACUGUCAUGACCAUGACUCUGCCUCAUGACCGGUAACAUGACCGGUCAUGAGGCCUCAUGAGUGGUCAUGAGGCAACAUGACCAGAUCUAUGACAGGAAACCCCCCGCAUGACCACAUCCAUGACCAAGUCGUUCCCCGAGCAUAUAUGCUAUGCUAUGCUAUGCUAUGCUAUGCUAUGCUAUGCUAUGCUAUGCUAUGCUAUGCUAUGCUAUGCUAUGCUAUGCUAUGCUAUGCUAUGCUAUGCUAUGCUAUGCUAUGCUAUGCUAUGCUAUGCUAUGCUAUGCUAUGCUAUGCUAUGCUAUGCUAUGCUAUGCUAUGCUAUGCUAUGCUAUGCUAUGCUAUGUUAUGUAUGCUUUGCUGCGCUAUGCUAUGCUAUGCUAUGCUAUGCUAUGCAAUCUGUAAGCAUAUGCCGUCCGCAAGCAUAUGUGGUCUGCAAGCAUAUGCAGUCUGCAAGCAUAUGCAGUCUGCAAGCAUAUGCAAUCUGCAAGCAUAUGCCGUCUGCAGGCAUAUGCAGUCUGCAAGCAUAUGCAAUCUGUAUGCUUUGCUGCGCUGCACUAUGCUAUGCUAUGCUAUGCUAUGCAAUCUGCAAGCAUAUGCCGUCUGCAAGCAUAUGCAGUCUGCAAGCAUAUGCAAUCUGCAAGCAUAUGCAGUCUGCAGGCAUAUGCAGUCUGCAAGCAUAUGCANNNNNNNNNNNNNNNNNNNNNNNNNNNNNNNNNNNNNNNNNNNNNNNNNNAGGCCAAAAGGAAGUUGCCCUGCUAGCUGGCAUAUACUGAUCUUUUGCGUUGGAUAAGUGCAGCUAAGCCUAAGGGCUUUGUUUACGGCCGCGCCUGAAUGCAUAUCAAGUCACUGCAAGUGGCUGAAACGAAGGUAAUUCAAGUGCACUCCAGAAUCCCGGCAGGGAUGCUGUAUAGUACAUUGUGCACAUUGUUAUAGAGGUAAUAUACUAUGCAGCAUUUCGGAAGGGAUUCCGGAGUCCAUAUGGCAUAUAAUUGUCAUUUUUUAGAAAGGAACAAAACAUGAACACAUAGCCAGCAUAUGACCAUUGGGAACAUGACUGAAUUUCAACAUAUGAGUGGCGAUUCAUGAUCAGUCAUGCUGCACAAGGAGCAUGACAACUGUCAUGACCAUGACUCUGCCUCAUGACCGGUAACAUGACCGGUCAUGAGGCCUCAUGAGUGGUCAUGAGGCAACAUGACCAGAUCUAUGACAGGAAACCCCCCGCAUGACCACAUCCAUGACCAAGUCGUUCCCCGAGUGUAUUAGUUGCCAACAAUGGUGGCUAAUCCGACUGCGGCCACAAAGGGCAGGUCUGUCACCACCAAUGCUGCUUCACUGUUGAACUCCAGCCAGACCCCCAGCACUGAUCGGCUGAGGAAGUCCGGGGAGCUCAGCCCCGCACGUGAGGCUGCUACCGAGGAGCUGACUGUGAAGUUAGUCAUGCCGGGGCAGGUGUACGUUGGAGAGGUGUCCUUGGAGGCCUCAAAGAUAGGCACGACUACUGUAGCCUGGGGCAUGCAAGGAGUGAUAAAUCAUAUACAUAUAUAUGUCAAUAGACUUGUUGCAUUCAGGGAAGGAAGUUGGUAUUCGAACAAUAUACAGAGGCAGGUGGUUGGCAAAGAUUAAGCCCUGACUUCUGCUACCGGCUGACCUGGGUUCAAAUCCGCCUGCUGGCUCCUCGGGUGUUUGAAUUGUGAUGAAAUGGGAGGUGGCCCCCCAUCACAUGGACGAUGUAUUUCGUGAUAAAAUUAAUUUGCGAGCUAACAAGGAACUAAGUUGAUCCGCUAGAUUUGGUUGGAUGCUGGUGGUGAGUUGCCGAACCCAACGAAUACAUUCUGAAGUCGGAUGGGGUGACGGAUUAGGGUGCCCCUCUAGUAAGGGAGAGCAGGGAACUGCCCCGGGAAAGGGGGCCGCUGGCGAAGUUAACCACCCUGUAACAACAUACAUACAGAUCGGAGCGGUGACAUGUACACCCUUGUUGUGAACACACAUUCAUGCACCUAAUGGAUGGCCAGCAGCCGCCGACACAUGCACGCAAACCUUCAGCACCCACCGUGCUGCCGGAUCCUCCGCCUGACAGCAGCAGCUUGACACUGGUUAUCAGCGGGUCCAGGACUCCCCGGUUGAGCAGGAAUAACCCCACUGCCCGGACCUGGGAGGCACUGGUGGCUGGAAAGGUCACCUGCAACAGCCGCUGGGAGGCCUGCGGGCAGGAGGGUGUGGACACAUUGAAUUUUGACAAAGGUGCCCCCCAGCAGGAUAUUGAACAUAUUCCUGUACACCGUCCACCAGGGUGCUUGCUUCCCCUACGAACGCGGAGGGGGGUUAAGAACGUUCUUAAGUCGUUCUUAGCCCAGCCAAAUUGAUAAAAUUGAAUAAUCAUUAGAACGUUCUUACACUGCUCUAAGAACGUUCUAAGAACGUUCGUAUGACCUCCGUUUCUCUUAAAACCGUUCUUUCAAAUUCUUAAGCAUUCUUCAGGCCCCAGCAGUCUUACGUAUUCUCUUCCAUUCUUUGGGGUGUUCUUAUACGUUCUUAGGCCAACUUAUUGAUUCUUUGUCUAAAGCAUACUAAGCUGCUCUUUGGCCGGUUUUAACCGUUCUUACCAUAGGUUCGCUAAGUAUGGCACUCAUUCUUAAGUCAUAUUCUCAGGAAAUUCUUUUUGCUGCUUACAUUCUUAAGCCUUAAAAAUGUGGGAUUCUUAAGGGGUGGUCAUGAAAAAGCCAUUCAGUCACAUGUAACGACCUCUGCUUUCUCACCUAUACUUCUGUUGACAAUCGCCCUUUCCUGGUGUCUGCAGACCACUUGGGAAAUCUCAUAUUAAAUUUUUCAAAUUGUGUGUUUUCCGCUAGGAUCGAACCUAAGACUACGAACCUUUUGUGAUGAAUUUAUCACUAAACCUAUGCUUUUAGAAAAGACAACCUUAAGAUGCUAAAGUUUCGCAAGACACCUGUAUCUUCUAUGCUGAAACGUGUGCGUAUACUGUGAGCUGCGCCAAGUGCCGUACACGAACAUAUGUGCGUGUACGACAAACAACUCAACACCUGUUCAGCAACUCAACUAUCAGCCCUGGCCCCUGUACAAAAAACUGGCGUGCAGCCUGGCAUGGCCACGCAGUCCACUGCCCAACACCAUCCCUGGCUGCUGCAGCUGCAUGAAAAACAAGAGGCGCCCCGAGGCCACUGCCAUGUUUAGCUGAAUCCAAAUGGAAGCAUCCUUGCUUGCCAUGGAGAGGCUGGCCGACUCAUGUGUUUUCUACAAGCCCCCACAAGAAGAGUUUGGGGCUACUGAAACUGUAGCAGUCGCUCACCUGGGUGGACGACUGGCUUUGCGGAAGCGUGGAAUUUAGAGUCCUUGCUGAGGCAGGAAGAAGUCCAACCCAUCGAUAAGCACUAGCAUACAUAGACCCGUACGAAACAAUCUGAGAUGGCGGCAGCGGAGUCUUGAACUCUGAACACCAAGUAGUCGUGAUACUUAAGUGCCUCACCAUAGCACCCCGCCCAGGUAGCUUACAUCUCGGCCUACCUGCCGGAGAUUCCCUACUACGUUCCUGCCGUGCUAGGAUACUGUCGGUGUAUCCUCCGGUGGCAGGGUGGUACAGGAGGGUACCCUCCGGUGGCAAGGUGUUACAGGAGGGUAUCCUCCGGUGGCAGGUUGGUACAGGAGGGUACCCUCCGGUGGCAGGGUGGUACAGGAGGGUAUCCUCCGGUGGCAGGGUGGUACAGGAGGGUACCCUCCGGUGGCAAGGUGGUACAGGAGGGUAUCCUCCGGUGGCAAGGUGGUACAGGAGGGUAUCCUCCGGUGGCAGGGUGGUACAGGAGGGUAUCCUCCAGUGGCAGGGUGAUACAGGAGGGUACCCGCCGGUGGCAAGGUGGUACAGGAGGGUAUCCUCCGGUGGCAAGAAGGUAAAAGAGGGUACCCUCCGGUGGCAGGGUGGUACAGGAGGGUAUCCUCCGGUGGCAGGGUGGUACAGGAGGGUACCCUCCGGUGGCAGGAUGGUACAGGAGGGUAUCCUCCGGUGCCACCCCUUUGACACCGAAGGUUCUCCCCAAAGGGGAGGAAGCUUAUCCCUUACGGUGUAUCUCCCAUGUCCCUUGGGUGUCCCUUGGGUGUCCCUUCCACGUGUCCUUUGGUGUCCCUUGGGUGUCUCUUCCAUGUCCCUUUGGUGUCUCUUCCCUGUCUUUCAGGUGUCCCUUGGGUGUCCCUUGGGUGUCUCUUCCAUGUCCCUUUGGUGUCUCUUCCCUGUCUUUUGGGUGUCCCUUGGGUGUCCCUUGGGUGUCCCUUCCAUGUCCCUUUGGUGUCUCUUCCCUGUCUUUUCGGAGUCCCUUGGGUGUCCCUUGGGUGUCCCUUCCAUGUGUCCUUUGGUGUCUCUUCCGUGUCCCUUCCAUAUGUCCUUUGGAGUCCCUUGGGCGUCCCUUCCAUGUCCCUUUGGUGUCUCUUCCCUGUCUUUUGGGUGUCCCUUGGGUGUCCCUUGGGCGUCCCUUGGGUAUCCUUUGGUGCCCUUGGGUGUCCCUCCCGUGUCCCUUGGGUGCCCCUUGGGUGCCCCUUGGGUGUCCUUUGGGUGUCCCUUGGGUGUCCCUUCCACGUGUCCUUUGGUGUCCCUUGGGUGUCCCUUCCCACAUGUCCUUUGGUGUCCCUUGGGUGUCUCUUCCAUGUCCCUUUGGUGUCUCUUCCCUGUCUUUCGGGUGUCCCUUGGGUGUCCCUUGGGUGUCUCUUCCAUGUCCCUUUGGUGUCUCUUCCAUGUCUUUUGGGAGUCCCUUGGGUGUCCCUUCCACAUGUCCUUUGGAGUCCCUUUGGUGUCUCUUCCAUGUCCUAUUGGUGUCUCUUCCCUGUCUUUCGGGUGUCCCUUGGGUGUCCCUUGGGUGUCUCUUCCAUGUCCCUUUGGUGUCUCUUCCAUGUCUUUUGGGAGUCCCUUGGGUGUCCCUUCCACAUGUCCUUUGGAGUCCCUUUGGUGUCUCUUCCAUGUCCUAUUGGUGUCUCUUCCCUGUCUUUCGGGUGUCCCUUGGGUGUCCCUUGGAUGUCUCUUCCAUGUCCCUUUGGUGUCUCUUCCAUGUCCCUUGGGUGUCCCUUCCACGUGUCCCUUUGGUGUCCCUUUGGUGCCCUUGGGUAUCCCUCCCGUGCCCCUUGGGUAUCCCUCCCGUGCCCCUUGGGUGUCCCCUGGGCCCCUUGGGCGUUCCUUGGGUGUCCCUUGCAAGGGACACCCAAUUGUGUGUCCCUUCCAUGUCCCUUUGGUGUCUCUUCCAUGUCCUUUUGAUGUCGCUUCCCUGUCUUUUGGGUGUCCCUUGGGUGUCCCUUGAGUGCUGGAGACCGAAUUUACCAAAACCUUCAUUGACAGCUGCACCUGGCUAAUUAUUAACCACCAAGCGUCCCCUUGGUGGCAGAAUGCUCAGUCAGGAUGCAGUGGAGGGUCGAGCACAGGAUACGGAUAGGAAGGAGAAAGGAUAGAAAUGUGGACCCAGGAAGAGUCAACACCAACCCACCAAGGAUGAGGAUGGCAGAGGAUGAGGGGAUGCAGUCAGCAGGGUGUGGGAUGUUAGCAAGCAUUGGCUUGAGGAUUUGGAAAGGGGGUGUAGGAUGUAUCCGACUGGAUGCAUGUUCAUGCAUCCUGCAGCUGCCAAGACUCCCCAAGAAUGCAAGGAUGGGCCGCCAAUUUGACACCCUCCAUCAGUGUACACUGAUGUAUAUGCAGUGUGACCCACUAGAUAUUCAUGGUGAUUGAUAGGGGAUUUAAUUAUUGGCUACAUUGGUGUAGCCAUAGAUGUAGCCAUAGAUAUCUAUGAACUCGCUAAUCCUAAUUAGACCUGUUAGAUCUCGCAUUAUUAGAUCUAAGGUCUAGACCCAGACACAUGUUGAUGGUUUUCAUGAAAUUUCAUGGUAAUUUCACUGUUUCACAAUCACUGUGAUAUAUUACCUAUCCGGGAACUAUAAGAGCUCCAUCAGGCAUUCAUUACAGAAUGUUUUCAUGGCUGAUGCAUUCUUAAUGCAUACUUAUAUGACAUACUUACAUAAAACCGCUUAAUCCCAGUGUAAGAAUGUUUAAGAAUGCACACCCGCCGCCUCCGUGUUCUUCCGACAUUCUUAUCGUUCUUAAGCAUUCUCCUAAGUUUCUUAACCCCCCUCCGCGUUUGUAGGGUUCUUUUAACUGAAGGCCCUCGAGCUGCUUGUAAUAUGCCUUUGGUGUCAAUUUCUUGCCACCAUGCACACCAUGUACGUGUGCCUGUCUCCGCUCUGGACUCUUUGGUGGUGUUUUCCUUCCUCGGCGGCAGCUGGCUGGCUUGUGCCACAAGCGCUUGGUUCAGCCAUCAUUACCUAGGCAGCAAGAGCUUCAACUGCUACUGUAAUCACGCAUUUCAUGCACGAGUCAGCCAUCAUCUGAAGUUCGAUCACUCUGGGAAAAAGGGGGCUCAAACUUCCAUGAAAUAUGGCUUCGAAUUCCUUUUCCAUAGACUUAGGCCUCAUUUCUUCCAUGAAAUGACACAUCCUUUUCCUGAUUCUUCCACAAGAAUAUGAAAUGAUGUUAUGGAAGGCUACCGGAAUCCAUAAAUAUUGCUUCCUAUCAGUCACCAAAAAGGCGGAUGGUGUCUGUCCCAAUUCAGUUAAUCAAUGAGACACCACAUCGCGCUCCUAGGAGGGUGAGGCCUCACCCAGGAACCAAGCCCUGGACCUUCACGGCACUACUAGGAAGAGACACCAGACGUCAGCAGUAGGCUAGCCCAAAGGUUUAAAAAGGAAAAUCAUCUCAUCUCAAUCUCAUUAGAUCAUUAGUUCUAGUUAGAUUGGUGAUGGGGGCCCAACUACCUAGUGUAAGAAGGGUUCAGCUCCCUUGGCAUCUCCCUGAGUACUCUUUGCCUGGUGUUACACCUAGUGGGGGCCCAACUACCUACUAGGUAGUUGGCUGUUAUAAGAGCCGGGACACGGGGGUUCACUCCUGCAGCGCAACUUGCUGCAGCUGCACAACUUGUCCGUGGCCACAUGGAUAGACUCUGGAUAGACCGUGGAUAGACCGUGGGUGGAACUGUUAUCUUCAGACACGGUCUGCAGACUGUGACAGCUGUGCAACAAGUCCUUACCACAAGCACCAUUUAUCAAUUAUGCCAGAUAUGAUGGAAAUCAGCUCAGUGUUUACCCCUGUUGCGUUCAUGUAUGUACAUUAGAUAGGUAGAGCCCUUUGAUGAGUAGAUACCCACCUUGCGUGAUGCUGGCGCCCAUGCCAAGGAUGCAGUGGGUCGGGUGCACUCGGUGAUUCCGAGCACUGCAGUGUUGGGCGGACCCACCACCUUCUUGGCUUGCUCAGGGUUCUGCUUUAUCAUUAACAUCCAUGCACAUGCGUUGCCAGUCGGCCGGCCGGCCGGCCGGCGGGCAGGCAGGCAGGGCAGAGAUUAAAAAUAUGGAUGGGAUUUGCUGUAAUAGCUGGCCGCUGGAAGCGGCUCUUGUAGCAGCCGGUACACAGUACGGUGCUAUAAAUACGCGCAGAGCGCGACCGCCAGCAACUCGAGAGACCUUUUCAGCGGUCGGCUGCUACAGCUCUCAAGACGUUGGCAGGGUGCUUUUAACGCGCAUAAUGGCUUCAUACCCACUAAUGUAAGUAUAACAGCUACUAGAUUCCUACCUUCCUCUACCUCGGGCCCUUAUGGCCACAUUAUUAUUGGCCUUUUAUCCGCAGACCACCUGCUUUCGGCAGCAGCAGGGCCCUAACUCACACCACGUCAUGCCCACGUCAUGCGCCCUUUGGUUUCCACGUGCAGCGUCGUCACAAUCAGCAAAAGCUACUCUUUACAUUCUGACAAUCAGAUCGUGCCAAGAAUCGUCAUGAUGGUGACCUAGCCAUCCCCUACUGCAAUUAUGUGUAAUAAUGUCUAACAUGUAGAGGAGGUUGAACCGGCACCUUGAACCUAAAUAUGUAUAUACGUUAUCCAAAGUCUCAUACCAUUUGUUGAAGCUGCGCCUAAAAGGGCCUCCCGCGGUACUGGGAUGAUAAUUUAGUGGGUUUUAUAUGUCGAUGCUAGGUGUGCCGCACUACUAUAUGAUUUAUACAUAUCAGGAUGGCAUGCAUGCAGUGACAAACUGGGCGGUCGUGAUUCUGUGGUGUCAUCGUGCUUACAUCCGCAGUUGUGGCGUUGGUUGCCCAGAUAACUGUUGUAGGAGGGAGGUAAGGUGGUGGAGAAAUAGGGACUGGCGGCAGUGGCAGCCGGGUUGAAUUCAAGACCAGCGGUGGUGGCGGUAGUGAUGUACGGCGCCGAGGGGGUUGGUGGGCUGGCAGCGGGGGUGGGAGCACCCUUGGUGGUGGUGAUGGUGGCGGUAGUGGAGGCAUUGAGCUCAGUGGAGGAGGGGGCUUGGGCCGCUUGGGACGCAGCGGGGGCGAUGCCAGUCCUGGUGAUGGUGAAAAUAUAUCACGAAGUGGAGAAGGUGAAGUGGGUAACAGGGGUGGUGUGCUAGGCGAUGGUGCAGGAGGGGAAGAAGGAUGUGAGGAAGGAGGUGGUGGGGAAGGAGGCUGUGGGAAAGGUGGUGGGAGUGAGGGGGGAAGGUAUGGAUGAGGUGAUGGAGGAGGCGACUGCAAGGGGCUAGGCAGGGUGGGAGGUGGAGGUAUGGGCAAUGGGGGGUGGGGACUAGGUGGAGAUGAGAGUGUAGGGCUGGGCGGCCUGGAUAGUGGUGGUGGUGGUGGUGGUGGGGGAGAUGGCAAAGGUGGCCGUGGUGGUGGUGGUAAAGAAGGUGGACGACGCGGUGGGAAUGGUGGCGGCCGUGGAGGUUUUGGGGGCUUCGGUGGUGACGGGGGCGGAGAAGGUGGAACCAGCGGUGGAAACGGUGGCGUGGAGGGUUUCUGAGCGAUCGUUGCAUUGGUUGCUGCUGCCAAGAAAUCAGCAGUUAUGGGCGGGGUUGGGGGUGGUCGAGGCGGGCGGGGAGGUGGAGGUGGCGGGCUGGGUGAUUCAAUUACGCCAGGAGGGUUGGGUGGUCGAGGUGGGGGCGAGGGUGGAAAAGGUACCUCGAUAAACCGGGUGACGCUGAAGUCCAUGUCUAAAUUGUCACCAGUGGUUAGUGAACGACGCUGCUGAUGUUGACACUGAAAUUUCUUUGCUCCGUUCCUGCCACCAGUUGCAGUGAGCCAGCUUUCAUCCGGCCCAGCAUCUCGGCAAGGUGUCUUCGCCAAUGACAGCAUCACCGAGCGUGUAAUUUCCCACUCCUUCUUAGCUUGCAGCUCCUUCGAUGUGUAACUGCUCGCUGGACGUGGCUCACCCACUUGCACAAGGGAGACCAAGCCCAAAGCUCGAAGGUUGGCGAAUCGCGCCCCAUGGAUGUCAAUAGCAUGGUGAACAUCGCCAUCCAUGUUAACAACGUUGUCCAUGGCUGAUUCAGCUGCCGACCGUCGCCGGUGGCGCUGUGCGGCCGGGGCUAAAACAGCCACGGCAUUUACUGCCACGCUCUGAAUCUGCACCUGGCUCACAGGGAUUCCCAAGGAGUCCGCUAUUUGUUGCUUGAGUUUCUCCAUCAUGGCGGUUACAGCUUUCUGUGCACACACACACACACACACACACGCACAUACUGAUAAGUCGUUGUGUGGAGAGAUCGUGGGAAGUGUUUGGAUCAUCAGCAGUUGCUUGUAACGAAAACAGUGCGAAGUACUUCGCACGAUUCGUAGGGUAAGCAAUAAAGUGCAUAACAACAAGUUCGUUGUCAUUUUCUCAGCAGGUAUGUCAUGUGUGCAUGCGUGUUUUACACCUUGAGUUGUGUUAAUUUCAGUAGGUGUGACGGGUCCAUAUGGGCCGCGGCCGGAGGCCAAAGGCGGGCCACCGCCGGUUACCAUCUGUUAGAUUAAAGUGCACUUCAAUCUAUAGACACACGUGUGUCUAUAGACGAUUAUAUUUAUUAUAUAAUAUAUAUCAUAUAUUACACCUAUUGAAAUUAACAUAUAUAUUAUUAUGUUACAUAUAAUAUAUUAUAUGUAAUAUAUUAUAUGUAUGUUGUUACAGGGUGGUUAACUUCGCCAGCGGCCCCCUUUCCCGGGGCAGUCCCUGCUCUCCCCUGCUAGAGGGGCACCCUAAUCCGUCACCCCAUCCGACUUCAGAAUGUAUUCGUUGAGUUCGGCAACUCACCACCAGCAUCCAACCAAAUCUAGCGGAUCAACGGCGCAUCAACUUAGUUCCUGGUCAGCUCGCAAGUUGAUAUUAUCACGUCCUACACCGUCCAUAAGAUGGGGGGCCACCUCCCAUUUCAUCACUCCUCAAACACCCGAGGAGCCGGCAGGCGGAUUUGAACCCGGGUCGACUGGGUCAACUGGGAGCAGAAGUCAGGCCUUAACCUCUGCCAGCCGCCUGCCAUAUAUAUGUAUAAUAUAUAAUCGUCUAUAGACAGACGUGUGUCUAUAGAUUGAAGUGCACUUCAAUCUUACAGAUAGUAACCGGCGGUGGCCCGCCUUUGGCCUCCGGACGCGGCCCAUAUCUCUAUCUCUAUAUCUAUAUCUAUAUCUAUAUCUGACACCAUGCAUGACACGAUCCGAUUUAAAUCUCGGUCCCAUCUAUAUCCGUGGCCAGUGUGUUUACAACGUUUCCACCGUGGUAAUUUGUUAGUGACCAAGUGGUUACUGUGGGGGUUUUCCUUGGUAACCACCUUACAAAGCGUUUUCCCCCUGGCCAGCGAGUAUGCUGAACAAUUGCCCACUAGAACCAUGGAUCCGAAGGAUCCAACUUCACAACGCCCAUUCGCGGCUUUGAACAGUCAUGACGACGCUUAGGUAUUGAUUUGUUUAUUGACACGGAUAUUUGUACAGAUUUGGCUGGAAGCAUGUACAGAUAUCUGUACUUGACGUGUCAAGCUGCGGUGUGUGCAGCGCACACCGCAGCUUGGCACGUCAAGCUUUGUUCUGACUUCAUGCUAGCGCCAACUUCCCACUGCCCGUGGUCUGCGCUGCGGUAGGCAGCCGACUCGUUCCAGUGCUGCAGUGCUGCUUUGUACGGAAAGCUUUUUAGGUGGUCACUACGGGGUUCUGUGGCCCAAUCUAAAAACACUGUCGGUGACCCUGUCUCUAGACCAUAAAAACUAUUGUACCGACAUGUACCGACCCAGCUGAGGGCUCCAUCCACCGUCAGGGUGACCCCCACAAAUCCAGCCUGGAAAUUCGUGGUAAUCUGUUGAAUGCCUGGCGGUGUUGGCGGUGGGGGACUGGGAGGCAAGGGCGGCGGCGGCCCUGCAAAUGAAAAGCGUGGGGAACCAUGCAUGCAGCAGCCGGGUAUGUGAUGCACCUUAACAUUGCGUGGGAUAGGGUGGGACUGUAUGAAACAGAUAAACUUCACCCGUGAGAUAAGCUACAUCCGUGGCCAGUGGCAGACCCUAUAUAUCUUUCCCGUCACAAACUGAUAAUUUUGCCAGUCACCUGCAUAAUGACAAAUGACAAGCUCUUGGGCCUUUGCAAAGGCCAAUGGGCUCGUAUGGGCUUAUUACACCUAUCUGGGUAACACAACCGGGUUGUAACACACACACAGCCACGUCCUGGCCGUUACUUGGUAAUAAUAGGCAUGCCAUCAUUGAUAUCGAGAACGAAGGAGAGCGGGAGCCGAUCCUGGUGUGCACACCUGGAAUUUUUUUAAAAAAACAAACUGAUUCCAAGUACGUCAAUGGAUCCGCAGACGCCUUCAUCCAGCCGUUGACAUUGAAGCCUUGGCAAUCUGGCAACUUGGCACACUCGGUAGCGGCUGCCGCAGCGGAGCCAGGGUUGCCCAGGUCGUCCCCACCGUGGUCGGUGUCCGGAAAUGCAAUGUAGCCAUCGAAACUUGGACAUGCUGUGGAAGUCAGUAUGGGAAACGGUAGGUCAAACGAUGGGAAAUACAGGAAGAUCAUGCAUGCCCAAAAACGAUUGUGUGUUUUAUGGUUGGGGGUGUGCACCCCCAGCCGUGCAACCAACCAUGCAAUCAACGCAUGCGUGACCCCAUACCUGUAGAACUACCCAUACGAACCGAAGGCCCAAAGGCAAGACCUGGACACCUAAAAGCCACGAAAAAAAGGAAAUACCGCACUAUCAGGAGAAGAGAGAAAACUAUAGUUAGCUAGCUAACGCCCAAAGGGGACAACUGAGUUGCAGUGAGCCCACAUACAUAUAAAAACAUUGAGUUCGCAAUAGAAAAUAAGGAGGCCAGCGAAUACUAGCGUCAGGAUGGAGCCUCGGAACAUACAUACACAGUAGUAUAUGCUGUCGAAGUAGCCGUCCAUCCCCCCAACUCUUACCACUGGUUGGUGGUUCCGGAGAGGGCGGUAGUAGGGGUGGAGGAGGAGAUUCUGCGCGAAGGCAUCGCGGUUACGCUCGAUUUAUUUCUGGUAUGCGCAUGCAAGGCAGUAUGACACGUGCAUACAGAACAGGUUUGUCAAGCGUUGGUGCCAGAUUCUGACGGAGAAAAAUAAUGGUGCAAACGGUACCACCGGUGGUAAUUCGGUACCGGUGGUAAUUCCUGCUGGAAUUCGAGGAUUCGAAUCCUCGUGUAACGAAAGCGGGCUGAUGAUGUGCACACCUGGAGUUUUUUUAAAAAAACAAACGGAUUCAAAAUAUGUUAAUGGUUCCACAGAGGCCUUCAUCCAGCCGUUGACAUUGAAGCCUUGGCAAUCUGGCAACUUGGCACACUCGGUAGCGGCUGCCGCAGCGGAGCCAGGGUUGCCCAGGUCGUCCCCACCGUGGUCGGUGUCCGGAAAUGCAAUGUAGCCAUCGAAACUUGGACAUGCUGUGGAAGUCGGUACGGGAUGAGAACAAAGGAUUGUUAAAGCAGCUGUAAGAAGGGUUCAAUUACCUGGGCAUCUGCCUGAGUAUUCUUUGCUUGGUGUUACAAAUGAUGAGUCACUUCUGGAUUGUUAGACGUCAGGUCUCGCAGUUUUCAUGUUCGAAACGUGCGCAGUCCAGGUGCAGUUCGGUUCUCUGCUUCUUCAGCCUGCUCACGCUUGUGGAGUGUUCUGGACGUAUCACGGGAUCUGCAUCCGCUGAUCGGUACUUUUCUGAAGUCGUGAUAUAACAAAUGGUAUCGAGCCGAUGUCUCCAUUCCAACCUGGGUUCGUUUCUCAGCUGUAGCGGCUACUAUGUCCGGGAGGUAGCAGUACUUGCGGCCGCAGGUAAUCCUGUGGAUGCUGCCAUCACAAUGGCCCUAAGAUCUUACGGUCAUUGUAUCUAGAUAGGCUGAGGUCGAGUACACCUUCUACAGCUGAGGCAAUACGGUAUAUACCGCUGCUUUACAACAGCCAUGGUCCGUCUGUUGCAUACUGUACAUAAUUGAAUUCGUACAUAACCGGACAAUCAUUCUGGAAUAUGUUGCUGGGGACUGCCUUUCCUUGCUUCUAGGGUUAACCCGGACCACGUUUUCUGGAAUGUUCUGGAACGUUUUCUAGAAUGUUAACGCUUUCCUCAAAAUGAGCGUGUAAAAGCAAAUUUCAGUUUCGGACCGCUUUUUUUGCAAUUACCAAGUUUAAAUCACCAAUUUUGCCCGCUGGUACUGUAUAUGCCUGACGAGGCUGUGUGGGCUUCCCCGAAGCCGGGAAAAGGGCAGGGGGGCCCUUUAAUCCGUACAGGCCCAUCGCUUAGCCACAUGUGCGCAAACGGCUGGGCUGUCUCGCUGUGCAGAGUGUGGUGGGGAAAGCCAACACACUUUGCAAGAGCAGUCCGUAAGCCGACGCACUUAAAAAAAGCAGUAGUCAGGAAUGCCGACACACCUUUCAAGAGCAGUCAGGGAAGCCGGCACGACUUGCAAGACCGGUCAGGAAACGCAGUCGGCCCCUCGAAGGUCCUAAACUUUGUUAUAGAUUUGUGAAAAAAUAUCAUGUCAUUUCAAUAGGAAAACGGGUAUGAUAUCGUGAAGCACGAGGCCUUAAUUAAGGCCUCGGUGGCUUAAGCUUAAGCCACCGCAAGGGUUGCGGAGAGAUGGUCAUGGAAGUUGCAUGUUCGAUUUGCAUGACACCGUCAGCUGCAUGUCCUCUAAUAAGAAACACGGCGUCAUGUAGGCCAAAUUAUAGCAUGUGAAACAUUUCCUUACUCAUCCGUAUUAGUACAAUGUUUGUCAUACCUGAUCAGCUACAGGAAAUAUACGUUGUAAUAGAGAUUAUUUAAGGUUAUGUAGAUGGCUUUACAGCUGGGCGAGAUAUUGUGUUCGGUAUUUCACACUGACACAGACUUGGACAUGGCCAAUUCUAGGGGUCCUCGGAGCGCUUCACGCUGGGGCCCCGCCCAAGAAUAGAUAGACGGUCUUUAGACAUUCCUCAAUUGUAUGGACACUAGUGGGAGUACUCCCGCCCAUCCAACCAAGUCUUGCGACAGCAUAUGUCCUAGGACAGGAGGCCUGGACAGGCGGCCAUCUGUCCACCAUCUAAACCCAAUGCCAGACCUCUUUCAUGGACAAGACGAUUUUGCACUAAGUACUCGCCUGCAGUUGGAGGUGGUGGUGUGCCGUCUGCAAUAGUUCAAGUCCGUCCAGGAUGGGUCAGUUCAUGCAUUCACAGCACAUAUCUACAAACUAGCAGGAAUAUGCCCGGUACACAACAAGUGCGGUUUAAAUGAAAUGGCUACGUAUCCAGCCAAGAAGGACGUUCCUGGAAAGUAGCACAAUUGGCUUGCAAGCCAGCACAAGCAAAGCAAUUGCGGUGCUUCCGGAAGGAAAUAAUAGUAUGUGUGCCUGCCUUACACCACCCAGAUGGCAAUCGCUGUAAGCGGCCAUAGCCCAUAUAAUUCAAGAACCCAUGCAAGGGCUCCAAGCAAAAGGUUGUGAAUUUGGAAAGGUUGCCUUCCGCAAGACCAUAUUAGUGCUUUUCGUUCGCUUCCACUGCACAAGGACUUACCAAUGGCUUGAGAACAGUACACUCCAAAGAAUGCCAGAAGCGAAAUGAAUAGCUGAAUUACUAUGAAGCAAGAUAGAUUGUUGGAAUGGUAAAGGGCCAUUGCACUGCCACCAAACCAGGCCAUCCAAAAUCUUUUUGAAUUAAACUAUGUUCGUUGAACUCUAUCCUAUAUCACUUACAACGGGGACAGAAACGUAUUUGCUGUGGGGGACUGCAGCAAGCUGAGGUACGUUGGAAUGUCUGGGAAUGUCUGGGAGUACGUGGUAAUAUUAUGUACGGUGUGUCUGGGAGGUUUACUAAGCAUGAGAGGACGAAAUGUAGUUACCCGGGUGCUAUAUUGAUAAAACUUUUAAUGCAGAUAUUUGAGCCUUGCUGCGUAGAGCUUAAGCGGUGUUAAAUUAUUUAUUAAUUGUACUGCGGCCGUAGUACUCCAGCAAUCAUAAUGCGAAAUGCCACUGGAUGGGCCGUCAACGACGCCCAUCCAACUAGCAGCAAUAUUAUUCUCUUUCGUGCCAAAGAAAACCAACCAAAGCUUGUCAUAUCAUGGACAUGCACGGCAGCAAGUUGAAAAAAGUUAAGGGAUUUGAGGCUGUUUGAGAUAUGUCGUCCGUCUAGCAUUAUUGCUUCCUGCACCUCCGGCGUCGAUAUCAGCUUAGUAUUAUGUACAGAGUGGACGAACUCCUCGACCCUAGUAUUAUAGACUGAUUUAAUUGCUCGCGUUAAAUCAUUUUUAGUUUAGUUACACAUAAAGGGAAAUGAAGACGGUAAUACGCAAGUCGGGCCAAGCAUUAUCGCAAAGGCCCCUGCUGCUGCUGCUGCCGCGCGCUUCCUAGACAGCUAGCCAUCUGGAAGGUUUAAAUUUACGGGCAUUACAAUUCAACAUCAUGACGCUAUUGCAAUGCGUGCAAGCAAAGAUUAAUAAAAUCAGCGGCUUGCGAUUUCAGUUAUUAUCGAUCUACCAGUUUGAUGAUGCAUCAUGAAGCUGAACACAGGUCGCUCCUAAUUUUAUAAAACAUUACAGACGCAGUACAGCUGUACUGCAGCAGAGCAAUAUCGCAAGGUAAUUACGCCUUCUGAAACGAACAUUUGGCCUGCACUUCCGUCUCUGCCGGCGCGGCAGCAGACCCAUGCAUUACUGUAACUUGGUUACUAAUUAGGGUAACAUUAUGUAUAUGGCAUUCCCCAAAGUCGCAAGAAGCACGAUAAGGUGUGCCUGCGGAAGCUAGCUAACCCCGCGUUAGACGUACGCGGCUAGCUAGCUGCUGAGAUGUGAAGUCGUAAUCAUUGUUGAUGGAUCUAGUUUCGCACGCUGGAAUGGUGGCGAUUACUGAACCCUCUGUCUCUACGGAUGUUUGGGUGAAUGGAUGAGGAGGGAUUCUAGAAGGCAGGUUCAUCCGCCUUGGACUUCCAGUUCGUAUGCAUAUGGCGUGGUACCGUGUGGCAAUGGCAGUGGAUGGUACUGUAUGGUGUGAUAAAUCGUAGAAUUGACAAUGUGUUCAAGUGGCCCAGAAGCCUCCAACUCUGAAACAAUUCAAAAUUCAAAUGCAGCUAAAACCCUCGACCCACUUGCUCCAUGGGGGCGGACUGGAGGACAAGACCAUGUCUUGCAAUGCAAGUGGAGAGGUGAAAAAGGUAUAGGUCCUGAUGAUUGUGGCUCAUCAUCGAUUUGGGAGCCCGCCUGAGGAUAAAAACCUGGUCAUGGUUACGAAACACGGCCAGUACUGGACAAAUCGCGUGCUCCACUUUUUAUCUGCCCACCGGCUUUCCAACGUUUUUAUCGAUUCAUCGUUUAUAAUUCUUGACCUUGCCCUGCUACGUACAUUCAAUAGGGACGAGACCGUCCUGAUAUUAUACUAAGGCUGUCUAGGGCACAAUCUAUGUAUAGACAAAUUUACAAAUCAAAUUUACAGAUCUAGACACACUUUACAAACAACGCCUAGCCCGAAGCGUCAAGCUACAUAAGGUUAAUGAACCUUAUAAGGGUACGCACACACAUGCAGAUACGGACGAACACAAAGGAUCCCAGAAAAUAAAGAUGACGCCACAUAAGAUACCGGAAUUUAAAGUGUAACGACUUAUUGCAAUAAGUCCAAUUGAACUGCUAUGAGAUAGGGGGGCCUUGGCUAUAUAUAAUAAUGAGUGUAGGCGCUAGGUAACAACGGUCCUGCACCAGGCACAUCGCCAGCAGGGUUGCACAGGGAAGCGCAUACAGUGGUGGGCCGCAGGUCUGCACUCAUGGUCCACUUGAACAUAAAGGAAGCCCAUACUAACUAACUACCGUUGAUGAUGCUGCACGAGCCAAUAUUUAGCUCACCAUACAGCAGGCGGCAAGCGGAAGUACUAGUCUACGAUUCUGACAUUUAUUUAUUGUUUUUUCUUGUCUAUGUGCCUUCCUAAGUAUAACACUUCUGGUUAUCUAUAUCUUAUCUACCGCAUCAGGAGCCUUGCCAAAGCUCUUCACUGAGCUACCUUCAUCAUGGUGCGCGAAUGUAAGCUUACGAACGGUGUGCUUGCGUAGUUUGCAUUCAAUAAAGAAGUAUGUGCACAUCGUGUUUGCACCAUGCUUGCACUGUGCAAAAAGUUAUGCUUACAUCCAUGCAGGCUGCGCACGUACAGCCGGCAUGAACACACAGCGGAUAUAUAUCGAGCAGACGAUACCCCCUUAAGCUUGCACAUUAAGCGACGCCAUGGAGCCAAUGCUUGGCUGCAGAUAUGCAAGGUGGUUUUUUUUGUCAGUUGACAACGAUGAUGGCUAACUUAGUACUACAGUCAUUCCGACUGCGGCCACAAAGGGCAGGUCUGUUACCGCCAAUGCUGCUUCACUGUUGAACUCCAGCCAGACACCCAGCACUGAUCGGCUGAGGAAGUCCGGGGAGCUCAGCCCUGCACGUGAGGCUGCUACCGAGGAGCUGACUGUGAAGUUAGUCAUGCCGGGGCAGGUGUACGUUGGAGAGGUGUCCUUGGAGGCCUCAAAGAUAGGCGCGACUACUGUAGCCUGGGGCAUGCAAGGAGUGAUAAAUCAUAUACAUAUAUGUCAAUAGACUUGUUGCAUUCAGGGAAGGAAGUAGGUAUUCGAACAUACAUACAGAUCGGAACGGCGACACCCUUGAUGUGAACACACAUUCAUGCACCUAAUGGAUAGCCAGCAGCAGCCGACACAUGCACGCAAACCUUCAGCACCCACCGUGCUGCCGGAUCCUCCGCCUGACAGCAGCAGCUUGACACUGGUUAUCAGCGGGUCCAGGACUCCCCGGUUGAGCAGGAAUAACCCCACUGCCCGGACCUGGGAGGCACUGGUGGCUGGAAAGGUCACCUGCAACAGCCGCUGGGAGGCCUGCAUGCAAGUGCAAUGGAGGUUAGCAGUGAACAGCAGGGGUUCAGAUAGGACUGUGGAUCUUAGCCACGGUGUCUUCUUAUGUUAGGGCUGGCUGCUGCUGCCAGGUACUCAACCUUGCAAGAGCCCCAUGUGCUAAUACAAGCGAAAUGUACCUGGCCGUGCUGUAAUUUGUGAUCCCAGCCGCGGCAGCAGAUAUAUCCAUAGGUACGAUGUACCAAUCAUCAGCUAGCUAUCAAGCAAUGGCAAGCAGACACACGUUGCGGCUACCUGUGAGCGUGUGCAUAUGUUGCUCGCAGAAGCAGCAGGCUUCGUUUGGAGGCGAAUUCCGUACAUCAGUCGGUAUCUUCACCGGAAUCAUGAUUUGGUAUGCUGUCCUGGCUGGUCUGCAAAGUAGUGGACGGUGAAACCAGGUCAGCACAUACCUUGCGUGGCGCCGGCGCCCAGGCAAGGAGUGCGGCAGGCCGGGUGCAUUUGGUAAUUUGAAGCACCGCACUUCUUGGAGGACCCACCACCUUCUUUGCCUGAUCAGGGGCCUGCUUACACACGGAAAAGAACAGGAAAAACACAAUACAUGCAACAGUGGGCGUGGCAUAUAAAGGGGACAAAUGGAUGACAUGGAUGCUGUGAUAAUAACGUCGCGACCGGCAUACAAAAUCUGCAUAACCAUGAUGAACCAUUACUUCUUCCUAACUGAACGAGCUAUGUAUGGCAUCUACACCUACAACAUCGACACGCUUGAGACUUCAUGUAAUAGCUUACAUCUGCUGUUACAGCAUCUGUUGCCCAUAUAAUCGUCGUAGGAGCAGGUGGUGGUGCGGGUGAAAGAGGCAGUGGUCGUGGCGGUAAUGAUGGGAAUGGCAGCGGUGGUGGUGGUGAUGUACGGCGGCGGGGUGGUGGUGGCAGGGUUUGGCGGACAGGCGGCAGCAGGGGAGGAGCUGGGCUCGGUUGUGGCGGUGGUAAUCCGGGCGGUGGUGAUGGUGGCGGCGGGGACGGUGAUAAUGUACGGCGCCGAGGAGGCGGUGGCAGGGGCGGGUGGUCUGGCGGUGGUGGCGGGAGAACCCUUGGUGAUGCUGAUGGUGAUGGUGGCUGUAGUGGAGGCACCGGGCUCAGUGUAGGAGGUUGCUUGGGGCGCUUAGGACGCAGCGGGGCCGGUGCAAAUUGUGGUGAUGGCCAUAAAGGUGAAAAUGUACCAGGGAAUGGAGAAGGUAAUGGAGAUGGUGGUUUAGAUGAGGGUAAGGAAGAAGGGGAUGGGGAGGGAGGUGUUGGGGAAGGCGGAGGCGAAACAAUGGGGGGAGGAGCAGAUGGUGGCGGAUUAGAUAAUUGCGGUGAGGGUUGAAGGCCUGGAGCAUGGGCUGGAGGCGAUGGCCUAGAUGAUGUGGGCAAUGGAGUGAGAGGUAUCUGUGGAGGUGGGCUGAUUGUAAGGUUGUGCACAGGGCUCGGCGGCCUAAAUGUUCGAGGAGGUGGCGGUGGUGGGGGAGAUGGCCGUGGGGGCGGUGGGGAUGAUAGGACAGGAGGCGGAGGUGGAGAAACCAUAGCGGCUGGCGGUGGUGGCGAAGACGAAGUUGAUGGCGGUGGUGAUGGAGGAGAAGGCGCUGGGGGUGAUGGUGUUGGUAAUGGAGGACUUGGAGGUGGCCUUGGUGGUUUUGGGGGCUGAGGUGUUCGUGGGGGAGGAUCCGGUGGUGCAACCGGAGGCGAUGGUGGACCAAAGGGUUUCUGGACGAUAGUAGCUCCGGUUGCAGCUGCCAGAGUAUCGACAGUCAGGGGUGGGCUGGGGGGUGGGCGAGGCGGGCGAGGCGGGCGAGGUGGCGGGCUGGGUGAUUCUAUGACACCAGGACGGUUAGGUGGUCGGGGUGGGGGUGAGGGUGGAAAAGGUACGUCAAUGAACUGGAGGACGUCGAAAUCAAUCUCUGCAGUGUCGUUACUGGUGGCGAGGGACCGCCGCUGGAUAUGGCCAUGGGUGAAACUCUUCGCAUCAUCACUGUGGCCCCUGCCAGCAAAGAGCUCGCCUUUAGCUGCUGUGUGUAUUCCGUGAUGGAUAUGUCCAUUUGCCCCAUCAGAAUGGACAUCUGCUGCGGCUGUCUUCCUAUCGUUCUUCUUCAACUGCAGUAGUAGUGACCGUAUCAUUUCCUCCUCCUUAGCUUGCACCUCCAUUAAGGUAUAGCUGUCCGCUGGUUGUGGCUCACCAAUUUGUUCCAGCCAUACCAAGCCCAGAGCUCGAAGGCUGGCAAAGUGUGGGCCAUUAAUAUCAAGGGCACAACGACCACUCAAAGCCCUUGCUGUCUCCCCAUGCCCCUCAACCAUGGUUACAUCAGCCACGGACCGUCGUCGGCUGGAUGGUGAGGGAGAGGGACCCCGAUAGGUGAUUUUGAAAGUACGGACCGUCACUUGCUCCACAGGAAUGCCCAGAGCAUCUGCCACCCUUUGCUUGAACUCGGCCACCGCUGCAGCAACAGCUUCCUACGUCAAGUGGAUCGAUCGAACCAUGCAGUCAGGUGAGUGUACGCCUGUAAAAUGGAGAAAUGUCUAUAGGCCAUCUACAGACUACCUAUCAUACCAUGGCACGAUCUAUUAUAGACUGUGCCAUGGCUCUUCACACAAUAUUGUAAUAACUUCUGUCUCGGUCCUAACUAUUACACGAUGACCCUUCUUUGUAAUUUUUUAAUGGUCUACAGAUUUAUAGUAGGAACGAGCGGAUUAUGAGGCAUGCAGGAUGAAAGUGAUCCCAAAGCCAAGCAAGCAUUGAGUAAGCAUGUCUGUAAAGUUAUGUAUGGUCCUAUAUCUUGUGCGUACAAACACCAAACACAGUCCGUGGCUAACAGCAAACAUCCACAGUACAUGUCGGUAAUCAACAGCCCUACAUGAUGAAUGCACAGUUCCAAGUACAUAUACACCAAUCUACCUACAUCGCUAAGGCUGCCAUCCACCAUUAGGUUCACAAUCGCUACACCCGCCGUAUAUCUGGUGAUGGCCAACCUAACGCCCGGGGGAUUAGGUGGCGGGGGCCUUGGAGGUCUUGGAGGCGGCGGAGCUGCAAAUAGACAGCAGGGAAUGGAGCGUGGCCACAGCAGGGACUGGUGGGAAGCACAGCCGCGACAGGGAAGCAUGGUCACAUUGGUGUGUGUGACACCUUCUAUGGACAUGCAUGCCUGAACUAUAGCUAUAUGCCUUCGAUGCAGGCAGAGAUGGGUUGUCCUGGGUUCCACUAUGUAAUGUAAUGUAAUGUUACAUGCAAAUAGCCUAGCCUAGCCUAGCCUAGUCUAUCUAGUCUAGCCUAGUUUAGUACAAUGUACAAGGAUGUAAAUGUGACGCUUGGAUCCAAGGUAUGUUGGUAAAUUAACCCUAAAAUCUGACUGACUGGCACCUUUUGCUUAUGCGCACGGGUUUUACAUGGGUUGAGUUGCUAUCGAUGGAUGACAGUGAGCCUAAGCUAGCUGAAGGUGCAGGCAGGUGGCAGGCUGUUGCACAAACCUGGAAUUUUUUUAAAAAAACAAACUGAUUCCAAGUACGUCAAUGGAUCCGCAGACGCCUUCAUCCAGCCGUUGGCGUUGAAGCCUUGGCAUCCUGGCAACUUGGCACACUCGGUAGCGGCUGCCGCAGCGGAGCCAGGGUUGCCCAGGUCGUCCCCACCGUGGUCGGUGUCCGGAAAUGCAAUGUAGCCAUCAAAGCUUGGACAUGCUGUGGAAGUUGGUACGGGAAGAUAACCUUAUUUGGAAUGUCCAUGCCUUCUCGGCAGGCAAGUUUAACCAGAUUAAGGCUAUUUGUGGAUUGCUCAAUCAUGAUGUAAUCGCCCUUACAGAGACGAAGGCGCUCGUUAAUCACACUCGCGCCAAGGAGCAACUAGUAUUACAGGGCUAUAGCCACCUUGCAUGCACUAGAACACCGUGCACAGGCUCUCGAAGGUCCGGCGGGGUAUCUGUGUUUGUGCGUGAUGAGCUGGCCCCCUGUGUGAGAGGAGUGGGCUUGACGAAUGCACCUGUUGGGGUGGAAAUCGUCUGGUUGCGAUUCCAUAGCGUUCUCCCUGGAGGGCGGGCGCUCCUACUUGGGACUGGUUACUGCUCGCCCCAGGGGUCCAGCGUUUAUAGCAGCACGGAUGGUAGUGGCCUGGUGUAUAGCGAGGCCCCCGACACUGCAGCCACAGCUGUUUUCGGAAGCAUUACUGGCGAGCUAGAUAGCAGGGUUCGACACUGACCUUCCUGAAACUUGCGGGCUCCCCCGUACCUCCCAAAUUUUCCUUACGGAGGGGCCCCCGUACCAGGCUCCUGUACCGGCCGAAAACCUUACGGGGCCCCCUGUAACCCCCGCAAAACCUUUAGGGGGGCACUGUCCUUGGCUGAAACGCUGUGGAAAGUGACGCUUUGCAUUUUUUUGCCCUGUAAAUCGUUAUUUUCGUUAUCUUCUCGUACGGCCUCUUAUAAAUCCUUAAAAUCCUUACGGGAGCCACUGUAACCAGCCUUCGGCCGGUCCGGGGGCGGCCCCAUACCGGGCGCUUCACGCCCCAAAAUCCUUACGGGAGCCACCGAAAAGUCCUACGGGCCCUGACGGGGAUACCGAAAAAUGGCCAGAAACUUACGGGCCCCGUACGGGGUGUCGAACCCUGCUAGAUAGACUGCGGUGCAUGGGUGAUGAGGUGCUUAUCACAGGUGAUUUUAAUGCCCGUAUAGCAGCUAUUCUAGACUUGUCCGAAGUAAAUGGAAUAGGGGCACAUUCCCUUGUCGGCGUUCCCCGUAAAAAAAGAGAUAAUGGACUCAAUUACUUUGGCCGCCGGUUGGCACAAAUGUGUCUUGACACAGGGCUAGCCAUUGUCAAUGGGCGGGCACCUUGCGAUGUGCCCGGGGGCUUCACGUACUCCAACUCAACUGAGGGUCACAGUUCUAUUGAUCUGUGCCUUGAAUCUCACGGGCUCUUCGAGCAGAUAAACACCUUAGUCCUUAAAUCUUAUUUAUGGGUGAGUCUAAUGUGCUCAGUGAUCAUCACCCGCUUAUCCUUUGCCUACAUGCCGAUUUGAGGCCAGGGGCUGCACGGGGUCGGAAGCCUCACCUAGCACGUGAACGGAUCCCUAUUUUUGAUAUUUCACGCAAGGGCCGCUUCACUGAGUGUUUUCGUGAACCAGAUGGCAUUGUUACAGCGACCAUCAACUCUAUCAAGGAAAAGCUUGUGGAAGGGGCCCCUUGUGAUGAAAGCAUGAAUGACUUGCACACCCUUAAUGGCACGUGUGCUAGAGAGACGUUCGGCGUUGCACGGGGGAUGGUAAAGUCUGUGAAGCGUGACCGGUGGAACGAGGACUUUGCAGCUGCAUGGAAUGAUAUGAUGAGUUUCCGUAAGGAGGUCAGGGACCCCGUCUGGGGCAAGCUGCCCGAUCUACAUAAGGCCACCUGGAAGGCCAAGCACCGUGUCUUUAAGAUGGCUAGGAAGGCCGCUAUUCAGGAGACCGAAAUGGAGGAUAUGCGGAGGAGGAUUAGGACGCCCGGUCCAACCCACGCGCCUUGUGUGUAACACCAGGCAAAGAGUACUCAGUUGGGAGAUGCCAGGGGAGCUGAUCCCUCUCACAUUGGGGGAAAACCACCUCCUUGCGGGAUCUCAGAUAUUAAUGCUUUUACCGAGCACUUUUCCAAGGUGCUUAAUGGUACGGGAGAGGCGAGGCAAUGCCGCGAUGAGGGUAUCCAAUUUAAAUGGCUGGACGAGGACGGGGUGACGCACCGACGGGAAUUAGCUGAUUGGCUUAACAAGGAUUUUACGGUGGAUGAAAUUGCUAGUGGCCUUAAGGCUAUGCGCAACUAUAAGUCCGCGGGCCUGGAGGGAACCCCGGCCGAGUAUUAUAAGUACGCUAUCAGGGAAUCUGAAGGGCAGCAGCCCGUGUUUGUAUUGGCGCCUUACUUAACGGUGCUAUACAUCCGCAUAUACGGAGCUGAAUACCCACGAGGAUUCACGACUAGCACCCUGUUCCCCGUAUUCAAAAAAGGGGACGUGUCAUGCUGUGACAAUUACCAUGGAAUAGCAGUUCGGGGUCCCCUGUGCAAACUUUACGCCAAUAUCACAGGGAGCUCCCUGUGAGGGACCUCGAGUCACCUCGAGGCGACUCACCAAUUACUGUGAGGGCAAUAGGCUACGUGCCGCUAGCCGGGCUGGAUGUAGGCAUGGUUUUGGCACCGAGCAUCACUUGUUUACAUUAAGGCAUCUAAUCUCGAAGCACACUGUGACUGGAGCAAGGCCGCUUAUUAUCAUGCAAAUGGACUCUAGCAAGGCGUUCGACUCCGUUGACCAUGAGACACUUUGGGAUUUCCUCAUGUUGUAUGGGCUACACGGGCGCAUCCUUGAUUCUCUAAAGGCUAGCUAUGCUGACGUGAAGUUUCGGGUCAAGUUAGGAAAUAGGUUGGGACCUGAAUUCACGGUAGGGCUUGGUGCUAAGCAAGGGUGCCCCCUUAGCGUAACCCUUUUUGGACUCUUCGUGGAAGUAUUUGCUUCAGUGUUAUUUUUUUCAUUUCUGCCGGUUAAUUUUCCAGUCCGAACGGAGGAAUAGGUUUUUAGUCGGGGGAAUAAAGGUAUUCCGAAUCUGUAAGGCGCUGGGGGGGGGCUCCACCCCCCCCCAGGACCCCCCCCCCGAUGAGUUACAGUUUCGUUCAUGCAAACGCCGGGUUUGGGGAAUGUCGCAACACGCGCACACCAAUCUCUCAAGCACUGAUCGAAUAAAGUUCGUUCACCAUCGUUCGUCUUGCAUCACGUUGAAAGAUAACACUACACGACUUUCCAGUUUGCAGAAGUAAUGAUGCAUAGCAGCAAUGAACCGGAACCACCAAACGCAACCUGUUUCCUGGCCCAUCGCGAUUGUAUCCAUAUAUGGAACAUUGAUGUUUGGCCCGCUCGCUGUUGACAAUCGGAGUGGCAUCAUUGUCGUCGGCUGGCUGCAGCAUUGCGUCCACAUUGCCUACGACCCCUACACCGUCUUCAUUAACGUCGCUAAUGGCUUCAAUGAAAUUUAGUAUCUGCUGUAAUGGCAUUCAAUGCUUUGGGAGCUUCGGGUCCGAAUGUUUUGCAGCGCUUGGUCCGGUCAGAAACAGUCCGAUUCCUUGUUGACUUUCGGGCAUGAGCUUCCUAGCAGUAUACAUGGCAUUAAAGUACUACGAUAUGGGUAACAUGUAUGUCUCCUGUAAGAUUCUAGCGGCUUUGGCAUGGACAGUCCAUUUUUGGCUGGAGGAAUGAACUUGUACGGUUGGAACAUUAUUUAUUCUUAACUUUCAGGACCACGAACAUUUUUUUAUUCCGAAUUCGGAAUAUAUUCCGCAAAAAAAAUAACGCUGAUUUGCUUAUUAUACAUUGAUGCUCACUAUGCUAAUUGCCGUGUACGCCUCCCUAGCCGAUGGAGCACCCAGCAGAGUGUUAGCCUGGCAGGCGGUGAACUCACAUACCUACUCUUCGUUGACGAUGUGUCACUGGUAGCGACAGGGCACGAUAGAGCAGAAUGCCUUCUGGGCCUACUCGAAGCCUACUGCAAAGCGACGGGUAAGGCAGCGAAUGCCGCCAAGUGCGAGGUCCUCAUUUUUGAGGGUGCUACGCGUGCAUGGAAGCGGCUUAUGGAAGCUGAGUACCGGUUAGGUGGGGUGGGGUUGCGGGUGCUGACCGGCAACGAGACGGCCCGGUAUCUCGGGUUGCACUAUGGCCCAGGAGUGCAGUUCUCAGCAUGUACCAAGCAACUACUCACAGCAGGGAGGCGGGCCAGGUUUGGGCUCAGCACCCUGUGCCGAGAUAAGAAAAUUACCACCCCCAAGCUAUAUAUGUCUCUCUACAAUACACUAGUUGUACCGGUGUUUUCUUAUGGAGCGCAAGUUUGGGGACCUGACUUCAUAAAUGUGAGUUUUGAAGGUGCUAUGACUAAUCCCAUGGUCCAGGAAAAGCGUGCAUACAUGCGAUCUAGUUGGGGUGAGGAGCCCGACUAUGGUUAUAUACCGCGGGUUCGGCACCAACCAUGAAGGGCAUGUACAUCAACCGGCAUAACCAAGCGACACGCACUAUUGCCGACUGCGUCAACGGGGCCCACCACGGUGGUGGCUUCAUGAUUAUGGACGCCGGUAAAGAAGAGGAUCUCCCGCCCUACUGCAGUGGGACGCGCGUCCCCAAAUGGAUGCUGCCACACUUAGCGGACGAGGAAAUCCGUCGCCUCCACCCAGACAUCAUGUUCAUCCCCGACCUCCCCGCGCACAGAACCAAGCGCAAACGGUACCAGGGGCCGGAGUGCAAAUCCAAGCACGAUGUAUAUAUACAUUGUUGAAGUGGGCUACACCAGUGACCUGCAGCACUCCGACAAACUCGAACAGAAAACCGCACAGCACGCACGGCUAACAGAGGAACUCACGAAAGCAGGCUGGACGGUGCACUACACCGAGGCGCAAAUUGUCACCCUGGGAAGUACUGGGGCACUAACCAACAUACUAAAACCGCUACUGUGCAGACUCGGCUCGUCCGCUGAGCAGGCCCAGAAGACCUGCCUGCACCUCCACCGGCAAACAAUCGAAGCAGCGGGCACGAUUAUCCGGGCGCGGCGAGUACUGGAGGGUACAGUCAAAUAACCGGUACAACCCGAACGGUCUCCCACGGUGGUGUGGGCAUACAGGAGCGGCUACGCCGCCCCUCAGUUCCCCACCCCCUUAACACACGCCAGGCCCCGGCCGGCGUACUACUACUACUAUUAUUAUUAUUAUUAUUAUUAUUAUUAUUAUUAUUAUUAUUAUUAUUAUUAUUAUUAUUAUUAUUAUUACCGCGGGUUCGGCUCCCUUGGAAUCUCCCUGAGUACUCUUUGCCUGGUAUUACACAUGUGACGUGGACUGGUCACCCACAGCCCGAGAUAGUGGUAGGCAUAGGCUGCAGCCUAUAUAUUUGACUGUUAGGGCCCGAGAUGGAUCCCUCGAAAAGGGAAGGAAUGUAGUGUUGAUGCGAAGGGAUGUCGUGUCGCCCCGUGGCCUGUUUAGGUAACUUAUCAGGUUAUCAUGAGUAACAGCUGUGGCCUGUUUAAGACUGCCCAUCAGACUAUGUGAGCAACGGCCGGCAGGUUCUAGAGUACUGCCAGCUCGUCCAUCAGGAUAAGGUUUCCAAGCCUUUAUAAGGCAUUGCUGUUUAUUGGUAAUAGUACCUCAGAUUCACACGUUUAUGCCUAGGCGAAGGGGCUAUCGGUGGUAGGUAGUACGUGUAACGGCUAAUGUCUCCUUAGUCGUGUCUGCUAGGUCCCAGUGAGAUAGCGUCUCACCAACAUGUAGUAGCUGGUAUACAGUACUGAUAGAGCUGCAACUAAUGAUGCAUGGUGGCGCUAUGCAUCCGGGUUCUUCACCAGGGUACCCAAAAACCCUCUGAAUAACCUAUCGGGGCCCUCCCUGAAUCAACAUGACACUUUUUUCAGACACCCCGAAACUGUCUGAAGCGGUUUUCGGGGUAAAACUUAGCAGGAUUCUAUCGUAAUAUGCUAGGACGGCUGAAUUAACAGGUGUUUGACUUUGUUUUGGAACAUGGUGCCUGGGAGCAAUCGUUCAGGCAAGGAUUUUAUCCAAAACCCUAAGCGUGGAAACAAGACCCACUGACGCAUUCCAGCCCAUGGCCAGGCCCGCUCCCAGGUGGUGCGGCCCAGCUCCAACUGCAAGCAGUGUUUUUUUGGUAAUAUAUUACUUUUUUGGGAAUAAAUGGGGGUCUGAGCCUGGAAGAAAUGGAAUAAUUGGUCAGUUGGCCGUACUGGUUCAUUACUUCGGCCAUAAGUCGCCCCAAAUGCCUUCUGCACAUAUAAAGCUGAACAUUUGGAGCUUAUACACUAUUUAUGUAUAAAAUAUUUGAUGAUAUCACCAUGAGACGGCCCGCUGUUGCAUUCAACUUAGGUCAACGGGGCAUUAGUUCAUUCUUGACCAAAGCAAACGGCUCAGAAAGUCCGCAGACACAAUGUCCCAAACAUUUAGAAGAAGAAUUAGAUAAUACAGAAGACAAGGAUAGGCAUGCCGUAGUUGCCGCUCUUGAAGUCAGUGAAGCAAGCGAUUUGUGCCGAAAGGCCAAAGCGAUGGGAGAUGGCGGGAGAAUGAGGGAGUGCGUCGCUUCCAGGCGCACUGGACAGCUUUGUUCGAAUGGGCUGAGUGUGUUGCGCUAGUGUGCUGCGCUGCAGCCUCCAUAUCCAGCUGGCGAGGUGCAUGACCGUGUCCGGUGCGGUCCCUGCUCCCUCAGCCGGCAGCGGGACAUCACGAUGGAUGCCAGGCAGGCCACACUAAAAAGCCAUGAGCUCACCAAAAACACCAAGAAGCCAUGUGCAACCACGAAGCACGGGCCCUUCAGCACGAGCGACAACCUUUUGUCCAGAGCACUCAGCAAGUCUGAGAGGGGAGUUGUGCAGCAGCUGCGGCAGCUCUUCUUCAUGCUGGAUCACGGGCGCCCCAUCCUCGACUACGUCGGCUCUAAGGAACUGUUCCAGGUGCUGGACGUGCCACACUACCGUGAUAAGCACUGGAGCUGCAACAGUGCCUGGCAGUCUGCAAGGCCAUCUUAUACUUCAUAACUGAUACAUAUUUCUGCAAACCGUCAAGUUCGUUGGCAACAGGCGGUUAGGGCUUGCCGAGUGGCAAAAGUGCACUAGCAACUUCUCCAACUCCUUACGUGCAGUGUAUAACAACGAUUGCUGGUUAACUUCUUGCCACUUUCAUAGUAACGAUGCAAGACUGUCGAUCGACAAAACGACCUUAUCGAAACUUACAGUCAUUGCUCAUUGAAAAUAGGGGUUGGCACGGGUACUAUACUAAAAAAGAGUACUAUACUAUAAUAGUACUAUGCAUAGUACUAUAUAUUAUGCAGGGCUCUAAACUGGCACUAGUUUACGAUGCUCGUACCGUGUUCGUACAUAGUAAAAUAAUAUAGUAAAAAUAGUACUAGAUAGUACUAGAUUUGGGUUUGGAUAGUGUCCAGUAUUAGUUGGACCAAGUCGAGAUCUGCAGUCAAGCUGUAUUUUGAAGGGCUAUAGCCGCGUCUUCGAGCUGUGCUACGUAGUUUUGAUGAAUAAUGUCAAGGGAAUCCAGUAUAAUGAAUGACAAGGCGAUCAGAGGCUUGCAUCCUGGUCCAGACGUCCCCCCUGAAGUAGCUUUUUAACAAGCUACGUAACCAGAAGAAGAACACCAAGACGGGUAGUCUUUGGGACAACUUCGAUGUGGAGUGGUGGGGUGGUCUACCAAAGCUAGUCUGCUUGUUCUGCGAUUAGCGCCGCGAACCCAUCCUUCACCAACGCGCACCACAUCAAGCAAGGUGCUUGCAAGGCUAUCAAACAGCGUGCAGCAUCACUCAGCCAGCAACAGCAACAGAGUGGAACCAGCUCCACUGCAGCGGGCCCCAGCACGAAUUGGAGGGUUACGUACUGGGCCGUUGUAGUGCAGGAACUUCACUAGUAUGGCGUCCGUGUGUUGUCUUGUGAACACUGGGUCUUCUAUCUGUGAUUAUGUCUUUAUGUGCCAUGACACGCCUUGAGACAUGGGGUUUGGGGUCCACCUACCAGGCACUGAACUAACAAAAAGUGAUCUGGAUGACCACAGCGAUCUGCUUUCUAAUGUCUAAGUAGAUAUUUAGAAAGAACAAAAGAAGACCUUUCCAACGGUGUAAUUUUCAGGUACAACGGUUGGUCGUACACCCCCUUCUACUGGGAGCGUGUACCUGCCUAGUAAUAGUAUCAUAGUACUACAUUACUAUAUACAGUACUAUUUCUUAUUAUACUAUACUAUUUGGGUAAAAAAAUAUACUUUUUUUGCCAACCCUAAUUGAAAAUAAGAUGUUCAGCAGCUUUGCCGUUAGCUGCAGGAGUAGAAGCGUGUUUAAAUAUGGAUAUGCUUAGAUGUAUGAAAAUGUGGGAUAUGGAUAUGCUUAAAGGUAUGAAAAUACGUGCGAUACAGCCGCAAUGCACAUUUGUACUUGUUGUUUGACUGGCGACCAAGCGGGCAUUAUACUACAAGCCCGGUUUCCUGGCCCUUUCCGCGCCCAAAAACAUGCAAAUUUACGCUUAAAUAUCGUUCGGUUUUCUCCGAAAAUGCCUUCGGGAGGCUUCAGUGGGGCCCCCGAAGAAAUGCUUCAAAAGGCCCCAAAUACGUUCGGGAUGCUCCGGGCCGCACUAAUUUUCCUUUCGGGCAAAACGGAAAAAUCUCAAAAAUGUUGGGGCCCGGCCAACAUUUUUCGGGGUGAAGAACCCUGCUAUGCAUGCAUCACCACCUGCAGCUCUAUCAGAACACGAGUCCUGGUCCUGAUAAAGUAGCACUAUUUAGAGCUCUAUUCUAGCUAUUCAGGUAUUCUAGCCAUUCAGGUCAUCACCGAAGACUGUAAUCCUUACCUGUGGUAGGCGGUGGCGGGCUUUCUGGAGGUGGUGGCCAGAUGGUGCCUGCGAAUCAAAGGGGAUGACAACGACUACUGGUAGCUGUUCAAGAUAAUUGAAAUAAAAUGCAGGAGCAAAAGGAAUACAACACAUUAUAUAUCUACCACGGCACUAUGUAGUAGGUGGUCGCUGAAAAGGGCUCUCGAGCUGUUGGUUAAGUGCUUUACCCGCAUUUGUAGUCGAUAUGCGUGCCGUACUGUGUACCAGCUAGUACACACUAGGCAUAUACUACUAUGACGACUUUAUAUCACGACCUUUUCCAGAAAAGAACCGAUCGUUGGAUGCAGAACCCAUGAUACGCCCAGACUAUGACAAAUAUCCCUCCCCCAGCUUCAGAUGGCGUCCUCAACCUAGGUCAAUCUCAGGGUCCGGACCCUGGAUCCCUAGGGACCCCUAGGUGCACCUACACCACGUGGUGUCAGCACCCAUAGGACAACCAGAGGUCACGGGGCCUGCCACUUCCCGCCAGCCUACAUCAGACAGGAUUCGAACCUGCAGCUGGAUUCGAUACAGCUGUGUCGACAUCAGAACUAGGAUACCUGCUCGGUAACAAUUAUACGACGUUAUAUCACGACUUUUUCAGGAAAGAACCGAUGUGUGGAAGCAAAUUCCGUCGUAUGCAAAAACAAAACCUGCAUAUGCCCAGAUCUGUUCUAGAACACUACAGGCGUCUGUAGAUUUGUGGAGUGUCAAUGCUUUCAGGCCUGUCUAUAGACAGAUAGCUAUCAUACACAUACCAUGUGCUAUCAUACACAUACCAUGCCCUAUGGCAUAAACAUGCCGGUUACCAACCUUUUGGGGCCCAUUAACCCAACCGGCCGGUUGAAUGGCGUUAACGGCCCGGUUGGGUUAACGGUGGGUUGGGUUAACGGCCAGUUGGGUUAACGAUCAGUUGGGUUAACGGUCGGUUGGGUUAAUGGGCCCCGAACGGUCGGUAACCGGCAUGUUUAUGCCAUAGCGAGUAUCCCGGUAGCGCGGGAACCAUCGUUCGCCAAUAAUAAUUAAAGGCCUCUAAUGCUGCAGGAAAAUUUUAGUAGAAGAUUUAGAACUAUGUAUGUAUUUAGUUUUAGCGUUUGUUCCCGCUUUGAGGGCGUGAAAUGCCGUGUCAUUGUCCCUAAUAAGUCAUUGUCCCGGCAUUUCAAUUGUCGCCCAUAAGCAUGAACCAGGCCACCAACUCACAAGCUUACAUGCAACAACUAAAACCAGGCAAUACUAGCUACGCAAGCUAUGCUAGGACAAACUUUUGAGACGACCAGAGCAGCAUGAAGUGGUGUCAAGCCGAUGUCCCCAAGCAACUGCUUUGAGUCCAUGUCACUAGAUUGGCGCAAUAGGUUGACAAGGUCGUCCAUAUGGCACCUUUCCUUGGACAAGGCAUCCUCCAAUUGGCACGCGGUAAAUUGACUUAGAUUGUUUGCCCUGGCAAACUUAUGUACUCCAAACUCAUCCACUGGACGAUGCUGGCUGUAUUUCUUGCGUGGGCGAUCUUGUCGCCGACGGGCGAUGUUGAACGGUCAAACUCGUACGCGCCGACCUCAUUACCGUUGUCCAUGGACAUUGUGUUGGAAGGAUACGUUAAGGUUCAGAUAAAAUGAAGAAAUGAAGAAGCGCUCCUUCAUAGUAUGGAGAUGGUAGAAUCUUCAAGCAACUUUUGAACGACCAGGGAGAGUUGCUGAUAGGCGAAUUUGUAUGAAGCUAUAGAAUUCCUUUAUUCUUUCAAGGUAAAUGAAUGCUUAUGUAUUCGUCCGUUAGUAGCGUGAAGCUUUGAACACUCUUUGUACGGCAGAUUCGGCACAAUGUUUUGCCUCAUUGCGAUGUUGCCUGAAAAUUUUGAACAGAAGGGAUCACUGCUCAUGCUGGUGCAGCAAGACAUGUAAGGAGAUGGCCUGGUCACAAUCCAGCAGUCAUAUAUCGACAAUCUCAAGCUAUGACAACUUGUUACAUGUGUCUGUAAUAAAAAAGGGACUUUGCGAUGGUGUGGGGAGCUCUUUGAGUGGUGGGACUGUGGAAAUCCAGUUUGUUUCGCCCGUAACAAGUUUGUUACGGGCGAAACAACGUCCCUCUGAAACGUUUGGAUAUGCCUAUGCAACACAUUUCCUCAAUUUCAUGAACUGCAAGUAUUUUAAUCCAACAUCACCCCAAUCUCAGUGUAAACUAGUCUCCAAAUGUGCCUGCACAAGACUGUCACCCCUGUCACCCGGCAUUCACAUUGCCUUAACCUCCUCAAGCUUGUCGGGGUGUGACACGUGGGCAUGAACCUUGUGACAAUGGGCAUUGUCACAAAGAAACUGGUUGCAAUCAGAAAUGCAUUUUUGCUCAUGCCAGGUUACCGACAUCGGUUACCGAUUACUGGGGACGGUUAACUGGACCCGUUAACCGGCCUGGAGUAUGCCAUUGGGAUGGCACGAUCUAUAGACCAACCUAUACAAUAAAUCCUUUUAAAUAUGCGAUGGCCCAAUGGAACACGUUUCAUGGUCUACGUAUAGGGUCAUCAUAAAAAUGUACAUUUAUAUCGCGUUUAGUUGAUACAGAUUAUGGAUGCUAACCAAGCAUUUGAUAUGCACACGCACCUGGAAUUUUUUGAAAAAAACAAACUGAUUUCAAGUACGUCAAUGGAUCCGCAGACGCCUUCAUCCAGCCGUUGACAUUGAAGCCUUGGCAUUCUGGCAACUUGGCACACUCGGUAGCAGCUGCUGCAGCGGAGCCAGGGUUGCCCAGGUCGUCCCCACCGUGGUCGGUGUCCGGAAGUGCAAUGUAGCCAUAAAAACUUGGACAUGCUGUGGAAGUCGGUACGGGAUGAGAACAAAGGAUUGUUAAAGCAGCGGUGGUUGGCAUUCAGGGGCUCAUUAGUGGUAAUUUUGCAGGCACUAGUUCGUUGGUCCCGAGAGCGAGUGAUCCCCAACUCGUACUCGCUCUCGGGACCCGUGAACUAGUGUCUGCAAAUUGUUUUAUGGUUUCUAGCUAGACAGAAUCAUUGUACAAACAAAUACUCUACAACAUUCUGAAGUCGGAUGGGGUGACGGAUUAGGGUGCCCCUCUAGCAGGGGAGAGCAGGGACUGCCCCGGGAAAGGGGGCCGAUGGCGAAGUUAACCACUCUGUAACAACAUACAUACAUACAUUCACACAUAUAGGGUUUGGCACCACUGGUAAGGCGCGACCGUUGCCCCCGGGAUCGAUACCCAUUCGGGUCCAAGACCUUCCAAUGGUGGAAGGCAUUGCGCCCCUAGUUGAUGGACGGUAGUGAUCUGAGAUAAAGUUAACCUGCGAACCUUAAAGUCGCUGUAAGUUUCGAUAAGCUUAUCGAAACUUACAGUCAUUGGUCAUUGAAAUAUGUUCAGCAGCUUUGCCGUUAGCUGCAGGAAUAGAAACGCGUUUAUCUAUGGAUAUGCUUAGAUGUAUGAAAAUGUGGGAUAUGGAUAUGCUUAAAGGUAUGAAAAUAAGUGCGAUACAGCCGCAAUGCACAUUUGUACUUGUUGUUUGACUGGCCACCAAGCGGGCCUUAUACUGCAAGCCCGGUUUCCUGGCCCUUUCCGCGCCCGAAAACAUGCAAAUUUACGCUUAAGUAUCGUUCGGUUUCUCCGAAAAUGCCUUCGGGAGGCUUCAGUGGGGGCCCCGAAGAAAUGCUUCAAAAGGCCUCAAAUCCGUUCGGGAUGCUCCGGGCCGCACUAAUUUUCCUUUCGGGCAAAACGGAAAAAUCUCAAAAACGUUGGGGCCCGCCCAACAUUUUUCGGGGUGAAGAACCCUGCUAUGCAUGCAUCACCACCUGCAGCUCUAUCAGAACACGAGUCCUGGUCCUGAUAAAGUAGCACUAUUUAGAGCUCUAUUCUAGCUAUUCAGGUAUUCUAGCCAUUCAGGUCAUCACCGAAGACUGUAAUCCUUACCUGUGGUAGGCGGUGGCGGGCUUUCUGGAGGUGGUGGCCAGAUGGUGCCUGCGAAUCAAAGGGGAUGACAACGACUACUGGUAGCUGUUCAAGAUAAUUGAAAUAAAAUGCAGGAGCAAAAGGAAUACAACACAGUAUAUAUCUACCACGGCACUAUGUAGUAGGUGGUCGCUGAAAAGGGCUCUCGAGCUGUUGGUUAAGUGCUUUACCCGCAUUUGUAGUCGAUAUGCGUGCCGUACUGUGUACCAGCUAGUACACACUAGGCAUAUACUACUAUGACGACUUUAUAUCACGACCUUUUCCAGAAAAGAACCGAUCGUUGGAUUCAGAACCCAUGAUACGCCCAGACUACGACAAAUAUCCCUCCCCCAGCUUCAGAUGGCGUCCUCAACCUAGGUCAAUCUCAGGGUCCGGACCCUGGAUCCCUAGGGACCCCUAGGUGCACCUACACCACGUGGUGUCAGCACCCAUAGGACAACCAGAGGUCACGGGGCCUGCCACUUCCCGCCAGCCUACAUCAGACAGGAUUCGAACCUGCAGCUGGAUUCGAUACAGCUGUGUCGACAUCAGAACUAGGAUACCUGCUCGGUAACAAUUAUACGACGUUAUAUCACGACUAUUUCAGGAAAGAACCGAUGUGUGGAAGCAAAUUCCGUCAUAUGCAAAAACAAAACCUGCAUAUGCCCAGAUCUGUUCUAGAACACUACAGGCGUCGACGCCUGUAGUGUUCUACAGACGUCUGUAGAUUUGUGGAGUGUCAAUGCUUUCAGGCCUGUCUAUAGACAGAUAGCUAUCAUACACAUACCAUGUGCUAUCAUACACAUACCAUGGCACGAUCUAUAGACCAACCUAUACAAUAAAUCCUUUUUAAUAUGCGAUGGCCCAAUGGAACACGUUUCAUGGUCUACGUAUAGGGUCAUCGUAAAAAUGUACAUUUAUAUCGCGUUUAGUUGAUACAGAUUACGAAUGCUAACCAAGCAUUUGAUAUGCACACGCACCUGGAAUUUUUUGAAAAAAACAAACUGAUUCCAAGUACGUCAGUGGAUCCACAGACGCCUUCAUCCAGCCGUUGGCAUUGAAGCCUCGACAAUCUUGCAACUUGGCACACUCGGUAGCGGCUGCUGCAGUUGAGCCAGGGUUGCCCAGGUCGUCCCCCCCGUGGUCGGUGUCCGGAAGUGCAAUGUAGCCAUAAAAACUUGGACAUGCUGUGGAAUUAGGAAAGGGAAGUGCCAAAACAUUGUGUAUGACCCAUUUAGCUACCAAAAGGCAUUGAUGCUGUGAGUUUCUGCAUGGUGCAGUAAGUUAUACUUAUGGCAUCCACUGGCCUCCCUUGACAAGGGAGGCCUUUUUGCAACACAGCUGACAUUUGUCACCCGUAACUGUUCAGUAUUGCCACAUGACGAUGAAUGUGGUCGUCGACGUCUAUCUUUAAACGGCCUCAAACAAUGGAAAAUGGAACCAAGAAACCGUGACAGCUGCCAUCUGGUGUAGAUAAAGGCCUCUCGAGAUGCUGGACCGGUCGGAUGCUUUGUGCAUAUUUGUAGAUUAAAUGCGAGCCGUACCGUGUACAAGAUACUACAUGAUGUAUAAAUGUAUACAUUUGGUGAAAGUAAUACGUACCAAUCUGGCUUGUAUAUCCUGCCAGGAUAUCACUUAACAGUGAUAAGUGCAGCUGCGGUGGCCUGCAUGUAUGCAGUUCUAUCACCAGCUGCAGCUCUACAAGAACACGAGUCCUGUCCUGGUAAAGUAGCAUUAUAUAGAGCUGUAAUCUAGUCACGUCAGGUCAUCACCGAAGACUGUAAUCCUUACCUGUGGUAGGCGGUGGCGGGCUUUCUGGAGGUGGUGGCCAGAUGGCGCCUGCGAAUCAAAGGGGAUGACAACGACCACUGGUAGCUGUUCAAGAUAAUUAAUGAAAUGCAGGAGGAAAAGAAUUACAACAUAGUUAUAUACCAGAGCACUAUGUAGAAUACUACGAACACGGAGGCGGUUUAAGUACGUUCUUAAGUCGCGAUCGGUCUUAGCCCAGCCAAAUUGAUGAAAAUGAAUAAUCAUUAGAAUGUUCUUUGACCGUUCUAAGAAUGUAUGAACUUCCAUUUACCUCAAUUUUCUUUAGUAUUCUUAAGGCCUAGCAAUCUUAUGGAUUCUCUUUGAUUCUUUGGGGUGUUCUUAUACGUUCUUAGGGUAACUGAUUAAUUCUUCGACCAAAGCAUACUUAGCUGCUCUUUGGCGGGUUUUAACCAUUCUUACCACUAAUUUGCUAAGUAUGGCUCUCAUUCUUAGGUCUUAUACUCAGGGCAUUCUUUUUGCUGCUUACAUUCUUAAGCUUUAAAAAUACAUUCUUAAGGGUGUUCUUGAUGGAAAAACCAUCGACCUUUCAGCCACAUUCACCGGCCUGUGCUUCCCUAUCUAGCCUUGUAUCUAAUUAGAUUGUUGAGUGCACAUGUUUCAGUGCACCCACUGAUGUUUUACGGUAUGAUUUCCUGGACGAUGAAACCUAUGGCAUGCACUACAUAUUACUUGCUAGGGUUUGGCAUUACUGGUAACGCGUGACCAUUGCCCUCGGGAGAUCCCGGGAUUGAUACCCGCUAGGGUUAAAAACCCUAGCAUGACACGGCAUGCAUAGGGGGUGGGUGGGGGGGGAAGAGGUUCAUCAGGCGUAAUGUAAUCAGAGUUAAAAUUUGUUGCGUAUUCAACAAAACGGACUGUAAUUAAGGAGCUCGGGGGCGCAUUGCAUGGGCCCAGGCGUGGAGUGGUGCAGUCCGGAGUCGGUGCACGGUCCAGUCCAGGAUGAAAAGAAAAGAACAAUAAACGAUGACGACACGAAAAACGAACCACAUGAUGACGAAAGUUAACCUGCGAGCCGACCAGGAAUGGAGCUGGGCCGCUGUCAACCCGGCAGAUUCCAUUGGAUGCUGGUGGUGGGUGUGGAACCUGAGCGAUCCACUGAGAAGUUGACUAGCUAGGGUGACUGGAUCAGGGUGACUAUAGGGUGACUGGAUGAGGGUGCCUAUAGGGUGCCUAUAGGGUGCCUAUAGGGUGACUGGAUGAGGGUGCCCCGAAAUACCGGGGAAGGCAGGGUUUCGCAGGGUAGCUGCCACGGGCGAAGAUACACUCCCCUGUUUCACACAUCACAUUACUUGUUAGGGUCGAACCUAUAAUUUCAGACAAUUAAAGCUAAUCACUAUCUCGAAUCUUAUUGUACAAGAAAAGACCUCACAAGAUGCCCAUCCAGCGCUUCGAUACUAUAUAUACUAAAUGCGUGUGCAGUAUACUGUGAGCUGCACCAAGCGCCGUACCCUAACAGAUGUGCGUGUACGACAGACAACCCAACACCUGUUCAGCAACUCAGCUAUGAGCCCUGGCCCCUGUAAAAAACCCUGGCAUGCUGUAAGAGGGAUCAGCUCCCCUGACAUCUCCCUGAGUACUCUUUGCCUGGUGUCACAUUGGUGCGAAUUGCUAGGAGGUGGGAACUCCCUAGAUCGAUUCCAGAUGCGAACAUAGCUAUAGCGCACACCAGGUAAGAUGCAGCAUACUCUUACCCCAAAGGUGGAUGCCCGGGUGGGCGAGAAGUCUACCAGCUGAGUAAAAACAAAAUCCACCAUCUCGGAUGGGGACUGACGAAAUGUUACAAUAACAAACAAAUUCACAAUCCUACGGGAUCUCAAGCAACCAAAAUAUCCUACGGGAUAUGCCUGGGGGCGCCCGAGGACGUUCACUUGAGGGGGGGAGGAAUGUAAGAGGGAUCAGCUCCCCUGGCAUCUCCCUGAGUACUGUUUGCCUGGUGUUACGCGUGCAGCCAGACAGGGCCACAUACCUGCUGCAGCUCACUGCCCAACGCCAUCCCUGGCUACUGUAGCUGCAUGAAAAACAAGAGGAGCCCCGAAGCCGCUGUCAUGUUUAGCUGAAUCCAAAUGGAAGCAUCCUUGCUUGCCAUGGAGAGCCUGGCAGACUCAUGUGUUUUCUACAAGCCCCCACCAGAAGAGUUUGGGCCUACUGGAACCCUCACCUACCAGCAAUGCAUGUACUGGACUGUUACCAACACCUCUGAGCCUGCAGUCUCCACAGAGCACAUGUGCAACGGGCGGGGCUACAAGGAAAAGAACCGGGGGCACGACUUAAUGAUUCCCAGCUCCUACAGCUGCAUGAUAUGUACAUCUGCCACAGCACGGAAUAUUCGUGGGUCUUCACAGUUUACAUGAACUGGCUCUGGGACCAUUGGUCAGACAACAGCACGGCCACUACAUGCCAAGCAUCCUCACCCACCUGCGGCUAAAACACCUCGGUGCUUUGCAACCCAAGUCCGAGCAAUUCUGUCGUAUGGCUGCCAGGUGUGGGGUCCUUUUGCACUGGCAGAGGUCGUGGACAGAGCGGGAAGGUGGCGGGAUAAAGCCAACCUUGUGGAGGUGUAGUAAGCUACAUUUCCCUUAGGAUAUUUUAACGAUUACUGUUAACAAUAACUGUUAAUUCGUUAACGAUUCGACUCGAGUUUCGUACAUGUUACAAGUUUCGUCACAUGUCUUGAACAUGGCAGUUGUUCGUAAGCGAACCUAACGGGUUGGGGCCCCGGGCCCCAAGGACAUUAUCCUAGUACGGCAGGACCGUGGUAGGGAAUCUCCGGCAGGUAGGCCGAGAUAUAAGUAGGGUUGCGCCGACCAUUAGAAGUAGAAUUCUAACGUAGAAUAAUUCUAAUGAGAAAUCACCCUAUAAAUGAGAAGGGCCUGCUUCUGGGAUUAGGAUGAGAAAGCUGUACGACAGCCUGGAUCCUGCAUUAGAAUCGCCAGAAACAGAUGCUUGUGCAUUAUAAUACUUGCACAUUAGUACCUUACCUAUAGAUGUUACUCUGGGUCAGCUAUGGCAGAUCAAGCGGACAAGCCUGACACAAAGCAACCUGACCAUCAGCCCGACAACAUUGAAGUUUACAAGUAUGGUGACAAGAAUUUAGACGCCCCUGCCUAUGCUAAUGUUCUCAAAGAAGCUAAGGCAAAGGCGCACGUCGUGGUGGGUUCGUUUCAACGUCCUGCUGACAGCUGGCGCUGUGUGGCGCCAAUGUGUCCGCUGCAACAAGAUCCUGAGCGCUAAGAAUCCGUCACAAUUUUGCUCUCAGCACGUCAGAGGACUGAGACUGUGAAGCCGAGCCUGGGGCCGUUGCGUACCCCUGAGUACUUGGGACUCUCGUUCUAUUGAGGUUCCUGACGCAGAUUGUUGGGUUUGAAUUUAGCGUACUGGUGUCUGUAUCCGUCUGGCCGUCGGGCCUGGGGGCCGUUGCGUAUCCCUGAGUACAUGAAUGGAAUGGUUGGUGGGACUGCGUGCCUUCCACUAUAGUGACGGCAUGUUCAUACAGGCCUUUCGGUUCCGUGAGGCAGGGUGGGGUUCCCAGACAGUGACUGCAUUGCCCCAUGCAACUGGCUGGAAAUAACAACACUUGGCAAGGUUAGCUUUGCAUUCUAAGGGGGGUAUAUAUGGCCAAGAGGUACACCCUUCUGGGUUACGACCCCCGCCAUCGACUUUCGGCCUAAAAAAGUUGGAAACGCCUGGAUAACCAUGAGCCGCCAUGCCCGCAAAUGCUCAGUUAAUUCUUCGCGCUGGGUGAAAAGAUAGCAAAGUAAUUCUCAUUCUCAUUCUCAUAUUCUAAUUAGAAAUGAUAUGAGAAGGAUUUUCCUUCUACAGUUAGGAACAAGCUAAGAUAUAAGGACGUGUUCACAUGUGGGCGAAUCAGAGUUGAUUCAUGCGAAUUGGAUUCUGAAUUGGACCUGAUUGGACCCGAAUCGGAAUUGGGGUCCGGGGGGGCCUCUUCGGGUAUGAAUCGACGUGAUUCACAGUUUUCUUUCUCAAAACAAAGUUGUUUAACAAACCGUUUCUCAUACCCUAUGGCAUAAACAUGCCGGUUACCGACCGNUUGGGGCCCAUUAACCCAACCGGCCGGNUGAAUGGCGUUAACGGCCCGGUUGGGUUAACGGUCGGUUGGGUUAACAGCCAGUUGGGUUAACGAUCAGUUGGGCUAACGGUCGGUUGGGUUAAUGGGCCCCAAACGGUCGGUAACCGGCAUGUUUAUGCCAUAGGGUAUGAGAAACGGUUUGUUAAACAACUUUGNNNNNNNNNNNNNNNNNNNNNNNNNNNNNNNNNNNNNNNNNNNNNNNNNNNNNNNNNNNNNNNNNNNNNNNNNNNNNNNNNNNNNNNNNNNNNNNNNNNNNNNNNNNNNNNNNNNNNNNNNNNNNNNNNNNNNNNNNNNNNNNNNNNNNNNNNNNNNNNNNNNNNNNNNNNNNNNNNNNNNNNNNNNNNNNNNNNNNNNNNNNNNNNNNNNNNNNNNNNNNNNNNNNNNNNNNNNNNNNNNNNNNNNNNNNNNNNNNNNNNNNNNNNNNNNNNNNNNNNNNNNNNNNNNNNNNNNNNNNNNNNNNNNNNNNNNNNNNNNNNNNNNNNNNNNNNNNNNNNNNNNNNCCGAUGUUGCCUGAAAAUUUUGAACAGAAGGGAUCACUGCUCAUGCUGGUGCAGCAAGACAUGUAAGGAGAUGGCCUGGUCACAAUCCAGCAGUCAUAUAUCGACAAUCUCAAGCUAUGACAACUUGUUACAUGUGUCUGUAAUAAAAAAGGGACUUUGCGAUGGUGUGGGGAGCUCUUUGAGUGGUGGGACUGUGGAAAUCCAGUUUGUUUCGCCCGUAACAAGUUUGUUACGGGCGAAACAACGUCCCUCUGAAACGUUUGGAUAUGCCUAUGCAACACAUUUCUUCAAUUUCAUGAACUGCAAGUAUUCUAAUCCAACAUCACCCCAAUCUCAGUGUAAACUAGUCUCCAAAUGUGCCUGCACAAGACUGUCACCCCUGUCACCCGGCAUUCACAUUGCCUUAACCUCCUCAAGCUUGUCGGGGUGUGACACGUGGGCAUGAACCUUGUGACAAUGGGCAUUGUCACAAAGAAACUGGUACAAUCAGAAAUGCAUUUUUGCUCAUGCCAGGUUACCGACAUCGGUUACCGAUUACUGGGGACGGUUAACGGAUAACGGUUCGCCCGGUAAUCCUACCGACCGGUUACCCAUCUCGUUAACUGGACCCGUUAGGUCGGAACCGGGCCGGAACCGGCCUGGAGUAUGCCAUUGGGAUAAUUACCAUUAUAAGGGGGUGUUUCCACUUGGAUUAAAAGUCGCGGAUUAAGGUAUUUUUAAGCCGCGCCAAUCCACCGCUAAUCCGUCGGAGUGUUUCAUACGUCUGGAUUAAGAAACGGAUUGAAGUACGACACUUGCUCAUUCCGUGCAUAAAAUGCAAAAACGAGUAUUGCCAGACAUUUAAAAGACUAUCGAGUAUCAACAUGAAGGCCUUGUAGCACCUUUGAAGAACACCCACGGUGUGGUGCAUAAUGCCGAACAAGAAGCACAAAGCUUCCACAAAACUAGGAACACCUACAGCCUUUAUAAAGGAUAAACUUCCAACCUAUCACUCAGGCUUUUUAUGAGGCGUCGUGAAAAGUGUUAAUCCGAGAUUGUCAAUUUGAUACCUGGUGGCCACCAGGUAGCAAAUGUUUCGCACCGAGUUUGAGCUUUUAGUAUAAGCAGAAAGCUCGCAUUUCAUAGCAUAUUAAUCUAUAAUUAAUCCGCGAAGCGCGUGAAUACGGACGGAAAUCUCUAACUAAUCGCGCCAACCUUAAUCCGCCUAAUCCGUUCUAAUCCGCGCGAUGUUUCCAUAUGCGACGGAUUAAGCCUUAAUCCGCGACUUUUAAUCCAAGUGGAAACACCCCCUAAUACUAUAGGAACAUUUUCCAAUUGUUAAUUCACGCAAAGCGCACCGAGCAUUUUUCACGAACUCCUGCAGCUAUGUAUGUACAAGCCUGGUGAUAAUUUUCGCCAUAGAAACGAUACUUAUACUGUUCUGUUCCUAGAUAAUGCUGGCUUGCCUUGGGUGAUGGGGUGUAGCCGCGGAGCUUCAGCUGGGCGCGGUGGCACCUCCCGAUUCCAGUUGCCGUGCAGUGAAUCGUAUGUGAACACAAUUCAGAAAGCCGCCCCGAAUCGGACUCCCAAUCAGACUCUCAAUUGGACUACAUGUGAACACACCCUAAGCUACCCGGGCGGGGUGCUCUGGCCAGACACUGAAGUAUCACGACUACUAGGUGUUCGGACUUCAAGACUCGGCGGCAGCGGAGUCUUGAAGUCCCCGCUGCCGCCGUAUAGAUUGUUUUCGUACGUGUCUAUGUAUGCUAGUGCUUGCCGCUGGGUUGGACUUCUUCCUGCCUCGGCGAGGACUGUCAACUCAACACUUCCACUUAGUCAGUCGACCCGUCUGGUGAGCGACUGCUACAGGAGGGCAUGUUUGAAGCCUGUUUGAAGGAUAGUGCAGUCCAGCUGCAGAUUUUAUUCAUGAGGCAGGUAGUGGGGACGGCACGGCCAUCCCACAGGCUGUUGUAUGCGGAGCUGGCUGAACUCCCCUUACAGUAUUACAUGGUGAAACAGAUCCUCCGUUUCUGGAACCGCCUUCAAAAGCAAGUGAGUCCAUUGCUCAUGCAGUUUUACAGCAGGAGAUCACCGAUGCCCUGACCAACCCAGAAUGGGAGGGUUGGGGAACCUCAAUGUUACGACUUCUUGGAGUGCAAUAUUUGGAGCAGAAUACCGCAAGAAGUCAUGGGGGUAAAGUAGCGUGUUGACUGGUUGUUGAGUAGGCCUCUACCCGAAGGAGCGAUGAUAACAGCACUAAGAGAGCGUUUGGUGAGCGGCUGGGACCUUACGCGUCUGACUGUCUUGCCAGAGGAGGUACCCAUCAGAUGGGAAGCAACCGGGAGUGCAAAUGGCGAAGUAUAAGCACUGGAUGGGGCUGCCCUUUAUCGGAAGCCGCAGCCGCCAUGUGGCCAACACAUGCUAAGGUUUUCAUUCCUCGUUUAGCACAUCAUAAGCUAAUGCAGUUUCGUUUAUGUUGCUGGGCUCUGGAGGCAAACAGAGCAGGAAGGGGCAAGUACCAUGUCCCCAGGGGACAGCGGUUUUGCCGCUGUUGUGGUACUAAUAGCCGAAUCGAUGAUGAAAAACACAUGUUGUUGGGAUGCCAGCCUAUAAUGAUAUUCGUGCUGAAGAGGGAUUCGAUCAUCAACAGAGCAUGUUGGAGGCCAUGAAAUGGGAACCAGUAUGUCUGGCGAGGAUGUUGGAACAUAUGUGGGCUCACUGAAACUCAGUUACCCCCUUUCGAUGCUAGCCUGGGCUGAUGUGCUGUGUUUCCUGUUCUCUGUGGCUUUUAGGUCUAUAGGUAUUGCCCUUGGGCCUUCGGCUCGCAUGGGUAGUUUUACAGGUAUGUCACACACACCCCAACCAUGUGACACACACACACAUACACACACAACACCUCAGGUGUGGUUACAUGCUGGAAAAGGAUGGUGCCACUGUCAGGAAACAAGUCAGGUGUCGGCUUCCUCGAAGCCAGGAAAAGGGUGGGGCCCCCAUGCAUCUGUACAGGCCGGUAGCUAGCACGGCACGUGUGACAAUUGAUGGGUAGUGUCAACAUGGUGGGAGAUGUGCUUUGUAGCAGCAGUGCUGAUGGUGUGGGAGCUAAGCUUGCACCGGCGGAAUCGUCAGCACCGUCUGCGGGCUCCACAUGAAUCGCAUCCAUCCCGGGUGCAUGCCGCAUGGACAGUGUGGCAGAUCGCAAGUCGGCAGAUCGCAAGUCGGAAGGCCCGGGUGGCAAGUCGGAAUGCCAGUGCAGGCAAAUGGUAACACAAGCUGAGUGUUCAAGUUAUCAUACGCUGUCAUCUCAGAAUUCAAUUAUGAGAUACACGGCACCUUUUGAAAAGAAGUUUAGCCUGAGAGGCGUUGAUGUGACUUUGAGCUUGGUCAAUGGAGACUCAUUUGUGCUCAUACGAUUUUUGUUGGCUACAGGCGAGGUACCUUGCAAUAGAGAAUGCAGUAUAUUACCGAUAAUGCGUUUCAGCCGGGUGAAAUAUUAUGUUUGGUCCGGUACACAUGGCUACACUGCCACACGGCCACACGGCCACAUGGCCACACGGCCACACGGCCACACGGCCACACGGCCACACGGCCACACGGCCACAUGGCCACACGGCCACAUGGCCACAUGGCCACAUGGCCACAUGGCCACAUGGCCACAUGGCCACAUGGCCACAUGGCCACAUGGCCACAUGGCCACAUGGCCACACGGCCACAUGGCCACACGGCCACAUGGCCACACGGCCACACGGCCACACAGCCACACAGCCACACGGCCACACGGCCACACGGCCACACGGCCACACGGCCACACGGCCACACGGCCACACGGCCACACGGCCACACGGCCACACGGCCACACGGCCACACGGCCACACGGCCACACGGCCACACGGCCACACGGCCACACGGCCACACGGCCACACGGCCACAUGGCCACACGGCCACAUGGCCACAUGGCCACAUGGCCACAUGGCCACAUGGCCACAUGGCCACAUGGCCACAUGGCCACAUGGCCACAUGGCCACAUGGCCACAUGGCCACAUGGCCACACAGACAUGGGCAAUUCUACAGGGCGGGUCCCCCUGGGUGCUUCACGCUGGGGCCCCGCCCCAAAACAGGUGGUAGGUAUAAUAGUUGGGACGGCUGAUAAAAUUACUUAUAUACAUACAUACCAAGGUUUGGCACUAGGGUUUGGCAUUACUGGUAACGCGUGACCAUUGCCCCAGGGAGAUCUUGGGAUUGAUACCCGUUAGGGUCAAAAAUCCUUCCGAUGGUGGAAGGUAUUGCGCCCCUAGUUGAUGGACGGUGGUGACACCCACAUCCAGUCACCCUAGUCAACUUCUGAGUGGAUCGCUCAGGUUCUGCACCCACCACCAGCAUCCAACGGAAUCUGCCGGGUCGACAGCGGCCCAACUCCAUUCUCGGCCGGAUUGCAGGCUAACUUCAUCCCAGGUCACCGCCGUUCAUCAACUAGGGGCACAAUACCAUACCACAUUGGAAGGAUUUUCGACACUAUCAUAUCUCGAUCCCGGGAUCUCCCGGGGCAAUGGUCACGCGUUACCAAUAGUGCCAAAACCUAGUAUGCCCUGCCAUGCAUGGGUGGAGAAAUGCAGUAAGGGUCAAAUGUUUGCAUCCUCAUGUAUGUACCCCUUGGUCAUCGUCAGAACACAUGUUCAAGUAGUGUAGAUGGACCCCACUGUCAGCAUCUUCCCACCAUGACCCAUCCCCACUAUCCACAUCCUUUUCAAUGACCACUUCACUGAUGAUUGAAUCUUCCAGCGGUCGCCACUCACACUACUGUUGGAUCUCCCUGCCAUGACCCACCCAUGCUGUCUGCAUCUUCAUGACCGACCCCCAUUCCGCAUAUAACCAUAUUGCAUCUCUCCUGCAUGUGCAGGCAUUCAUGCAUUAAUGUAGUAUUACUGCCUUUGGGAGCUCUGGUGUUGUGACUCUUGGAUUACACCUGGGCUCAUUAUGGAUGGCCGACCUGUUACUGAUGAAGUUCGGCUUGCAACAUCCUUCACCGAGCGCCUGGCAUCUGUAACCCUCAACAGCUAUCUGCAGCUUCAACCCUUCAAUGAAGGCAACAAAAUUGCUCUUCACGAGUGGCGGUUCAUCAUCAGUCAAUGCCCUUCCAGUUCAGAAAUGUGCGCGGGGAAAAUCAUGGACAUCUUUUGUUACAAAUCACCCAUUCAUCCAGGCAAUGAUGUGGUUCUUGAAGUUGAGUGUCAUGCCCCGAUGGUCGGCAGGCAAGGCCAGCCAAUUACUGAUGAAGGGAUGAAUAAUAGUUAGUGCUAAGGCUGCCACCCUGUGUUCAUGUGGUUCCACUAAAUUUAGUUUUAGGGUUUAAAACCCUAAAGCCCUAAGCUUACUACAUGGCCCAGGACAUAGCUCCCUGCAGGGUGCACACCCUGACCCACCCCACCAACAAGGCAGCUCUGUGUGUGCUAUCAAAAAGCGUCUCCUUCAUGCGUUUGGCGGGCUGCGAGCCAUUACACACACUCACCAGGCAGGCUGCAAACAUGUGCUGAAGGAGGGUACCCUCCAGUGGCAGGGUGGUGCAAGAGGGUACCCUCCAGUGCCACCCCUUUGACACUGAAGGUUCUCCCCAAAGGGGAGGAAGCUCGUCCCUUACAGUGUCCCAUGGGUGUCCCUUGGGUGUCCCUUUGGUGCCUCUUCGGUGUCCCUUGGGUGUCCCUUACGGUGUCCCUUGGGUGUCCCUUACGGUGUCCCUUGGGUGUCCCUUUGGUGUCCCUUUGGUGCCUCUUCGGUGCCCGAGACCGAAUUUACCAAAACCUUGGUUGACAGUAGCACCUGGCUAAUUAUUAACCACCAAGCGUCCCCUUAAUGGCAGAAUGCUCAUUCAGGAUGCAGUGGAGGGUCGAGCACAGGAUACGGUUGGGAAGGAGUGGGAUAGAAAUGUGGACCCAGGAAGAGUCAACGUUGACUCUUCCUGGGUGUUAACACCAACCCACCAAAGAUGAGGAUGGCAGAGGAUGAGGGGAUGCAGUCACCUGGGUGUGGGAUGUUUGCAAGCAUUGUAUUGUGUAUUAUUGUGUAUUGUGUAUUGUCUAUUGUCUAUUGCCUAUAGACAAUAGCUAUUGUCUAUUGUACAAUCUAUAUACCAAUCAAUACAAUAAUCUAUCAACAAUCUAUUCCUCGGUCCUUAUAUAUAUCCCUAUAUGUAGACCAUGAAACAUUUACCGAUGCAUUUAGGUGAUACAGAUUGCAGAUGCUAAUUAAUUGGUUAUACCCAAUUGGUUGCCAGCAUUUGCUGUGCACACACACCUGGAAUUUUUUGAAAAAAACAAACUGAUUCCAAGUACGUCAGUGGAUCUGCAGACGCCUUCAUCCAGCCGUUGACAUUGAAGCCUUGGCAAUCUGGCAACUUGGCACACUCGGUAGCGGCUGCUGCAGCGGAGCCAGGGUUGCCCAGGUCGUCCCCACCGUGGUCGGUGUCCGGAAGUGCAAUGUAGCCAUAAAAACUUGGACAUGCUGUGGAAUUAGGAAAGGGAAGUGCCAAAACACUGUGUAUGACCCAUUUCGCUACCAAAAGGCAUUGAUGCUGUGAGUUUCUGCAUGGUGCAGUAAGUUAUACUUAUGCAUGAACUAUGUAAACUAACCUUGCAUUGUACACAUCCACAUAUGCUAUCCAAAUUUAUUUAGUCUUCUGGCCCUGUUCACUGCUGUAGUGGGAACAGGAAAGGGCCUGUGCAAGCUACAUCAUGUCACACUGUGGCACUACUUGGAAACAUAUUUAAGUUUUUAAGUACAUACAUUAUUAGUUCAGUAUGACUGCUGGGGUGCAUGGCCAUGGACGUUCGUUACAGUGAAGGUUGUUGAAACACGUAAUAUCUGGGGAUAACAACGCAGGCGGCUGGCAGAGCUGACUGCUGCUCCCAGCCGACCCGGGUUCAAAUUCGCCUGCCGACCUCUCGGGUGUUAGAGAGGGGGUGAAAUGGGAGGUGGCCCCCCAUCUUGUGGACGAUGAAGGACGUGAUAAAAUCAACUUGCGAGCUGACCAGGAAUUAAGAUGAGGCGCCGUUGAUCCGUUAGAUUUGGUUGGAUGCUGGUGGUGAGUUGCCAAACUCAAAGAGUACACUCUGAAGUCGGAUGGGGUGAAUGGCUUAGGGUCAGGGGAGAGCAGGAAAUUGCCUCGGGAAGGAGGCCACUGGUGAAGCUUAACCACCUGUAACAACAUCAACAACGCCCAACUGUAAGAGGGAUCAGCUCCCCUGGCAUCUCCCUGAGUACUCUUUGCCUGGUGUCACAUUGGUGCGAAUUGCUAGGAGGUGUGAAUUCCCCGGAUCGAAUCCGGUUGUGAACAUAGCGCACACCAGGCAUGAUGCAGCAUACUCUUACCCCUAAGGUGGAUGCCCGGGUGGGUGAGAAGUCUACCAGCUGAGUAAAAACAAAGUCCUCCAUCUCGGACGGGAACUGACGAAAUUCCACAAUAACAAACAUACUCACAAUCCUACGGGAUCUCAAACAACCUAAAAUCCCACGGGAUAUGCUCGGGGGCGCCUGAGGACGUUCACUCUAAGGGGGGAGGAAUGUAAGAGGGAUCAGCUCCCCUGACAUCUCCCUGAGUACUCUUUGCCUGGUGUCACACCAACCAGGCACCGGUGCCGGUCAGAGUUUCUUAGCUUAAACGCAGAUGCAGCUAACAACCACCUCUAUCGACAUGAGCACCGUUUAGACAUGGUUGGGCUCAUUGUGAAUGAUCAUCCAAGGGAGGCCUAGGCCUUUUUGCAACACAGCUGACAUUUGUCACCCGUAACUGUUCAGUAUUGCCACAUGACGAUGAAUGUGGUCGUCGACAUCUUAUCUUUAAACGGCCUCAAACAAUGGAAAAUGGAACCAAGAAACCGUGACAGGCUGCCAUCUGGUGUAGAUAAAGGCCUCUCGAGAUGCUGGACUGGUCGAAUGCUUUGUGUGUAUUUGUAGAUUAUAUGUGUGCCGUAAGUGUUUUCUUUUUCACUUUUGCCGGUUAAAUUUCCAGUCCGAACGGAGGAAUAUGUUUCUAGUCGCGGGAAUAAAAGUAUUCCGAAUCUGUAAGAUGCUUGGGGCGGGCUACACCCCCCCCCCGGGCCCCCCGAUGAGUUAUAGUUUAGUUCGUACAAACACGGAGGUUGGGGAAUGUCACAACACGUGCACACCACAAUUUCUCCAUAGAGGUGUCUCUUGCACGCCAGGAAGCGGCGCGCACUUGGACGCUUUGUCAGGAACCCCGAUUGCACGGGCGACUGCUGUUGCAGAACCCAAGCAAACACAGCUGUCUGCAGACCCGUUAACCCCUACUCAAGCACUGAUCGAAUAGAGUUCUUCACCAUCGUUCGUUUUGCAUCACGUUGAGAUAACACUAAAAGAUAACACUACACGACUUUCCAGAUCGCAAAAGUAAUGAUGCAUAGCAGCAAUGAACCAGAACCACCAAACGCAACCUCUGCCAUUGGUUGCAGCCCCUGCUGUUGAUGCUGCAUGCUAGUUAGUGGUUCAUCAUGUACCGGCCCCUGCUGUUGCUGGCCUUCCACUUCUCCAGUGCCGCCUCAAAGGGGAACACAUCCUCACAUUCGCUGUAAUGCACUGCGCCCAUGUAAACAUAGCUCCGAAGUACAGCUGCCACUUGAGGGGAUGCUUGUCCUUCUUCUCCAGCCACGUGCCAUAGCUCUGCCCCUUCACAACCCGCUGCAUCUCCGGUCGUGGCGUCUUUGCACCGCAGAGAGUGGGGUUAGGAGUCUUAGCUGUAGCGCCGGGGUCGCUGCAGCCAUCGACCACGACGGCCGUGUUUCCUGGCCCAUCGCGAUUGUAUCCAUAUGAAGAACGUUGACGUUUGGCCCGCUCACUGUCGACAACCAGAGUGGCAUCAUUGUCGUCUGCUGGCUGCAGCAUUGCGUCCACAUUGCCUACGACCUCUACACCGUCUUCAUUAAUGUCGCUUAUGGCUCCAGUGUAGUUUAAUAUCUGCUUUAAUGGCUUGCCACGCUUUGGGAGCUUCGGGUCCGAAUAUUUUGCAGUAUUUGGUCCGGUCAGAAACAGUCCGCCGCUGAUUCCUCGUUCACUUUCGGGCAUGACCUUCCUAACAGUAUCCAUGGCAUUAAAGUACUAUGAUAUUGUUAACAUAUAUGUCUGUAUGUCUCCAGUAAGAUUCUAGCGGCUUUGGCAUGGACAGUCCAUUUUUGGCUGAAGGAAUGAACUUGUACGGUCGGAACAAUAUCUAUUCUUUAUUUUCAGGACCGCGAACAAUUUUUAUUCCGAGUUCGGAAUAUAUUCCGCAAAAAAAGUUGCACUUAACAGCGAUAAGUGAUGCUGCGGUGGCCUGCAUGUGUGCAGUUCUAUCACCAGCUGCAGCUCUACCAGAACACGAGUCCUGUCCUGGUAAAGUAGCACUAUUUAGAGCUGUAAUCUAGUCACUUUAGGUCAUCAAUGAAGACUGUAAUCCUUACCUGUGGUAGGCGGUGGCGGGCUUUCUGGAGGUGGUGGCCAGAUGGUGCCUGCGAAUCAAAGGGGAUGACAACGACCACUAGUUACUGGUAGCUGUACAGCUACAUUGAUGAUCUUGAAGAUGUUCAAGAUAAUGGUUGAAAUGCAGGAGCAAAAGAAUUACAACAUACAGGGUGUUUCCACUUGGCCGAACACUAGUGUUCUAGCACUAGUACUAACACUAAGUUUGAAUGUUCUUCGUCCUGGACUCGUCUCUGGCUGUUCUAAAUGCAUAUAUUGAUACUACUAAUGAUAGUAGAAAAUAUUCAUCAAACAAAUCGGAGGUUGGGGCACUCCUGGCGGAGAACCGUAAGGCCUAGUGGAAACACCCAGUACACUAAGUCCACACUAGCGCACACUAAAGUUAAUUGGACCUCAGACCUGCCAUUAACUUUAGUACCUAGCACUAACUAUUUGGCGGGCAACUUUUAUGAGCUGGAUUGUCCCUUCUGACCAUAGACUUUAGACGUAAGCAGCUAUCUUUUUUCCUUCCUGCAAACGCCGCGUUGACUUGCGCACGCCCAACACCGACAGCCUCAGAACACCGCCAUUUUGCAAUGGAGCCCUCCUUCAAUAACUUUCAGCAAAAAUAUACCGCUAGUUUGCCUUCCUUCGCUGGCCGGACGUUGCCAAUGCACCAUGCGGACUUCAUGGCGGACAUCAUGAUGCAGGCUGCACCGCAGCGGACCUCAAAUACGCGAAUUCUUACAGACCUUGACAAUUAUCAGCAAUUAAUCCCUGGCGCUAAAACAUUCAAAAUACGAAAACAAUUUUGGUUUCGGCGCUCCUUAGUGCCGCUAGUGGAAACACCGUCACACUAGCACUACACUGAAACCCUAAGUCCACACUAGCACAUAGCGUACCGAAGAUAGUGUUCGGACAAGUGGAAACACCCUGAUAGCUAUAUACCAGGGCACUAUGUAGUAGCUAGCUGGCCACUGGCCGCUGGAAAGGCCUCUCGAGAUGUUAUAACCUAUUAUAACAUAAUUAGUUAAGACCUUCACGCAUAUAAUUUGUAGUCAAUAUGUGUGCAGUACUGUACCAGCUACUACACACUCGGUAUCUAUACGUCUGUAAAAUUGUGGAGUUUCAGGCCGGUCUAUUAAUAGACAAUAUUGUACCAUGGCACGCGUCAAUUGUGCAAUCUGUAUACCAACCGAUACAAUAAAUCUAUCAACAAUCUAUUCCUCAGUCCUUUUUAUUAUAUGAUUACGCUAUGCGUAGACCAUGAAACAUUUACCGAUGCAUUUAGGCGAUACAGAUUACAGAUGCUAACCAAGCAUUUGCUGCCCACACGCACCUGGAAUUUUUUGAAAAAAACAAACUGAUUCCAAGUACGUCAAUGGAUCCGCAGACGCCUUCAUCCAGCCGUUGACAUUGAAGCCUUGGCAUUCUGGCAACUUGGCACACUCGGUAGCGGCUGCUGCAGCGGAGCCAGGGUUGCCCAGGUCGUCCCCACCGUGGUCGGUGUCCGGAAAUGCAAUGUAGCCAUAAAAACUUGGACAUGCUGUGGAAUCGGGAAAGGGAAAGGUCAAAACAUUGCGUAUGACCCAUUUAGCUACCAAAAGGCAUAUGCAUUGCAAAACAUCAAUCGGCUUUGAUGGACAUCCCCGCACUCGUGCAGAACUUGUUACUUGCAAGUAACAAUUGUAACUUCUUACUAGUUCAAUGGAUGCUGUGUGUUUCUGCAUGCAUGAACUAUUAAGAUGUUACAAGUAACAAGAUCUGCACGAUGCAGGGAUGUCCAUAAAAGCUGGGGCCCUGUGGACGUACGGUAAAUCAUUUUUAGUGCGGUUAACGUUACAUGGUGCACCAUUUAACGCCCUCUAGAGGUCUAGGUGCAUGUGAGUUCAGCAUAUGAUGUGGCUUAUAGUGUGGGAGGGGGUAGGCGCAGUGUGUUCCCUAGCAUCUCAAGAGGCCUUUUCGGCGGCCAGCUAACACACAUAACAGCGGGCGCUGGCUGGGCCUUGAUUCUCAUGCCUUACAUGCCAUUCGGUAAGGGAACAAUAAUGGAUACCGCUGCUGAUACAACACGCAAUCCCUCUCAUGAUUGCCUUUGCCACUAGGUGUACGAUUGACAUGUAAGCAGCCUUGUCUCGCAGUUCAGGCGUCACUCUUCCAUGUCUACCGCUACCUUGUCUACCCUAUACAAGCAGAAACCUGCUGAUUGCCCAUUACUCUUCAUGUUAUAAAGUAAAGGUACAACAUGGAUUUUUCUUUGCACUUCUCUCAUGCCCAGCUUGUGAGCAGCCGUGCGGAGGAGUCAUAAUAUUAAGACCAUUAAUGCAUGGUCAUCAUAACACUAAUGCAAGGCAUAACUAUAAGAAGGGUUCAGCUCCCUUGGCAUCUCCCUUGAGUACUCUUUGCCUGGUGUUACAUUGGUGCGAAUUAAAAGGUGGGAAUUUCCCGGACCGAAUCCGGUUACAAACAUAGCGCAUUCCAGAUGCAGCACACUCUUACCCCAAAGGUGGAUGCCAGUAAAGUCUACCAGCUGAUCACUCAUGCGUGAAUGUCAUAAUAGCAAAGAAACUCACAAUCCUACGGGAUCUCAAACAACCUUAAUCCUACGGGAUAUGCCCGGGGGCGCUCGAGGACGUUCCCUCGAGGGUGGGAAGAAUGUAAGAAGGGUUCAGCUCCCUUAGCAUCUCCAUGCAUGGAGAUGCAAAGAGUACUCAUAUGAGUACUCUUUUGCCUGGUGUUACAAUAACUGGAAUCUGCUGUUUUCUGCCGAUUGUUGUCUGAUGCUGUCAAUAAAAUUUUUAAUUAUCUAUAUGUGGUGUCUUAAUAAAAUGGAAAGGAACGCUUAAUAUACCAGACGGUCAAACCUUUUCCAGAUGAGUGCUGCCAAAAACUGGACAUUCGGCUUGCAAGCCUCAAUUGAGAAGGCUGGGCAGUAGUAAAAUGAGGCAUGCACCCCACGUGCAGGGUGAGCAGGGAGGCAUGCCUCCUGCAUGCGCAUGCAUGCAGGACAGGCUUGCAACGGGCGGGAAAGACAUGUGUGUGUAUGCCCAUGCAGGAAGGCAUGAUAUAUGUGCAUUGGCAACGAGGCAGGCAUGUGUGUGUNNNNNNNNNNNNNNNNNNNNNNNNNNNNNNNNNNNNNNNNNNNNNNNNNNCACACACAUGCCUGAUCUGAGGCGUGAUGAGGCAGGCCCGCCUCAUCGCAUACACCUAGGUGUAUGUGAGAUGGGCAUGACAUGUAUGCAUGUAAUGUAAUGUAAUGUAAUGCAUUACAUUACAUAUGACCUUGACAUAUGUCAAGGUAGGUGAGGCAGUUGUAUGCUUACAUUACAUUACAUGCAUGCAUAUGUGUCAAGGUAGGUGAGGCAGUUGUACAUGCAUGCACAGGCGUAGAUAGAUGAAGCAGAUGUGGGUGGAGGAAGGUGCAUGAGAUGGGUAUGCAUAGGGGCAAGCUUCUUUGGGCGCAUUUAUGGAAGCCUGGACUAUAUUCUCUCCCAUGUCUCCAAGUAGGGAGAGUAGGAUACUACUAGUAGUACCCUUUCCCAGGGUAAGGUUGCACACCCGCCGUCCUGCUUCAGACAUGCCCGUGUUGCCACCUCCCUUUACCUGGUUAACUCCCUACCCCUGGGUGGGCUUACUGACCCCGGGGUCAGUAACGAGGAGCCCCUCGUUACUACAGGGGUUCAGAGGCCUCUCUCCCUAGGAUCCUAAGAGGCUUCACCGCCCUAGGGCGCCCUAGGCACUAAAAGGCCUUAAGAAGCUUCUAGUGCCACGGCCGUUGGAUGGCAGGCCACGCAAGCAAGCCAAGAGUACUAGUGUGGGGAAGAAGGGCUUGGAGAAAUUUGCUAGCUAGUUGCCUGCCCACACGAACGUAUAAGAGCAUCCCAAUGAAUAAAAGAGAAUCCAUAAGACUUCUGGGCCAUGAAGAAUGCUAAAGAAAAUUAAAGAAUGGUUUUAAGAUAAACGGAGGUCAUACGAACGUUCUUAGAACGGUCAAAGAACUUUUGGUUAUCCAAAUUUGGCUGGGCUAAGACUGACUUAAGAACGUUCUUAAACCGCCUCCGUGUUCGUAGGGACAUGUGUGUACAUAUGUGCAUGUAUUCAGUAUGCACCUGGCUAAACACAGACAUAGGCAUUCCACUGUGCUCCCUUUGCUUCAAGAAAGUGUACAUGUACAUGUAGUAGCUGGCCACUGAAAAGGCCGCUAGCUAUGAUGCGGGGGGAGCAACUUAGCGCGUAGUUAACGUUACAGAAGAUAUGUGUGCCGUACUAUGUACAGCUACUACAUUCCUCUCCCGCUGAGAUGACAUGCCCCGAAUAGCCCCGACUAGUCGGCUAGUCGGGGCUAUAGUACUAUAGCUCGUAGUCAUAUAUAUGCUGGGGGAAUGUUAAUAUUCCCCCAUCCCCCGACUACAACACCUGAAUUUUAAGGUGUUGUACCCUAGGUACAUAUCCUGAUUAUUAGUCAUGUUAACAUUGGCAUGUGUGCCCACAUUAUCAGAACACGAGUCCUGUCCUGGCAAGGUAGCAUGUUUUAGAGCUGUAUUCCAGUCACGCUAGGUCAUCGCUGACUGUAAUCCUUACCUGCGGUAGGUGGUGGCGGGCUUCCUGGAGGUGUCGGGGUUUCUGGAGGUGGUGACCAGAUUGUGCCUGUGAAUCGAAGAGACAACGAGCAUCACUGGUAGCUGGUCAAAGAUAGUGAUUAAAUACAGGGGCAAAAGAAAUACAAUGUAGUAGCUACUGGCUAAGACUGCAUCGUGUGAACAUCCACUUAUAUCAGUGCAUGUUAUACCGUACUGCUAUUGUACAUUCCUGAUAUUCAUAUACUGCCAUAGGGUACCCGCGGGUUAUACCCCGUCUGUAAAAGUUUUCAUAUGAAAACUUUUACAGAUGAUGCAUCACUCAUCUUUUGACCAUCUAUUUUCAGGCCUACCUAAUGCACCGUGGCACGUUCUAUAUAUCAUCCUUUACAAUGAAUUUAUAUAUGUUUUGUUUAUUCCUCUGUCCUGUCUAUUCACUGGAUCCGGAUCCAGUGUCUUCCAAGACACUCUUCCGGAAUUCCGGAAUUCCGGAUCCGUUCAGAUUUGGGCGUGCAUAUGCACGAAGCGUACUUAAGUACCCUGUCGCACUUAAUCGACCCAUUCUUUAAUUCUGUAUCGAGGAUUUAAAAUUGCAAAGCAUACUUGCUUCCGACGCUCUAGACGCACCGGUUGUACGUGUACGAGUGUGCUUGCACACUCCAGAUCCGGAGUGUGCAACUCCGGAGUGUGCAGGAUCCUGCGGCCUUAGGUGGGGCAGCAUGCCAUAUCUGGCUCCUAUCCCUAGACAGCCCCUAUGGCAGUCCGGAGACGUGUAACUCGUCAGGCUCAGUAGCUACGGGGCAGUUGUCUGGACAGCUGUCCAGACCUGACAGCUGUCCAGACAACUGCCUGCAGGUUAUAAUUAUAACCUGGUGAGUAAUUACUCACCAGCUAGAAGCUUGGUUAAUGUGAAACCUUGGAAGUGUGAUAAUUAGGCACAGAUAUGCCCGCUGAAUGUGUCAAAAGUUAUGAUGAGGUUAGUUAAAAUGUUUGCCAGCCAAUAUGAGCGCAGGGAGACAUUGUUUGUCCUGACGACCUGCUCUCUACCUACGGCCAUUUGGCAGUCCGGAGACGUGUAGCGCCAAGGCUCAGCAGCUACGGGACAGUUGUCUGGAUGAGGUUACUGUAGAUGUGCAGCCCCGAAAGCACAAUGGAAAGCAUGAAUAUAACUGGUGAAUGCAUCAUAAGUGAGGUUUAUAAACCUAAUUAGGUGUUUGCCACCUGUAUUGGUGCUCCAAUGUACGGCUUUGGCUAUUAUGGCUUCAAUGUCCUCUCCAUCAAACAAAUAUCUUCAUUAUGAAAGAACAAAGCACGUAGCCAUGACUCCCAACUCAGUCGAGCACGAUAUGGGCCAAAUAUUGUCGCUAAUCGGAACCGCUUUAAGUAAGAAGGUAUUCAGAACAGCUUCAAUUGGGAUAAGGGACUUGUGUUAUCUUUUAGUAUGCCUUGUAGUAACAUCUAAAUAGAACUCACCGCCACUCACUGUCGCUAAACUAACAUUAGUUAUUCCUGGCUGACGUCCAGCCGGGAAUGGAGGCGGGUGGCCACCGUGAGGAGGAAUUGGGCUCGCUUGGAGAGGUGAGUUGGAAGGGAGGGUCGGUGCUCGUAUGUGUUUUAUGUGGGGCGUUAAAACACUGUCGUCUCCGAUAUGGCUAUCGGAGUACGGCAGAUUUGUUUUAUGUAGGCAGGUGGGGGUGGGCCACAUAUGUGUCAGGGUUGUUUUUCUUUGUGGAUUCGUUACCCGUUGCCCUCUUUCUUGUUCCUGAUGCUAUGGAGGGUGGCUGGGGCUGGUUGGGGGGGGGGGCGUGUAUGUUUCGCCUCCGUCAUUGACGUGCCUGCCCUAAUUGUCAAGUUCCAUACACGUGCUGCACGUGCAGCAGGCCUCGGAAGGUGGGGCCGACGUCCAGCCGGGAAUGGAGGUAAGAUGGGAGGGAGGGUCGGGGCUGUUAUGUGUUUUAUGUGGGGCGUCAAAAAGCUGUCGUACUCCGAUAUGUCUAUCGGAACACGGCAGAUUCGUUUUAUGUAGGCAGGUGGGAGUGGGCCACAUAUGUGCCAGUGUUGUUUUUCUUUGUGAAUUCGUUACCCGUUGCCCUCUUUCUUGUUCCUGAUGCUAUGGAGGGGCUGGUUGGGGGAGGGGGGCGUGUAUGUUUUGCCGCCGUCAUUGACGUGCCUGCCCUAAUUUGUCAUGUGUAUAUGUAAAAUUAUGAAUCCACUCAUACAAGGUCUAUCCCUAUCCCUAUGGCAGCCUGGCUGGGAGCUAUGGACCUCCCCCUAGCAACUGGAUUAGUAGCUCCUGAGACGGGUUGCUUCCACNNNNNNNNNNNNNNNNNNNNNNNNNNNNNNNNNNNNNNNNNNNNNNNNNNGUCUCAGGAGCUACUAGUCCAGUUGCUAGGGGGGCCCGUAGCUCCCAGUUUGGCUGCCAUAGGGGCAGCUUACAACCACUAGUUUAAAUCUUAAGCUUGUAGUACAAGCUUAAGCUUGUAGUACAAGCUUAAGCUUGUGGAAGAAUUUAUAAAUUAUGCAUAAUUAUGCUUUACACGUAGAGCUCAUUUUCACACCCAAAUGCUAAAUGCACACCACUUUGCCCUCAUUAGGGCUUAUAAUGGUUCUCAUAAAAUUCCAAAUGCGCUUGCGGCCAUGAAAACACUGCGGUGGCAUCAUGAUAAUCCUCACAUGCAGCACGGGUGGGGGUUGGAUGGUGAGUGAUGGCUGGCUUCUAUGGUCACAAUGGAACAUUCUAUGUCAUAUGAGAUUACGCUUUUAGCUACCGUAGCGAACGAUGGUGACCAUCGUUUAUACUAUAAGAAUAGGAUGCGAUGUUAAUUCCUGCACGGGAAAUGACAGUGAUAUAUCACGUAUAUACGUGGACAGGGUGGCCACCCUGGGGAUAGCUUGUGAAUCCCCAUGGGGAUAGCUUGUGAAGAGGUUCUGUCAGGCUGUUCGGUGGUCCCCUUCGGUGGUCACCCUUCGGUGGUCCGCUGUUCCUACCUCUUUCAGAUCUAGAGUAAGAAAGAAGCUCAAAAAGUCCAAAUCCGGACGAACUUCUGUCCUCCAGUGAUUAUACGAUGCCCCUGUCUAUAGGUGAGGACAAAUUUUACCGGUAAUUUUACCAGUACCAAUGGUAGCGUUUGAUGUGCACACGCACCUGGAAUUUUUUUAAAAAAACAAACUGAUUCCAAGUACGUCAAUGGAUCCGCAGACGCCUUCAUCCAGCCGUUGACAUUGAAGCCUUGGCAUUCUGGCAACUUGGCACACUCGGUAGCGGCUGCUGCAGCGGAGCCAGGGUUGCCCAGGUCGUCCCCACCGUGGUCGGUGUCCGGAAAUGCAAUGUAGCCAUAAAACCUUGGACAUGCUGUGAAGUCGGGAAAGGCCGAGGACAAAAAUUGGUUCGAUUAUUGUGUAUCUAUGGCAUGCAUGCCCGGCAUAUCUGUUGUGCAUCUCUGUGGGAAAGAGGACCAAUUGGUCCUCCCAGUUGCAACUGGGGGGGGGGGAAAUUGUUGAAUGUCUUCUGGCUGCCGUACUUUACUUUCCCAAGAAGCCUCAAAUUGUAGCUGUAGUACAGUAUAGCACACACCAUCAAGCAUAGAUUUGUGAUAAAGUGCAUUCCCAGCAUCUCAUGAUCGCAAGCAGAGCAAGGCUUUUCCGGCACCCAGUGGCUGCAGCCACGUGGCUGCACUGCCCCGACAGUGCACUGCCCCGACAAUGCCUUGUCCUAAGCUGCCUGCAUACUGCGGGUUUAAACCCGCAGUAUGCAGACAGCUUAAUUUAAAAAUUAAGGUUUAAACCCGCAGUAUGCAGACAGCUUAUUUGCUACACAUGUGAACCAUAUCCAUCAUUGUGGACGUUCAUGUGUAGAACCAAAACGUUUCGGGGCGAGGUGUGGCCGUGUCAAGGAUGGACAUAUAUCCAGCGAGAAGUUGAAAGGAGGCGGCCGGAUCCGGAGGCGCCCGCUGUGAAGGUGUGGAGGGUGCGAAGGUGCUAAGAGCUCUUAGGGUGUACUUGCAUGGAUGUUGGUUGGUGGUCCACCUUACUGCGGGAUGCUCUGGGUAUUUCAAAUUUGACUGAGAAAUGCAUAAUAAUAUGUAUUUCAUUUUUUAUUUGGCAUUAAUGCCAAAAGCGUGGCAUGAUCUCUGCAUCCAUCGAUCAGGUUUUUUGGGCGGGGCCCCAGCAUGAAGCGCCCAGCUGGGGGGCCCCGACCUGUAGGAUUGUCCAUAUGGACAUGCAUGUCCGUGUGGCUGUGUGGUGUUGUGGCCGUGUGGCCAUGCACGGCCGUUAGGCCAGUUAAUCUCUAACUCCCAACAGCAUAACCGGAAACACAUAAACACUUGAUGCACUCACAUGAUUGCACCACGUGCACCUGCAGGCUUUGUGACUGUGGGGCAGUUGAAGACAAAUACAUGUUUUUGGGCAGGGCCGCAGCAUGAAGCGCUUCGUGCUGGGGCGUUAGCUGGAGCGCUAGCGCCCAGGGGGGCCCCUGUAGGAUUGCCCAUGCCCAUGUGGCCGUGUGGCUGUGUAUAACAGACCAAACAUAAUAUAUAGCCGUCUGAAACACGUUAUUGGUAAUAACUAGAGAUCGAUACCUUGCAAUAGCGGAUGCAAUUUAUUACCAAUAACGCGUUUCAGACGGCGAUAUAUUAUGUUUGGUCUGUUAUACACGGCCACACGGCCACACGGCCACAUGGGAGUGCCUCCAUUAAACCGUCGGCAUGCCAUAAGGCAGGUAGGGAGGCACGCUCCCUUCACGGACCCCCUGUCUUGCAUGUACGUACAUGCAGGUAGGAUACAUAUAUGUAGGGUACAUGUAGGUUAUAUGUAGGGUACAUAUAUAUAGGGUAUAUACCCUACCGUCUAGGCAUGCCUGUGGGCCUAAAUCCCCAUCUGCAUGCUCGUCCUUAAUCCCACCACGCAUAGUGCAUUCCAAUGCAAUGACGAAAUUCCGUCACCACAUUAAUAAAGUACCAUUCCACAACAGUAUGUAACUAAGCAGGCCAUAAUAACACACGCUGAAGAUCACUGACGGGAACUUUCGAAACUUUAUUGAAUUCAAUAAAGCAAACCUUGUGUCUGCAUGCACAUGCGCGCAUGCGCAUGCAUGCAGAUGCACCUAGUCUGCCGGGCCAUGUAAUGCAGCUGACGUGAGGGUGAUAGCUGUGUCUGCUGCGAUAAAAAAUGCAUCGGGUUGGUGUGCAAAGAGAGCAUGCACAGGAUAUUCUCCUUGGGCAGAUCUGCCCUCUAGAGGUAUACCUCUACGUAGACACACCUUCAGUUGGUGGCGGCAGUGCAUCACCUGCAUUCAUUCAUGUUCAAUCCGGAACAGCAUGCAUGCAUGGCUUGUCAUAAUAACGCAGGAAUAUGGGUUGGCCUGGCAAGAAGGUCUUUAGCCUCUGUGCGUGUGCGGUCGAUAAGCCGUUCAUCGUAUCUGCUUAUCUAGCGAGUCGAAGUGAAGAGUCUCUUGCGACGUCUGAGGGCCCCACCACCCUGCCUCAAGCAAGGCUUAGCAAAGCCCCAACUAUAGGAGUGAAGAUGUGUGGAUAUGAAAAUGAAAAUGGCAUGAGUCAGGUAUGGUAGCUUGCCACAUACUAGCACGCGUAUGUACGGAGCGGACGAACUUCAUGACCCUAGACGGCUCGCUUUACGUUCUCGGUUAAAAUGGAAAACAAAAAAUAAGUCGGACCAUAUUAUAUUAAGCAAGUAAAGGCGCCUGCUGCGCUAUAGCAGACGUGCGCUAGCGUGUUGUUAGAUAGCUAGCCGCCUGUCUGGAAGGUAAACUUUGCAGGCGCUAAUCCCUAACCAAUGCAUACAUAACAACACAUGCAACGAUAAGACUGGGCUAUUUCCAAUUUCAGCUCAUGCUUAUGCCCCGCAUAAAACUUACUAUCAUAAUAUUGAGCACCGGCCACUGCGAACAAAAUUACGAGGAUAGAACAGAGCAAUAUUGCAAGAUAGCGUCUGUUGAAACCACCCUUUGGCCUGCGCAUGCACUGCCACCGCUGCUGGUGCGCCAGAUCCAUUGUAACUUGGUCAUACAUUACUUGUGGGCAUAUAAUAGCAUAAUUUGUUUCUGUUGCAAUGUCGCACAACACAUAAGGAAAUGUACAUGCGGUAAAUGUUAGUUGCCUUCAAUUUAACGUUUCAUAGUACGCCUGAUCUACCAUACAGCAUCAACACUUAAAUUAUUUAUAAACCCUAUUUCAUCGCUCUGAUAAACAAGGCUCAUAUACGUGCGUAAAAUCCUUAUUAGUAUAUUAACUGGGUAACCAUGCUUCCAUUUUCCAAGUGAAAACUGAUAUUCCCGUAUUCCCAGACUUUCCGGAAAUGUCUGGGAUUCCAGACAUGCACUCGAAGGAGUCCCCCACAGCAAAUACGUUUCUGUACCCGUUGUGACAUAGGAUGGAAAUGGACAAAUAUAAUUCAAUCCAAACGUUAGGAUGGCCUGAUUUGCUGGNNGNGCGGGGCGGGACCGCAUGUCAGCAAAUCAGGCCAUCCUAACGUUUGGAUUGAAAUAUAUUUACAUGCAUGUAAAUGGUGACCAUUCAGGCCAUGCAAAUGCCGGUUGUUUUCUAUUCUGUCCAUAACUAUUCUGCUCUGAGCUUCGGCCUUUUAGAAGUUUUGAAACGACCGUUGUUCAACCCAGCAAUAAGUUGAUGUGCCACAUCAGUGCCUCGAGUAAGCCCAAAGCUUAGCCCCACCUGUAAGAAGGGUUCAGCUCCCUUGGCAGUACCGUAGUGCUACUUAUAGUUUGUGAUCGCUUUGUUCGGGGAGGGGUCAAAAAACUUUCUGAAAUUUGUAAGUGCUCUUUGAAUUUCGGGGAAGGCUGGACCAGAUUUUGCGGGCAUGAUACAAAUUUCGGGGCCCCUUCCAAAGUUUCGGGGCUUUUCAAACUGCAGCUUCUAGUCAGUCUCCCUCCCUUAGGCUCAUGGUCUCUCACCAUUUUCGCACUUUGGAAACGCCCUAGCAAAUCCUGGACCGAUCGUACAGUUCAGUACCAGUGGUAACGACCUAAUAACCAACCGGCCGGGCCAAUACAGUGUUUGGGUGGUUGCUACUGAAACGUGUCUUCAUGUGGCUGAAACCCCGACAUAAAAGGCAUUACGACGCAGCUGGAUGCACCAAACAGGAACCCUCACCCCUCACCUCGCAUGAUGCUCAUUUGGUAGCGCUGCGGCGGAACCCUGAUCUGCUGCGAACAGCAUUCACCAGCGCCUGGACCUCGCCCUCAUCCUCCAGCGUUGUUCAUGUCCUACGUUUAUGACUAUAUUUUAUGUAUUUAAGAGCUGAUUUCCGCCUUGAAAUCCUAGUUUUUGCGAAGUUUGAUCGACGGGCUUCGGAGGGUACGAUAUUUCGGGGCUGUGGUCCCUUGGGAUACCUUAGAAUUUGUACGUGCGACAUAUUCGUGGUGCCUCCCGAAUUAUUGUAGCACGAACUAUAAGUAGCACUACGGUACGCUUUGCCUGGUGUUACAUGGGUGUGAAUCGCUGGGAGGUGGGAACUUCCCGGAUCAAAUCCGGAUGCGAACAUCUCCCACACCAGGCACGAUUAUACUCUUAUACUCUUACCCCAAAGGUGGAUGCCCGGGUGGGCGAAAAGCCUACCAGCUGAGUAAAAACAAAAUCCUCCAUCUCUGACGGGGACUGACGAAAUGUCACAAUGACAAGUUGGGUGUCGGCUUCAAGGAAGCCGGAAAAAGGGCGGGGUCCCUCUGCAUCCGUACAGGCAGGUAGCAAUCGACAUCCAGGUGCAUGCCGCAUGGACAUUCGGGUGCAUGCCGCAUCGCAUGGACAGUACGGCAGACCGCAAACGGAGCCAUUGCUUAACAUAUGAAGUCCGGUGCUGUCUGUGAUGUUUAGGUCUUGAAGCACCAGCGGCUACAGGAAAGCACCCCACUGCCGCAUGGCUUUGUAAUAAUUAAACAGAUAAGUAAGAGCGGCAGAGUGCAACUCUUCGGAGGCCCCGUGCAUUGGCCAAAGUAAAUGUACAAACAAGCAGCUUGUGUAUUUCAUAGAGAAAUGAAAGCAAAUUUGUUGGCCUGCUGGUGGCAAUGUUGUAUCCUGUAAAGGUUUUCUGCAACGGUUUGGGCGCCGAAUCCUAACUGUCGGUGGUUAUCUCGUCCACUCCGAUUUACCGAACUUCAAUGUUACUAACACCCAUCAAUUCCGCUGUCGGUGGUUACAGGUUUUAACUAAUACUGCUAUUAGUUUAAUUGCGGCUACUGUUAGCUGCGGCGGCUACGAUUAGUCUACUGCUGUUAGUCGUCCGCCACAUUAAUGCCGCACCGCUGCGGAAGUCCAUGGGCGCCGGCGGCUAAAGCGACUACUGUUAGUCGUCCGCCAUUCAAGUGCCGCACUGCUGCGGAAGUCCAUGGGCGCCGGCGGCUAAAGCGACUACUGUUAGUCGUCCGCCAUUCAAGUGCCGCACUGCUGUGGAAGUCCAUGGGCGCCGGCGGCUAAAGCGACUACUGUUAGUCGUCCACCGUUCAAAUGCCGCACCGUUGCGGAGGUCCAUAGCAGGGUUAGACAGGACCUUCCUAAAAUGGUCGGGUUGCCGGUUUUCCCCUUCCCAUGCCCGUUGGCCCCGCCCGAUAGCGUUUUUGCAUAUCUUUCAAUUUCUGUCGCGAUCGGGUGCCCCGAUAGCCCAUCCCAAAACCUGUCGGGUGACGCAAGAACGAAAUUUCGCUGUGUGCCGCUUGAAAUUACAUUUAUUCGUAUUUUAUAUGCGCAGUUUCCAGUUCUCAGUUUGCAGUUCACAGUUAUGAUAUGCACGAACAAACACACACACAGCAACACAUGCACGCCUGCACGUCUGCCUGUGAGCAUCACAACCCGAGCUCUUCAAGGAGACCCUUAGACACCGUAGGACUGGAGAGGAACAUCUCCCCCUCAUCGGCAACCUCACUGCCAGACUCACUGGACAGUUCUGGAUCCCCAUCACUCAUAAAUGCCUCGCUGGCCUCCUCUUCGUCAUCUUCCCCCUCAUCAGCCGGCUCCUCAUCGCUCUCAACAUCACUAUCCAAGCAUGGCACUGUAGUGCGUGAAACCCCCAUACGAUCGAGCAGGUUCAGCUUGGGAAAGCUGUUUUGGUAAAGCCCACAGACUUACAGGACGAGGCAGCAAAUGUUCGAAAGGGCAAUGUAAAGCUGCAUAUGGUCUUUGUAUUAAUUGAAAAUCACCAAUCCAGUAGCAAAGGAUAAUCCGGGCUGGGAUUGAGCGGCGGCCAUCACCAAUCCCUGUACGUUUGGGAUCCAGGUCGGGUGCCGGACUGCCUAACUCGCAGAAAAGCACACAUAAAGCAAUAUUUCCUGCCAAACUUUACAUUAUAUAGUCAUUACAUUAUUAAAUUAUUACUUGGUCAGCAAGAGUUGCAUCAUGGCAGGAAGGCAGCGCACAAUGUUUGACUUCGCACCGAAGCUGCCCAAGGAUGCGCCAGUGGAUGAGCGUCUGGGGGUCCAGCCUACUAGAAUCGACCCUGAAAUCGUUGCGGCCCAGACUGCUCGCGACGAGGCGGCGAAGGCUGCGAUGCAAGCGCAGAUUGACUCGGCCGCGGAAGCAGACGCCAUCGCUGCCAUUGAGAAGCAACUGGAGCCAGAUGCAGCACAGCUUGGUCGUCCUGCGGGCUCGGCUGCUCAGGCAGCAACUCCGUUGCUGGAGUCUCUCAGGCUCGCGAACGGUGCGGUUAGCGCUGCACGUCUGGCCCCUCCCGCUCGCCCCCGAGUGUCUGGCCCCCGUGGCAACUACCACAUUUUCUCGCACAACGAUAAGCAGACGGUCGUCAACAAGGUCAAGUACCUGACCGGCCACGUGAGUGGAAGCGUUGCAAGGGAGGGAUUCCAACUAUUCAUAUCUCAUCCGCCUGUCAGGAUGUGAAGAAGCCCAAGAUCCAGAGCGCCAUCAACACCCUGUACAAUGAGGCUCCUCACCUGUUCAGUGAGAAGGACCGGCCUCUUGCAUGGCAGACCGUCAAAAACUGGUGGUUUCAGUGGCUCGAGGACAAGACGGUUUUUACCCGCGCUAAGCAGCUGGGCGGGAGGGCUUUCAAAUCAACCAUUCCUGCAGAGGUGAUGGUCCUCACCAAGACGGCCAUCCAGGACAUGGUCGCCAGCGGCUGCCAGGUGUGCUUACUUCACUUAGGAGCCCCAGAUGUACUUCGUAGAGUUCCUUGCAAGCCCAGGAGGGCCGUUUGAUGUACGUUACCGCCUGUCAUCCCCUCAUCCCAUGCUUUUCAGGCCAAUUCCUCAACCAUGCGGCCCUACAUCGUCGCCACCCUCAAGGCAGAGGGCUACGGCAGCAUUCUGGAGGAGUAUGGUGGCACAUUUCGCUGCAGCGCUUCCUGGAUUCGCAAGGUCUGCAAGAAGCUCAGGCUUUCCCACCGUGCCGCUACCUGCACGGCACAGAAGCUUCCGCCCAACGCCCAGGAGCUGCUCAAGCUCUUCGUGGACCAGGUAGGCCUGGGCACGUUCAAUCAGGCUGGGGAAAUUCCGGUCUUGUAGAGCUGAUUAUGAGAAGUGAUCUACAAGAUGACGCCGCUACCUCAUUUACCACGCCUCAAUCGUAAACCCAAUCCCUCUACUGUGUGUUCAGGUUGCUUGGCUGGUCGGUGAGAAGAAAAUCCCGCCGGCCCUCGUCAUCAACGCCGACCAGACAGGCGCCAACCUCUUCCCCGUCAGCUACCGCACCUACGCUGCCAUUGGUGCUAAGCAGGUCCGGCAGCUGGGGCUGGACGACAAGCGCCAGAUCAUGGCCAUGAUUGCCGUGUCUGCGGCCGGGGAUAUGCUGCCGCUCAAGGUCAUCUUCCAGGUAAAACAAGCGGUUGGGAAGUGUUAACAUGUCUUAGACAGCAGGCACAUAGCAUCCGUAUAGGUACGUAACACUUUUUAUACUGUACCCCAUUUUUUGUAGGGGAAGACCGAGCGCGCCCUGCCAUCAGGCCCUUCCAUGGAGGCGGCCCAGCAAGAGCAGUUCCUCGUCACCUAUUCGGACAACCACUGGGCCAACAAGACGACCAUGCGGGCCUGGGUCGCUCGCGUCCUGCAGCCCUACAUGGAGCGCAUAAAACGGGAGCUGCAGCUGCCUGCGGACCACCCUUGGCUGCUGAUCAUCGACUGCUGGGGUGUGCACCUCACGGAGGAGUUCCAGGUAUGGUUUUGUGGCAUGCACCGUACAGCAUUCCAACCGGACUUACCCAUACCUACCCGUACCCUAUCCCUUUAUGCACUUGCCUGCAGGCAUUCGUCAAGGCGCAGUGCCCUGGGGCCUACAUCAAGUACGUGCCGGCCAACUGCACCUCGAUAGCACUGCCGUGCGAUGUCGGCAUCAACAAGCCGUUUAAGGAUGCACUGCACCGAUCGGCAACCAUGAAGGUCAUCGACACUGUCCGGAAGCUGAAGGACAAGGGUGUGGCGCCCAAGGACAUCAGCAGCAGCCUUCGCAUGUCCCGCCUGAAGCCCCUCACCCUUCUUUUCCUCGUCAAGGCAUACAAGCACAUCAAGUCGCGGCCCAGUGCUGUGAAGGGUGCAUUCGAGCGCUGCGGCCUGCUUGCAGCCUUUACAGCUGAGCGACAGCUGGAGGCCAUGCGGCUGGAGCGUGAUGGAAAGCUCUUCCCGCCAGCUCCAAGCAAGAAGCAGGCGGUGGCUGAGGCAAGCACCGAGCGGCUCAUGCCUGGCCUCGGUAAUGCUCUGGCUGCCCCAAGCACCAGCGAUGAGGACGCUGGGCAGCCUGCUUUAGAUGAGGCCCCGCUCAGCAACCUGCCAUACGACGACGUGGACGACGAUGUCGCUCUGCAGCAGCUGCUGACACACGUGCAACGGCUGCAGGACGAGUCUGAGCAGGGGGAUCUGGCUGCAGCAGCCACGGGGGCAUCGGACGACGAUGAGGGCUGUGCAGACCUCUUGUUCGAGCCCAGCCCAGCCAAGAAGCCCAGGACUGAGGCUGGUGCCAAGAAGCAGCGUGCAAAAAAGCAGCCAGCCAAGCAGCGCACAACCAAGGAGGGCGCUGGAGCAAAGCGCGUUGUUGCCACUGUCUGCACACUGGAUGGGGCUGAGUCCGAGAGCGAGGUGGAACUGAGCGAUAUCCCGUCCGACGACUCGGACACGGAGGAGGGGAGCGGGGAUGAGGAGGAGGUGGUCGAGCUGUGAAAGGUGCAGUCCAUUGCACUGAACCGCGGCCGCAGGACACCAGCUAGGCCGAACCGGUUCGGCUAGACAAACUGUGCAUGAGUUUAAGGGUCACUUUGCUGUAUGCGACGGCGUGCAUCUAGAAACGUUUCAAUGCUUCAUUUGGGAGCUUCGGGUCCAAAUGUUUUGCAGCGUUUGGUCCGGUCAGAAACAGUCCGAUUCCUCGUUGACUUCCGGGCGAGAGCUUCCUAACAGUAUCCAUGGCAUUAAAGUACUAUGAUAUGGGUAACAUGUAUGUCUCCUGUAAGAUUCUAGCGGCUUUGGCAUGGACAGUCCAAUUUUGGCUGGAGGAAUGAACUUGUACGGUUGGAACAUUAUUUAUUCUUAACUUUCAGGACCACGAACAUUUUUUCAUUCCGAAAUCGGAAUAUAUUCCGCAAAACAAUAACGCUGGGGGCAGUCCGGUUGGCGGCUUUCACCAAUUCGGUGGCAAUGGGAAAAAGUGGACGGGGUAACACCAAACCGUAUCACCAAUUCAGCUGCAGCUGGAAAGAUUAAUUCUAGAAGCGUUUUUUACUUUCACCAAUCCAGAAAUCACCAAUCGGCCAUAGCAUUACGGUACAUUACAUAUUUCCAUCCAGUUAUAUUUUUAUGAAUGCCAUUAUGUAUCGCUGUAGCUGUCUGUCGCUGAAGGGCCCACCGAUGACCCACGGCACCCGAUCAGGUGGUCCUAGCGCCCCUACCCAUGUCGGGUCCCCCGACGGGGGCCCUCCGGGCCCCGACGGGGGCUCCCGAUGGCCGUUUGGCAUUUUCCCCCCUUUUUCGUCGGGUCCGCCCGAAAGCAUUUUCAAAGCCUGUCGGGAUUUUCAGGACAAGUGCCAUUCCUGUCGGGCUGUCUCACCCUGGUCCAUAGGCGCAGGCGGCUAAAGCGACUACUGUUAGUCGUCCGCCACCUUAAUGCCGCACCGCUGCGGAAGUCCAUACCUGCGUAUGGGCGGGGGUUUUGCCUACGUAAAGCUGGGACCUGCGUCCCAGUUUCGUCUGACUGAGCGAGAGUAGUUCCUGUGAACUAUGGCUUCUGGAUACCGCGCUGCCCAGUCGUACUGGGGAUUCUUAUCGGCGCGAGGCCCAAGUGGAGCCACUGAUGACUACUUAAUCAAGACACUUGUCUCAAUCCGUAUCUUUCAAUGCUCCCAUUAUGUGGUUGUGUCGUCUGAAGCCUACAACAAAUCUGGUAUCGAGACAGGUUCCUUAUAGCCAGUUCACAUGCUACGUUACGUUAAGACUUUUUGGGAAAAGUGGUCGGUUCGGACAUGGUAAACGGUACGUUACGGGUAACGGUACGUUACCGGUAAAGUGCCCUCCCCCCCCUCCCGGAGUGCCUAUGCCCCGGAGUGGAAGUUGGCUAAAUAGGGGGGUCCUUGUGAAGCAGCUGCCCGCGUUUCCAAGGCACGUAUGGUGUUGGAUUGUAAGGUGCCCAAGUACGUUUGCGAGGAAGAGAAUGUGGCCAGGCUGGAGAGGAAAAUGCAGUGGCAUAUUGGAAUGUGAGAUUAGCGAACAUCAGCAUAGGUCCAAGCCCUCUCGCUUGGAGGGAUAUGCAAACAAACAUCCUGAUAGUUGUAAACUCGCACGCUACCUAGCAUUCAACCGAGCACAUGCAUGCAUAGUUGAAUGGUGAGAUGCGACCCCCCCUUCAUUUCGCGGUCGGCAAGCCAGCCACCGCGUACCAGAUAUGUUGGCGAUGUCAAAGAGACGCUGCACCUCGGUACCUGUGCACAAUGCGUACACUGCUCGACCGUGCCGACCAAAACUACAUGUUCCCAUCUGAAGACAAUCCCCGUGGUUCUUCAGCAGCUUUUGAGCUUGCUGCUGGCUCAAGUCCUUCCGUAGUUGCUGCAACACGGCUAACGCAGGCACGGCUGAAUGCGCUGCGAAAAGCUGUUCCAAGCCCUCAGCGGCAUCCAUUUUACUUGCAAGGUUCUGAACGACUUUCGCGAUUCUUAUCUUUACCUAAUUCUGCGUUUGUUAUUAUUUAUUUCGUAAGAGUGUAAGUUGAGUUUAGUCGGAACCAUGUGCAUUAUGCGCUGCGCUACCGAAAGCAGGCGCCUUAUGGCUUGCACACAACUGCUUCUUCACCGAACGCUUCAUCUUCCCGCGGCAGUUUCACGAGCCCAGUGUUGCAAGCUACGACGUAGGCUUUCGGUGCUUUCAGUUACUGCAAAGCAGCCACGCAAUAGUCCAGCCUGCAUGCCGCGUGUGACUAUGGCCAACAAGACCACCUGGGCAAUGCGCUGGCGCACCUCGGCCUUUUCGCCAGAAAUUUAUAUACACUUGUACACGCGCAAUUUGUGAAUCGCACGCGCGCACCCGCGCGGUGAAAUUCGCUCCUGGCUUUUGGGGCGUGAUGUACGGACCUUUUAUUCGCGAAGUACGACCGGACACAUUUGUGCGAGGGGCUGCUUAACGAACUACGGCGAGGCCAGGAACACCAAUUGAAAGGGAACCAGGCCGCUCCUAACAACUGGGAAGUGCAAGCUGACUUUACUGGCCGAUAUACUUGUGUAAGCACAGAAGAUCGGGCUUUUCAAUUUCAACUUAGACUUACAAUGUUCGUAAAAUGGUCCGCUUAAAUACUCAUGUUAGCGCGCCAUUGUCUCACACGGAGAACCACAAGAUCAAGCUCCACUAGCUCCGAAGUUACGACAUGGUCUCAGAAGCGCGCGCUAACGAACUGCAAAACCUUACACACUCCCCUCCUUAAAAACAAGCACCGUCCUCGGUGCGAGAACGUCACUAAGUGGCCAUAGUCGUGCGCCUCUCCGAUUCCCUGAACGAAAUCGGUACCAGGCUAACUAGGGGAAGGCAAAAGGGAACCGGAGUCAAGGCAAAACCUUCCCCGCACUGGAUACCGGCCUAUAAUGUGGCGCACGACUCCUACCAUAUCCGGCUUAAGAAUCCGGAGAUACGCAAAAGCUGCUACGAAAACGACUUAAAUCUGACUACACGGAACCCAAAUACCCAGACGCGAACAAACACGUGAAAUGCAAUACCACACUACGUUGAACUGACUGGUGUAAUCUACGGACAGGAACAGAACGAAGACGCACAGAUAUACCGAAUACACAUGAUGACACACACACACAUCCAGCCGCAGCUCUACUCUGCCAAAAACUGUACGAUCCUUGGGGCAUGCUCCGGGAACUUGGCUCUGAACCACGCAUAGCGAUCUGAUAGCUUGAACGCGGUCCAGCUUGGGCUCCUCAGGAAGGCACGAAGCGCUGGCAGGUUGUGCAUGUCGUCGUAUGGUUCCCAUGAGGGGUCGCGUUUACUACUAGCGGACCACUGCACGAGGAACAUGACGGACGGGCGUGCGCGCUUGUUAUACCCCAGGCGAACAGCUGUAACAACAGUAUCUGCACUGUCAUAUGGGGAUUCUAGUGCAGUAGGGGCUGCAGGGGGAGGUGGUGGGCGGCCGGGGAAGAGCGCUGGGUUGUUGUCCGUCCAUGGAAGGAGGCGGCUGAUGUGGAAUACUGGAUGCAAGCGGCCGAGGGAGGCUGGAAGGUGAAGGCGGUAUGCAACUGGAGAAAUGACGGAGGAGAUGAGGAAAGGCCCGAGGUAGCGAGGGCGAAGUUUUGGGGAGGGGUAGGUCGGCAGGGUGAGGUGUUCUGUGGACAGGCGGACGCGAUCGCCAACUUUGAAGGUGAUGGCGCGGCGAUGCUGGUUAGCUGUUGCAGCGUAGCGGGUUUUGGCGGCUUGAAUUUCGCGGUUGAUGGUGGCAUGGAUGUCGCUCAUACGCUGCUGUAGUUCUGAAGCCUGCGGGUGAGAGGAAGGUGAAGCGGCUUGGGGGCCGUGGAGGGAGAUGGGAGUGCGCGGGUGGUAACCGUGAUUGGUGUAGAAUGGUGUCAUGCCGGUGCUUGCGUGGGUGGUGUUGUUGUAUGCUGCUUCGGUGAUCGGAAGGUAUGAUGCCCAGUUGUCCUGCAUAGGUUGAGUGUAAGCGCGGAGGAUCUGUUCAAUAGUGCGAUGUGUUCUCUCGGUUUGACCGUCAGUUUGUGGAUGAUAGGCGGAGGAGAUGUUUAGGGACGUGCCAAGGUGCUCCCAGAAGGUGCGCCAGAUGUCGGACAUGAAGCGGGAAUCUCGGUCUGAGACGAGGGUUGUUGGAAGACCGUGUAGACGGUAGACGUGGGUGAGGAAGAGUAGGGCGGUGUCGUGGGUGGUGGUGGUCUUAUUAGUGAGGGCGAAGUGGGCUUGCUUGGUGAACAUAUCGACGAAGGUGAGGAUUGCGGUGUAGGUGCGGCCGUCCAAACCUUUAGAGGGCGGCAGGUCGGUGAUGAAGUCCAGAGACACGUGUGUCCAGGGUUGGGUGGGGGUGGGUAGCAGGUGGAGGAGGCCAGGCGGAGGCUGGGUGGAUGGCUUGGUGCGUUGACAGAUGGGGCAGGACUUGACGUAGGCUUUGACGGUGCGGGCCAUGUAAGGCCACCAGUAGCGGGUUGAUAUCGCGGCGAGGGUGCGACGAAAACCAGGAUGACCAGAGUAAGCAGCAUCGUGGAAUUCGUGAAGUAGGCGGCGGUGUAAGGAUGGGACGUUAUGGAUGGUGAUGCGGUUGGCGAAGUAGAAGAAACCGUCUGGGGAACGUUGGAGGUAGGGCUUGGUGGUUGUUGAAUUGGAGUACAUGGGGUCGGUGGUGUAUCCGAAACGGAUGUCAUCUGCGAGGCUGGGGUCUGGCACGACAUGGGCUGCGAUGGUGAAACAGGCAUGAUGAAGGGCAUGGUUGGCUGCGACGUCGACAGGUGGUGAAGUGGAGGGCCAAAGCGGGGGAGGUGAUGGAGAUGUAAGUGAGGUUAGGUUUUCUGCUGAUGUAAUGGGAGGUGAGGGACUGGGGUCAGAGGUCUCUGGGGUAGGGGCUGGGCUGACCGGGAAGCGGGAGAGGGCGUCGGCCAUGUUUUGAGGGCCGGGGCGAUAAGUGAUUGUGAUGUAGCCUUGGAAUGGGGCGAGGAGCUGAGCCCAACGGGCUUGACGACGAGACAGAUCCUUUUGGGUGAAGAAGCGUUGCAAGGUGUCGUGGUCUGUGCAGAGCAUAAAGUGGCAGCCUUCGAGAUAGCACUGGAACUUACGCACUGCGUGUACGACAGCAAGCAACUCCAGCUCGUGAAUGGGGUAGUUGGCUUCAUGACGGCUGAGCUUGCGGGACUCGAACGCCACGGGAUGUAGGGCGCCGUUGCGUUCUUGAAGGAGCACAGUGCCAAUGCCGAGGAUGGAGGCGUCGGUAUAAAGGGUGAAGGUGGCGUUGGUGCCGGUGUCUGGGAUGAUGAGAGCUGGGGCUGACAUUAGGGCGUCGCGGAGGGCAUGGAAGGCGGCGACGGCGUCGGCGGGUAGGACCUUGGGAAAGGGCUGGGUUGUUUUGGUGAGGGUGGUAAGAGGAAGGGCGAUGCGGGCGUAGUCUUUGAUGAAGCGGCGGUAGAACCCAGUGAAGCCUAGGAAGGCGCGAAUGUCGGUGAUGGAGGAAGGAAUGGGGAAAUUGGCAAGGGCGGUGAGCUUGUCAGGGUCUGUCGUGAUGCCGUCGCGGGAGAUGAUGAAUCCGCAGAACUUGGUGGUGGGUUGCACGAAAGAGCACUUGGAAAAGCGGACAUGGAGGUGGUGGUCUUGAAGUGUGCGUAGAACGGCUUCCACGUCACGGCAAUGGUCUUCAAAGGUGCGGGAGUAGAUGAGGACGUCGUCGAGGUACACAACCGCACACUUGUUGCGGAAGGGGUGGAGGACGUCGUUCAUGAGGGACAUGAAGGUGGCGGGGGCUCCUGUAAGUCCGAAGGGAAGAACAAGCCAUUCGUACAGACCAUACUUACACCGAAAAGCCGUUUUAUGCACAUCGGGUUCGUGCACCCGGACUUGAUGGUAGCCUGACCAGAGGUCCAGCUUGGUGAAAUAGGCUGCGCCGUGCAGCUGGUCAAGGAGCUCGUCCACGCGCGGCAGGGGAUACGCAUUCUUGACUGUUAGCUGGUUGAUUGCACGAAAGUCCACACAGAGGCGCAGACCGUUACCACCAGGUUUACGGGCGAACAGAAUAGGGGCACCAAAGGGUGAUGUUGACGGGCAAAUCCAGCCACGGUCAAGGUAGUUCUUGAGCUGCUUGUCCAGUUCUUGAAGUUCUGCUGGGGACAUGCGAUACUCGCGCUGCUUAGGAGGCUGGGCGUCAGGGACCAACUCGAUGUGGUGGUCGCAUGGGCAUGAUGGUGGUAGACCCGAUGGUUCUUCGAAGAUGGUUGCGUAGCGCUGGAGGACAGACUGAAGGGCUGGUGGUACGGACGGGGAGGCGGUGGGUUGAGGGGGGGCUUCAGGGUCGACUUCGGGAUCUUCGAUGGGAUGGAGGACACCCAUGUAAACAGGUGGUGAUGGGUUGAAUGGAGCUCGCUUGCGAGGGUUGGUGGCAUUGGGUGGUGGCGGUCGGGCGGCAGCUUGGCGAAUGCAUUUCUGCAUGCGGGCGAUGGAGACGAAUUCAAUCUGAAAAGCGGAUGGGCAAUACGAGGAAUGUGGAAUGACGGUGUCACCGAUGGUGACGGUGUUGGUACGCCAGUCGAUUUGGGGGUUGUUGGUAGUAAGCCAGGGUUUCCCAAGGAUGGCGUCGUAUCCGUCAAGGUCGAGGGUGAAGAAGGUGGUGCACUCAUGGUGUGAUUGGAUAGCCAAGGGGGCGUUGGGAAGGGCGGAGGAACAGAGGGCGAGGUGUCCGUUGGCCAAACGAACACGUAAUGACUGCGAAGCUGGAAGGUUGGCGGAGUGUAAUUGGUGAUGUUGGAGGAAGGAGUGGGCAAUGAAGUUGCGGGAAGCACCAGAAUCCAGGAGGACUCGGGCGGGAUGGCCAGCUAUGGUGGCAUCGAAGACGAUAAGGGUGGUGGAGAGAUUGUCGGUGACGGACGCAAUGCGACCUAGGAUAGGCGGGAUGAAGGGGCGUUCCACCGUAGACCUUUGUUCGUCUAUCUGUGGAAGCGAAGCUUGAGGAGCGCGGUGGGGCUGGGGGGUAGGAUGCUGUACGAGGGGGAAAGAUGGUUGGGCUGGCUGGCUGACGGUUGGUGUAGGCGGAGGUGGGGAAGAGGCAGCGGAUGUUGGAGUUUGCGAAAAACGAGCGAUAAGAUUAGCGACAUUAGAGCGUGGUGAUGGAGGGCGGUCCGAUGGCUGGGGCGGCGGUGGGGGAUGGGAGCUGGAAAAAUGUUGGAUGAGAGUUUUGACUGACGACGUGGAUGAUGUUGACGGAUGGUUGGCGGAAGCGAAUGAGGGAUGGGACGAGGUGGAGACGGGAUGAAGGGUGGUAUCGGGAAGCAGGGUGGCGGAUGUAGACGCGAGAGUAAAGGGGGCUGACGAUGGUGGAUCGUGGAGGACUACUACAGGCCAAGGGCUGGGACCCGGUUCUCCAUACCUGGACGGGUCUGAAGAGGUGGGGCGGCAGACGAUCUGGGUGCCGGCAGGGAAGCAGCGGACGAUGGUCAUGUGGCGGAUGAGAGGGGCCCAAGAGGCUUGUGGACGAUCAGGUAGGACAAUGAUGGCAGAGGUUUUGGGGUUGGCGGUCUUGGCGUCGAGGUAGCGGGCGACGAUGGUGGAGGUGUUGUCGACAGGUGGCACCAUCCAUACGCACUCUCCUUCGAUGUCGGUUGAUAGGAAAGGUCGGGACGGUGAGAAAAAGGGUGAGAGCUGUGCAGUUAAGCCGAGGUCAUCACAGUAGGCAUCGACGGUAAAUGGGCCGUACUGUGAAUUGUAUUCAAGAAAAAGCAAUCGCGCGAUUUUCCAAUCGUUGCUUGCCUGGCAUGCUCCCUUCGAUGUCGAGGCUGCAGCUGCGUGAGCACGCUUGCGACCAACACGGCGGGCAGGCUUGCGGACGAUUUGAGCUAGACAUUGAACGUUGAACGCGGUUUCGGACGAGUGCACAGCAGAUGACGUCGGCAGGCUGUGGCUGACCGUUUCUGCCGACGACGGCCUAAGAGCCAAUUUAACGGGGGCCUGGGGAGCAGGAGCGGGUAGGGGAUUUGUCGCUGAUGUGCUGGGAGCGGCGGCCGUGGGAGCUGUUACUGAGGCAGGAGGGAGAACGACCGCGAUGGCUGUGGUUGUCGUAUUGGUGGUGGCUGCGUGAACAUCGAUCCUCGGAGGUGGAGGACGCGGAGGAGCGGGAGGGCGAGCGGGCAGGCGAGCGGGCAGGCGAGCGGGGCGGUUUGCGGCUGUUGUUAGCACCCUGAAAGGAGUGCCGGCGGGAGGAGUUGGGUUGGGAGAUGGUGGUUGCUGCCAGGAGGCGACGAAGUUCCGGGCAGUGUUCCUUGGCGUGCGACUCGUCACCACACUGUAGGCAGACAUGCUGGGCCAUGCGCUGGAGGCGCAAGUUGUAGGGGACUCCGAUGGUUUUGACGCCGCUCGGAAGAGGUAAGUUGCUGUGGUGCGGUGUGGUGGAGUAGACGUUGGCGGUGAGGUCCAUAGGGUCGUCCCGGCGGACGUCUCGGAAGCUGCGUGGCGCGGUGUUGUAGUCAAUGAGAUGAGCAUUGUGGCGCCCGGAAAAGAUGCCCAUCGCCAAGUCAAUGAUGAUCUGCAGGGUCACAUCAGUGCCGUAUUGAGGAAGCCUUGCGUAGACUUCCUCACGGAGGUCCCUGUUGAGACCUUUCACGAAGUGAAAGAUGUGGUCGAGUUCGUGACGGUGAGGAAGGUCGCCCAUAAGGCGUCCGAAAGCGGCCACGUACGACACCAGAGAGUUCGGGCCUGAGCCUUGACGAAUGGUGUCCAUGCUGAUCUGUGCCUGGAGGAGGCGAUCGGGUCUGGGCGCGAGGGGCGUUAGCGCUUGAAGGACCGCAGUUAAGGAAGUAAAGGGGGUACGUUGGUGGCGGAGGAGGGUGUCCAGGGUAGGUCCUUCGAUGGCAGACAGGGCGAUGGCGACAGCAGGCGCACUGUCUUCAUGCAGACCGCAUACCGUAAAGUGGAGGCGGAGGCGGUUGGCCCACGAAGUGAGGUCGGCGUCCUUGGCCGUGGGGUUGAAUCGGGGGGCUGGUCCGCACUGGUUGUUUGACGAAUGAUUCUCUAAGGCACGUACGGCAGCAUGUGCAGCGACUUCUGAGAUUCUAUCCCAGGGGAGAGCGGCUUCGGACGUGGUGGGGGGCGCCGCGGGCGCGGGGUCGGUGGCGGCAGGAAAGGAAGGCGGAAACGGGAACUCGUUCGAGAGAGACAUGGUUGAGGACGAAGAUGAAGAGGACGAAGAUGAAGUGACGAGGGCGAUGACGAAGUGAUCAGGGCGAAGGCGAAGUGAUGAGGGCGAAGGCGAAGCGAUGAGGGCGAAGGCGAAGUGAUGAGGGCGAAGACGAAGACGGAGUGAUGAAGGCGAAGAGGACGAAGACGAAGUGACGAGGGCGAUGACGAAGUGAUCAGGGCGAAGGCGAAGUGAUGAGGGCGAAGGCGAAGCGAUGAGGGCGAAGGCGAAGUGAUGAGGGCGAAGACGAAGACGAAGUGAUGAAGGUGAAGACGAAGUGUAGAGGCGAAGAUGAUGGCGCGAUGGCGCGAUGGCGCGAUGACGACGAAGACGAUGGCAACGACGAUGAAGAGCUCGGCGAGGAGGAUCACCUAGGCUCUGAUACCAAUUGAAAGGGAACCAGGCCGCUCCUAACAACUGGGAAGUGCAAGCUGACUUUACUGGCCGAUAUACUUGCGUAAGCACAGAAGAUCGGGCUUUUCAAUUUCAACUUAGACUUACAAUGUUCGUAAAAUGGUCCGCUUAAAUAGUCAUAUUAGCGCGCCAUUGUCUCACACGGAGAACCACAAGAUCAAGCUCCACUAGCUCCGAAGUUACGACAUGGUCUCAGAAGCGCGCGCUAACGAACUGCAAAACCUUACACCAAUUGAGUUAAUUAUUGCUUUUCUUUGUAGCUUAAAUUUUGCACAAAGCGGUCAUACUUUGGUAGAUGGAAACUGCGACUGCCGGACAGAGGUCACACAUUUACAUAAUGCCAAAUGAACGGACUACAGAAGCUGCAUAGCUAAAGAAAAGUUAUUGCUUUAACUAGUUUAGCAAAGAGCUUCACGCGCGGGCACCUCCGAUUUCGACCUCAGGUUGGCCGAUGAUGAUGACAGGACUUCUCGCUUUGUACCCAUCCAAAAGCACCGAAACGCAUAGGACUGUUGUGGAAUCUAGCACAUGCAAGACAUUGCGUGGUCGACGUUAAGGGGGCGCAUGAUGCCCCGGCAGCGCUUUCUGGGCCUCCAGGAGCCCCAAAACGGAUUGUCUAGGAUUGAUCCAUUGCAGAUAGAUCGUAGGCGCUGGUCUGACGGUCAUAGGGCUCAUAGCAGCUGGAUGGCUUUCAGACUGCCGGUCAUGGGAACCCGGGAGGCGUGCUGUUGGUGGAGGGCAAACCAGGGCUGUCGGGUGACCGGCGGAGAUGGAUGGGUGCACCACCAAUUGAUAUACACAGGGACGUAUCCUAAUCGGGGCGCUCGGCGGUACUCCGCCUGGAGCAAGCAGGUUCAACUCCUGCCGUCCUGUUCCUUUCAUCAUCCUCCCACAAAGAGUCCCGGGGACCAGUCGGGUGGUUAUGAUGAUGCGGUGGCGGCUGCGGUGGUGGCGGUGGCCGCUGGCUAUCACGGUGCGCCCGUCACCGCUGCGGCAGCGGCAGCAGCAACGACCAGCCUGGCGGCGCAGUGCAGCAGUGCAGGCCCCGGGUGGGGCUUGUACGGGAGGGGAUAUGGUGGGGACCAGUCGGGUAGCUACUAAGGUGGCCAUGGGGGUUUUACGACCAGUGACAACGCUCUUUUUUGGUGGGUGAAACCCUGGAAGGGGUGCACCACGCACAGCAGGUCCCGGGUUAAGGCAGUGGAUCUCAGGAUCGAGGUGUAGUGGUGACGGGAUCAGCAAUGUUGCCAGUGUCGGCAAUGUCUCUGAGUGGGGGUGUGGGCACGGAGGGGGGUGUAGGUGACACGUCCACAGCGGAUUGGACAGGCGGGCUUUACUAAAAUCUUAAUUGGAUACGGUGGGAGGGUGGUGAGCAUGCCGAUUGAAGUGGAGGCAUGAGGACGACGGGCAGUGCUGGCUGACACGGACACAACACCGGUGCCAGCGGAACAAUGUAUGUGGGAUGUGGCGGUUGGAAACAAGGAGUAGGCUCAUGGCGGCUGCAAUGAAACAAAGGACAUGCAGACCCAGGCUGGGGACCUCCUGGCGGAGAAAGGCCCAAGACACACUGUAAUGGGUUUUUUGGGUUUGCGCAACUUUGGGAGAAGAGAAAACAGGCAGGGCCUUCAGGCGUGGUUCAGUAGAGGGGGAUUCCCCCGGCUGCCGCCACGCACAUCACGAGCCAGGAUAGGUGUGCCAAGACCUCAAGCGGGGUUUACAAAGGGGGGACCAUUGGGGGUAGGCCUAUGGGUCCACGGUAAUCAUAAUUCACUCAUGGCUCUCAAUGGCAAACAUGUAGGCCCGUGAGCUUAGCCAUUUGCUUCAUGUGAAUCAAUGAACAGGCUGUAAUCCUGCGACUGCUCGCCUCUUUUUCACUCUACAAAGCGGCUCUUUCCUGCAAUUGCGUAUUCUUACACUGGUCUUACGUGGUAUAGUGCUACUGUACCGGUUUCAUCCACCGUCGCCCUGUCACUAUGUCAGUGAAAGCACAGAGAGGUGGAUAACCUUCACGGAUUGGGAUGCAAACGCAGUAGAUAACAGGUGCCUUCUAAACUUUUUGUUAUUUCCCCGUAUCCUACCAAUGAGACUAGUCCUCUGUCGUCUUCGCCCGAGGGUAAGCCACGGGAGGGCCGCAAGCUCUUCCGGAUCUCUUCCUUAAAUCCAGCCGGUCUAGGAGUGCGCUGUGAUGUACAAGAAUUGUGGGGGAAUCUUUGCGGGAGGAUGAUGAAAGGAACAGGACGGCAGGAGUUAAACCUGCUUGCUCCAGGCGGAGUACCGCCGAGCGCCCCGAUUAGGAUACGUCCCUGUGUAUAUCAAUUGGUGGUGCACCCAUCCAUCUCCACCGGUCACCCAACAGCCCUGGUUUGCCCUGCACCAACAGCAUGCCUCCCGGGUUCCCAUGACCGGCAGUCUGAAAGCCAUCCAGCUGCUAUGAGCCCUAUGACCGUCAGACCAGCGCCUACGAUCUAUCUGCAAUGGAUCGAUCCUAGACAAUCCGUUUUGGGGCUCCUGGAGGCCCAGAAAGCGCUGCCGGGGCAUCAUGCGCCCCCUUAACGUCGACCACGCAAUGUCUUGCAUGUGCUAGAUUCCACAACAGUCCUAUGCGUUUCGGUGCUUUUGGAUGGGUACAAAGCGAGAAGUCCUGUCAUCAUCAUCGGCCAACCUGAGGUCGAAAUCGGAGGUGCCCGCGCGUGAAGCUCUUUGCUAAACUAGUUAAAGCAAUAACUUUUCUUUAGCUAUGCAGCUUCUGUAGUCCGUUCAUUUGGCAUUAUGUAAAUGUGUGACCUCUGUCCGGCAGCCCCGAAAUAUCGUACGCUCCGAAGGCGGUCGAUCAAACUUCGCAAAAACUAGGAUUUCCAGGCGGAAAUCAGCUCUUAAAUGUAAGAAAUGUAGUCAUAAACGUAGGACAUGAACGUCGCUCGAAAACGUGCAAGACAGGCAACCCUGCUUCAAUGCGGGAUGAAAUCGCUAGCACCAAACGCUCCGGUGAGCGACCGAGCUGGAUUUGCACCAGUUAGGCUUGAUGAUGCUGUUGUUGAGGCCCAGCGUGAGCGAAUGGAGCCCGAGGAGGUUGCUAGGCGUGAGCGCAAUGCGGUCAAUGCUACGGCAGCCGGCGAGGCGAGGCUUGCGCUCACGCCGCAGCGUGGCAUUCGACCUGUUGGACGUCCUCUUCAACAAAUCCGCGGGUCAACCAUGGCUCGGCUGCAGUUCGCACUGGCCCCUGGCUUCACCAGGCAAGUCAUUGUGACGCCCGCUCAGGUGGCAACCACCACACCCAAGUCUACUGGUCCACGCGGCAUGUACGCUCGAUUCAGCAACGAUGAAAAGCGGAUGGUUGUGGAGUUCAUCAGGGAGCGCUGUGCUGAUUCGGUAAGCCCGCGAUGUCAGGGUUCGGGUGCCGUAAGGAUACGGUAUACGGUAUGGUACUUCAUUCUAACCCUUGCUUGCCUUGUGAUGCAGGUUGCCAUGGGCAUCAACUUCAUGCACCGGGACCACAGCGGCACCUUUAACUCCGAGCACCCCUUGAAGGAGUCCACGGUCUCUGGCUGGCUGGCUAAGUACAAGGAGAACCCGACCAUCUUUGGGGCUGGGGUUGCCACACCCGGCCGUGGCCGCAAAGCCUCCCUGCCGAAUGAUGCGUUCGCCGUGGCCAAGGCCGUGAUCAUGGAGAUGGUGCUCAGUGGGCUCAACGUAAGAAGAAUGGCCGCCUAGCCUGUGUUUGCUCUCGCUUACAGUCCCGAAUUCACAUUGACACCGUGCACAAUCCCUUGUCCUUCUGUAGGUCACCUCAGGGACGCUGCAUGAGCCUAUAAUCGAGAGGCUGCGGGAGGCCGGCUAUGCCUACCUUCUGGCCGGUAGUGGCGGCACCUUUACGUGCAGUCGGGCCUGGAUCCGCAAGGUCUGCAAGGGCCUGCACCUCUCCAACCGGGCUGCAACGUCUGCAGCGCAAAAGCUACCCGCCGACUGGGAAGACAUUGCCCGGCUCUUCCUGCUGCAGGUACAUCGCUGUGGAUCCUGCCAUGAGCAUUAGAAACGGUAGCUGUUUGCACUGCCUCCUUUCCGUGUUCCCCGUUUGCCAAUCAUAGGCAUUGAUAGCCAUGUCGUACUUCUCAAAAGCUUUUCGUACCUACCAACCCUGCUUCGGCCCUUCACCUCCAUCCUUUCAUAACAGAUUGCCUACCUGGCCUUCAAGCACGCAAUCCCGAAGGCGCUGGUCGUGAACGCGGAUCAGACUGGCUGCAACAUUGUGCCCGUCAGCAAGCGUACAUACGGCAGGUCGGCCUGGAUGACAAGCGCCAGAUUACCAUUGUGGUGGCGUCGGCGGCUGACGGUAGCAUGCUACCACCGCAGGUCAUCUUCCAGGUAGGGGUCUCUGAGGCCUACCCUUUAAUAACCAAGUAAACCAAGUAGGAGAUAGGAUUACCUACUUAGGCCAAUUGCUUAGCCGUUCUUGCAUUUCGUACAGUCCCCUUUUGUCAUUGGAUGUGGUUCUGGCUGUUGUAGUCUUCAGACGACACAACCACAUAAUGGGGGCAUCGAAAGAUACCGAUUGAGACAAGUGUCUUGAAUAAGUAGUCAUCAGUGACUCCACUUGGGCCUCGCGCCGAUAAGGAUUCCCAGUACGACUGGGCGGCACCGAAUCCAGAAGCCAUAGUUCGCAGGAACUACUCUCGCUCGGUCAGACGAAACUGGGACGCAGGUCCCAGCUUUACGUAAGUAAAACCCCCGCCCAUACGUAGGUAUGGACUUCCGCAGUGGUGCGGCAUUAAGGUGGCGGACGACUAACAGUAGUCGCUUAGCCGCCAUCGCCCAUACACUUCCGCAGCAGUGCGGCACUUGAAUGGCGGACGACUAACAGUAGUCGUGUUACCCGCCGGCGCCUAUGGACUUCCGCAACAGUGCGGCAUUUGGAUGGCGGACGACUAACAGUAGUCGCUUAGCCGCCGCAGCUAACAGUAGCCGCAAUUAAACUAAUAUCAGUAUUAGUUAAUACCUGUAAUCACCAACCGCGGAAUUGACGGGAGUUAGUUAGUAAUAUUGGAGUUUGGUAAAUCGGAGUGGACGAGCUAACCACCGACAGUUAGGAUUCGGCACCCAAACCGUUGCGGGAAACCUUUACAGGAUACAACAACUAUUCCCCCCCCCUAAAGGCGACGUCCCCGUCGCACACGGCUCGCUAUGCAAAACAAGAUUAGUAAAAACUAACUAACGCGAUACCACCUGGGACUGCACCCUAAGACGAGCCGCAUCGAGCAAUGGUUUGAGGUCGGGGGUGAAGUUACGCGCCGGUUCCCAGCUGUUGUGUUCGGACGAAUACCCAGCCCAUUUGGCUAAGUAUUCGUGCACCGUGCGCUUGCGCCUAGCCUUACCCGCGCGUCGAGUUCGAUAGUCCAAAAUUCGUUCCACUGCAUACAUGGUUUGCCUACCGGACAACCAAGUAGUAGGCGCGGCCUCUAUAGCAGCAGGAGGCGCAGGCGCUUCAGGGAUGGGCACAGACCCACGAUAUGGACGUACUAAGGACACGUGAAAAGUAGGGUGGACGCGCAUUUCAGGAGGGAGUUCAAGUUGUACAGCAACCGAACCCACCAUGCGCACAACAGGGUAAGGCCCAACCCAGCGAGGCAACAGCUUACGGGAACCUUCGGCCAGAGAACGCAGGUUCUUGGUGCUUAGCAUGACCAGUUGGCCCUUGGUGAAGGUGACGUCCCGUUUGGACUUGUUGUAGUAGUCCGCUGCGCGCUGUUGGGCUGAGUCAAGGCAUGCCUUAGCCUCUGUCAGUCGGGACACAAACGACUUGGCAAAGGUCUUAGCCGCGGGGACGUUUACGUCAAGUUCGCGCAAAACAGGCAGAACAGGAUUGUAACCGUAAUUUAGAAAAAAGGGGCUUUGACCAGUCGAGCGGCUAACGGCAUUAUUAAUCGCGAAUUCGGCCGCCGUCAAGCAGGUAUCCCAGACAGAGGGUGUUCGACCCGCGAAGUUACGUAACAUAUCACCUAAAGUCCGGUUAGUUCGCUCGGUUUGGCCAUCGGACUGGGGGUGGUAGGCAGUGGAAAGGUUUAUGCGCAUACCUACCAACUUCCCCAAUGCGUCCCAAAAUUUACUAGUGAAUUGGCCACCACGAUCCGAAACGACAGACUUGGGAACACCAUGCAGACGCACAACGUUAUCAAAAAAUAAACGUGCAGUGUGCUCUGCGGUGCAGGAUGACGUGGUGGGUGCAAGGUGAACCAUUUUCGUCAGGCGGUCGACCAGGACCAACACCGCGUCAUACCCCCCCUCAGUUUUAGGCAACGCCACAACGAAGUCCAUGGAAACACUCUCCCAAGGGGCCGCAGGGACAGGCAAAGGCUGUAGCAAUCCGUGGGGCUUACCAGAGAUAGACUUGUUACGCUGGCAUGAAUCACAGGAGAGGACGUAAUUCUCGGCAUCCUUAGCCAUCCGUGGCCACCAAAAAGAACGCCGAAGAAUUUCGACCAUCCGUGUGCAGCCAGGGUGACCCGCCAACGGACCGUCGUGGAAACGGGAAAGUAGCUCACGACGCAGGGAGUCGUCAUUAGGGACGACGAUUUGCCGAUAAGAGCCUUCCCUGCGGAGCCAAAGACCGUCUUGCAAAAGGAGGUGACCCGUGUUAUUAACGUCAGUAAACCAAGGGUCCGUAGCAAUAGCAGCCUUAAUACGCGCAGACAGAUCGGAGGCCGAAACCGACCGCUCCAGGGAAGCGGUGCGACGAGUUGUAACAGACAGGAUGGCGGAAUGCAGCGAAGGAUGCCGACUAAGAGCGUCAGCCACAUUCAACGAGCCAGACAGAUACUCCCAGUCGAAGUUAAACCGCGCGAAAUAUUCCAUCCAUCUAGCCUGCCGACGAUUUAACGAAGGCACACCUUGGAGAAACGUAAGGGGCUUAUGGUCAGUUUUCAGCGUAAAGGGCCUGCCUUCCAGGUAGCAGCGCCACUCUUUUAAAGCGUGUAAAACGGCAAGUAAUUCCUGUUCCCCGGUGGUGUAACGGGUUUCAGCGCCCGAAAACUUCCUACUCGUAAAAGCCACGGGGCGGCCUUGCUGCAACAGAACAGCACCGGAUCCGUAAAGAGAAGCGUCAGUCACUACCUCGACACGGAAUGGCAACGAGUAAUCGGGAAAACGGAGGAUAAUGUCGUCGGCGACCGCACGUUUUAACGCAUCGAAGGCCUGCUGGCAAUCAGCUGUCCACGCGGAUGGCGACGAAAACGCACCCUUACGAGUCAGGUUGGUUAGCGGCGCAGCUAUCACGGAAUAACGCGCAAUGAACUUACGAAAAUAGUUCGUCAACCCCAGGAACUUACGAAGUUCCUGCAGAGAGGUGGGCGCCGGCCAAUCCCGUACAGCAGCAGUUUUACGGGGAUCCAUCCGAACACCGUCGGCAGAGACGAUGUGGCCAAGGUACUCCACCUGGGGUUGCGACCAAUGGCACUUAGAGAGCUUCGCGUAUAGUUUCUCACGCCGCAACACCUGGAGGACAGAACGCAAGUGCUGCAGGUGCUCUUCGCGCGUUUUAGAAAAGACCAGAAGAUCGUCAAGAUAAACAAUCAGAAACUUGUCAAUGAAAGGAUGAAAAAGACGGUCCAUAACGGCUUGGAAAGUAGCAGGAGCGUUAGUUAAGCCGAAACUAAUGACCGUGUACUCAAAGUGACCAAACGGGGUGCGGAACGCGGUUUUCGGAAUAUCGGACUCGGAAAUACGAAUCUGGUUGUACCCUUGCUGGAGGUCAAUCGAGCUGAAGAAGGCUGACCCGCGCAGCUUAUCAAGCAGGUCGUCAACGCGCGGGAGAGGGUAACGAUUCUUAACCGUCGUAGCAUUCAACCCCCGGUUAUCAAUGCACAUGCGUAGACUACCGUCUUUCUUACCGACAAACAGGAUUGGCGCAGAAUAGGGAGAAGUGCUAGGGCGGAUCAUACCCUUUUUCAGCAAGUCAGUAACCUGGCGCUUGACUUCGUCGAGUUCCAGAGGGCUCAGGCGGUACAUCGGACGAGUCACCGGAGUUGCGCCAGGAGUCAGAGGAAUCGUGUGAUCGACUGGCCGAACAGGAGGAAUCCCUGGAAUUUCCUGAAAAACGUCGGAAAACUCGUUCAACAGGGAUUGCAGCUCAGGGUCCGAUGGGUCAGUAGCGGUAACGGCAGCGUUCAGUUGCAGUUUAGGCCGAACUAACAGACCAUGCGCGCCCUUGCGAAUAAGUCGCACUGCAGCUUUUCGACCUAUGGGUUGAGGGGUGGUGUGCUGGCAGAGCGCGGCUACGGCGUAAUGAACUUGCGGUUCCGACUGCGAGGUACCCUGUUCGGAAGGAUCGCGCUCCACGGUAACAAAAGGCGCCUUAUAAACGAGAGUCCCUUUGCGCAACCGCAGGGUGCACGACUCGAAACUAAGGACGCCCCCGUACCGCGAGAACGUAGAGGACCCUAAGAUGUACGUGGCCGGAGCAGGCAACUCAGGCAACACGUACGGAUGCACCGACAAACGCAAAGGUCCCACCGAAAGACGCAAUGUAACCCGACCUAAGAUAGCCUGCUUAUCCCCAUUCGCGAGCGUGACAUGCGACCAGGAACAGGCACUAGGCGUCAACCCAAGCCGCUUCACCUCAGAGAGAGAGAUAAAGUCGUCGCUGGCGCCAGAAUCAGCGAGCGCGAGUAGAGUAUCGCUGACGACGCGGACUUGGAUAAGAGGCAUCCUUGCACCUGGCAGAGCAGCAGACUGAGGAGAGAGCAGAAAAGCCGAAAGACGAGGUGAAGUGUCACGCAAAGCAACAGCGGGUCGCGGGGGAUCAUACCAAACGUCAAAGGCAGAUGUUGACCCGGGAAACGGCACAGGCCGACCCUCCAGAUCGAGCCCGUUGAACAGCGGUGUCCUGGGACUAAACUGCAGAACGCGCUGCAUCCCGGCCAGCAGGGCCGAAGCACAGGUUGCGGUGUGGGUAGGUGUAAUAACGCACGCUGCAGUUUCCGAGUGCUGACGUUUGCAGAGGUGGUACGCAGUCAGCUGCGCCUGCAACUCUGAAAUAGAAGAGGGGAGGAAGAGAACCGUAUGCCCACGUAGGUCGUUAGCAGAGAGAGACUGGGAACGCGGCACAAGCGGAUUACACAAAGCAUCCCCGUCACUCUUCGCAGAACGAGCAUCAAACGUCAGCUUUCGUCCAAUAGCUCGCUCAACCUGCGCUAACACAGAGGGCAGCAGUGCCCUGGAAGCCCGCAUGGCAGGCAGCUCGGUCUCUACUUCUAACCCAGGAGGAGUCCCCUCCUCAGCGGCCUGGGCAACCCCCUACUUCUUCUUGGGCCACAACGGGCAAACCCCCGUCGAAUGGCCAUCCCCACAACGCAUGCACUUAUUCCUCUUCCUGCGCUCCUCCAGCUCUGCCUUAGUGCAGCAAUACUUCUCUAGCCACUGGUCGUCGUCACGUUUGCGUUUCUGUCCCAUCGGCUGACUAGGCCCGGCCUCGGAAGGACCCUGAUUACUUCUAGGACCUUUUUGCUGCCACCGGCGCUGUUCCCGGGGACCCCCCCUCGGCUUACCGGCACCCGGGGCGGCAACUGUGCCACCCUCUCUGCGCUCAGGACCCCCGACAGCGACAGCAGCGCGAGGAUCGGGUGCCGGCGCCUCAGCAGGGGCGCCAACCGGGUCCAGCUCCGGGGCCUGCGAAAAGAGGGCAUUAGCACGGGGAGCAGAACGAGAAACUUGCUUUCGGGCAUGGUGGCGCAUUUCCACGCCCAAAGCAAAACGGUAAAGGUGGUUGUAAGAGGAAAACGGCAUUCCUAAAAGGUCGGUAGCGCAUUCGCCUAUGAGUUCUUCAGAUAGUCCGCGUUGAAACCAGAAAAUUCUUUCUCCUUCUGUGAAGUCCGCAAUAGGCGUAAUAAGUGCCUCGAAACGCGACUGGUAGGAAGAGACGUUCUCGCCAGGGCGCAUACGGUACGUACCACUCGCAAGAACGGAACGAGCCUCCACGUCGCGGGGCACGACUUCAGGAGCAAAACGGGCAAGUAACGCAGUAAACAGCUCGUCCGAAGUGAACGAAAUCCGUGCCGUUGACCACUGAUCAUACCAGGCUUUGGCGGCACCGUCCAAAGCGUUGGCGAUGAACAGGCAACGAACCGGCUCCCGAUCACCACCUCGAACCAGCUGGAGAUACUGCUCAACAUCCCUAACGAAUGCACGCGUACUAACCGCCGUAGCACGACCUAAAUCACGAGUUCGAGGGUCGGUAGAAAAAUUCAACCUAGGUACUGGGACGGAAAGUCUAAGUACCUCGACGUCCUGCACCGGUAAGGAUGCAGCAGCCGUGGGAGCCCUUUCUGCGCCGCCAGCGCCGUGUGCGGAGGAGGCUACAAGCAUCGGCGGUGGCGGAACAGCGGCGAUAGGUGUGGGAUCCUGUGCUACAGGAGGCACUGGGAUAGCGGCAGGGUUAAUAGGAACUACCGGGGCAGCGAUAGGGACUGUCCGUGCGGGACCACCCUCAACGACUACAUCCGGCGGACCCCAGCGAUUUCGCCUAACCCCGUCCGCUACGUUCCAGGAAGGGGGAACUACACUUAAAGCUCCCUGCUGACCAUCCCCGAGGACAGGUAGAGGCGCGUUUCCGGAGUUGGCAGGCAACAUGACGAAGCGAUCCAACCCGAAAAGCGAAGUAAAAGAGGUAGCUAAGGUAACCCUACCGAAAAGUAAGACUUCCUCAGCACAGCGAUGGACUGCCUCGAUUGCUUGCAAUGCACCACGGGAGAGGUGCACAAGCUCGCGCAAGCGAGGGAUCGCAGCAGAGGUAGGGAUAGCAGAACCCGCUACGACGAGAGGGCCUGCAAAUCUAAAAACAGUUAGGGGAGCGAAAUCUAAGGUUACUUCACUAAAAGGUAGGACGAAUCUACCAACCCGCGGAUGCGGCGGCAGCCAUCACCGCAUUGCCGAGGUCAGCAGCGAAAGUCGCCAAGGGGCCGAAAUCUUCCGAAUCAGCCGAUGUAACCUCUUCACUAGGGAAGUUCAUACUAGUGCCAAAUGAAAGAAAGAGUGCGGAAGCGGAGAUGAGACUGGUCCGUAAGGAACCCGUCUCGAUACCAGAUUUGUUGUAGUCUUCAGACGACACAACCACAUAAUGGGGGCAUCGAAAGAUACCGAUUGAGACAAGUGUCUUGAAUAAGUAGUCAUCAGUGACUCCACUUGGGCCUCGCGCCGAUAAGGAUUCCCAGUACGACUGGGCGGCACCGAAUCCAGAAGCCAUAGUUCGCAGGAACUACUCUCGCUCGGUCAGACGAAACUGGGACGCAGGUCCCAGCUUUACGUAAGUAAAACCCCCGCCCAUACGUAGGUAUGGACUUCCGCAGUGGUGCGGCAUUAAGGUGGCGGACGACUAACAGUAGUCGCUUAGCCGCCGUCGCCCAUACACUUCCGCAGCAGUGCGGCACUUGAAUGGCGGACGACUAACAGUAGUCGUGUUACCCGCCGGCGCCUAUGGACUUCCGCAACAGUGCGGCAUUUGGAUGGCGGACGACUAACAGUAGUCGCUUAGCCGCCGCAGCUAACAGUAGCCGCAAUUAAACUAAUAUCAGUAUUAGUUAAUACCUGUAAUCACCAACCGCGGAAUUGACGGGAGUUAGUUAGUAAUAUUGGAGUUUGGUAAAUCGGAGUGGACGAGCUAACCACCGACAGUUAGGAUUCGGCACCCAAACCGUUGCGGGAAACCUUUACAGGAUACAACAUGGCUGCACUUUAUUUUUCUUAGGCCUCUUGUUGCCAUUGGUGUACCGUACCGUUACUGUACGGUGCCAACACUGGGUAACAAAGCCUUUUAUCCCCACUCAUGUCCAUCACAGGGCGGCACCAAGCGCUUGCUUCCUCCCCAAGAUUGCAGCAAGGGCCUGAUGGACAUCGGGGCGCACCUGGCGUUCUCUGGUCCAACCAGAAGCUGAUGGAACAGUGGGUGGAGUUGGUGCUGCUGCCCUACCUCCAGCGCACCAAGGAGCGGCUUGGGCUGCCGCCUGACCACCCCUGCAUGCUCAUCAUCGACUGCUGGCAGGUGCACCUGUCAGAGGCCUUCCAGGUAAGGGGGAGGCCGAAAGUUUCGCGAACCAAAAGGAUGUGUAUGGUGCUGUGCUGCCGGCCAGGGAUACCCACAUCCUAUCCCACUGCCCUGGUACUGCACUAAAGCUGCCUUUCCACCGUCCUUGGCUUUGCAGGCCCACCUCAAGUGCAAGUGCCCCGGCAUCCUGCUCAAGUAUGUGCCAGCCAACUGCACCUCCAAGCUGCAGCCAGCAGACACGGGCCUGCAGAAGCCACUCAAGGAUGCUAUCCGCAAUGAGGCAAGCAAGGCCUUCCGGUGGCAGCUGGAGUCGCAGUUCAACAGCAGCGUUGCCCCCCAGGAUGCUGUGCUCAACCUGCACACAUCCGCCAUGAAGCCGCUCGUCUGCAGCUUCAUCCUCGCCGCCUGGCUCUACCUAAUAAGCCAACCCCAGAUCGUCCUGCAUGCCUGGGACAGCGCAACACUCUCGAAGGCGUGGGACCAGGAUACCAUCGACCAGGCGGCCCGGAAGGUGCUCAGUGAGGGCAAGGCAGCACUCUUCCCACCACCACGCAGCACCCGUGAGGCAGGCGCCGUCGCCACAGCGGCCACCACGGAUAUGCUGGGCCUCACCGCCACCACCGCUGCUGCUGCUACUGCCGCCAUCACCCCCGUCACCACCAACCCCGCGGCGGAGGAUGAUGAUGACACCACCGACCCCAGCCGCUAUGCCAUUGUUGACGAUGACGAUGACAGCAUGCUUGAGCGUGUACUUGAGCACGUCACGGAGCUGGAUGCAAAGUUCAGCAUGCUACCAGCAGACAAGGUGGAGGCCAUGCGUGCAGCAAUGGCUGCCAAGCGGGCGGCCAAACUUAACGAGCAGGCCAAGCGGCAGGGCGGUGUGAAGGGCGGCCGGACCAAGCAGGGCAACAAGCACGGCCGGGGGACGAAGCGUGCAGAGCCGGAGGGUAGCAAUGAGGAGAUGGAGCACGAGGAGGAUGAGCCAGAGCCCAGCAGCAGCGAGGAGGAGAGCGAGGAAAGCGAGGCUCCAUCCGAUUGCGAGGAUGAGGGGGACGUGGAUGGGGAUAAGGGGGAGGAGAGCGAGGAUGAGGGUGAGGUCCGGGCGCUGGUGAAUGCUGUUCGCAGCAGAUCAGGGCGGGCAAGCGUUCGGCCGCUGCACUACCAAUAGAUGAGCAUAAUGUGAGGUGAGGGGUGGUGGUUCCUGUUUGGUGCAUCCAGCUGCACCGUAAUGCUUUUUUUCGGCAUAAUGUGAGGUGAGGGGUGAGGGUUCCUGUUUGGUGCAUCCAGCUGCAUCGUAAUGCCUUUUACGUCGGGGUUUCAGCCACAUGAAGACACGUUUCAGUAGCAACCACCCAAACACUGUAUUGGCCCGGCCGGUUGGUUAUUAGGUCGUUGCCACUGGUACUGAACUGUACGAUCGGUCCAGAAUUUGCUAGGGCGUUUCCAAAGUGCGAAAAUGGUGAGAGACCAUGAGCCUAAGGGUUCCCGGUGGAGGGAGACUGACUGGAAGCUGCAGUUUGAAAAGCCCCGAAACUUUGGAAGGGGCCCCGAAAUUUUGUAUCAUGCCCGCAAAAUCUUGUCCGGCCUUCCCCAAAAUUCAAAGAGCACGUACAAAUUUCAGCAAGUUUUUUGACCCCUCCCCGAACAAAGCGAUCACGAACUAUAAGUAGCACUACGGUACUUAGACUUUCCGUCCCUGUUCCUAGGUUGAACUUUCCUUCCGAACUUCAACCUCGCGACUUAGGUUGGGCAGCAGCAGGUAGUAUGCGCACAUUCGUUAGGGAUGCGAAGCAGUAUCUCCAGCUAGUUCGGGGUGGUGAUCGGGAACCGGUUCGUUGCCUGUUCAUCGCCAAUGCUUUGGACGGUGCCGCCAAAGCCUGGUAUGAUCAGUGGUCAACGACACGGAUUUCGGGUGUGAUUCGUCCUAGCACUUCUCCGUACUCUGCACCCAUCCUGUUUGUGGGUAAGAAAGAUGGUAGUCUACUCAUGUGCAUCGAUUACCGGGGUUUGAACGCUACAACCCCGGUAAUCGAUGCACAUGAGUAGACUACACUACAACCGUUAAGAAUCGUUAUCCCUUGCUGCGUGUCAAUGACUUACUCGAUAAGCUGCGCGGUUCCGCUUACUUUAGCUCGAUUGACCUUCAACAGGGGUAUAAUCAGAUCCGCAUUGCUGAGUCAGAUAUCCCGAAAACUGCCUUUCACACCCCCUUCGGUCACAUCGUCUCUGCCGAUGGAUGGAUCCCCGUAAAACUGCUGCUGUACGGGAUUGGCCAGCGCCCACCUCUCUGCAGGAACUUCGUAAGUUCCUGGGGUUGACGAACUAUUUUCGUAAGUUUAUUGCGCAUUAUUCCGUGAUAGCUGCACCGCUAACCAAUCUUACUCGUAAGGGUGCGUUUUCGCCCCCUGCCGCAGGCUUUCGAUGUGUUAAAGCGUGCGGUCGCUGACGACCUUAUCCUCCGCUUUUCCGACUACUCGUUGCCGUUCCGUGUCGAGGUAGUGACUGACGCUUCUCUUUACGGAUCCAGCGCUGUUCUGUUGCAGCAAGGCCGCCCUGUCGCCUUUACAAGUAGGAGUUUUCGGGCGCUGAAACAUGUUACACCACCGGGGAACAGGAAUUACUCGCUGUUUUACACGCUUUAAAAGAAUGGUGCUGCUACCUGGAAGGCAGGCCCUUUACGCUGAAAACUGAUCAUAAGCCCCUUACCUUUCUCCAAGGAGUGCCUCCAUUAAACCUUCGGCAGGCUAGAUGGAUGGAAUAUUUCGUGCGGUUUAAUUUCGACUGGGAGUACCUGUCUGGCUCGUUGAAUGUGGCUGACGCUCUUAGUCGGCAUCCUUCACUGCAUUCCGCCAUCCUGUCUGUCACGACUCGUUGCUCGUUGCACCGCUUCUCAGGAGCGGUCGGCUUCAGCCUCCGAUUCUGUCUGCGUGUAUUAAGGCUGCUAUUGCUAUGGACCCUUGGUUUACUGACGUUAAUAACACGGGUCACCUCCUUUUGCAAGACGGUCUUUGGCUCUGCAGGGAAGGCUCUUAUCGACAAAUCGUCGUUCCUAAUGAUGAUUCCCACGACGGUCCGUUGGCGGGGCACCCUGGCUGCACACGGAUGGUCGAAAUUCUUCGGCGUUCUUUUUGGUGGCCGCGGAUGGCUAAGGAUGCCGAGAAUUACAUCCUCUCCUGUGAUUCGUGCCAGCCCAACAAGUCUACCUCUGGUAAGCCCCAUGGACUACUACAGCCUUUGCCUGUCCCUGCAGCCCCUUGGGAGAGUGUCCAUGGACUUCGUUGUUGCGCUGCCCAAAACUGAGGGGGGAUAUGACGCAGUGUUGGUGAUGGUUGACUGCCUGACGAAAAUGGUCCACCUGGCACCCACCACAUCAUCCUGCACUGCAGAGCACACGGCACGUUUGUUCUUUGACAACAUUGUGCGCCUGCAUGGCGUUCCCAAGGCUGUCGUGACUGAUCACGGUAUACGUAGCCAGUUCACUAGUAAAUUCUGGGACACCCUGGGGAAGUUGGUAGGCAUGCGGGUAAAUCUUUCUACUGCCUACCACCCCCAGUCUGAUGGUCAGACCGAGCGUACCAAUAGGACCCUAGGCGAUAUGUUGCGUAAUUAUACUCUUAUACUCUUACCCCAAAGGUGGAUGCCCGGGUGGGCGAAAAGCCUACCAGCUGAGUAAAAAGAAAAUCCUCCAUCUCGGACGGGGACUGACGAAAUGUCACAAUGACAAGUUGGGUGUCAGCUUCAAGGAAGCCAGAAAAAGGGCGGGGCCCCUCUGCAUCCGUACAGGCAGGUAGCAAUCGACAUCCGGGUGCAUGCCAUGCUGUAAAGGUCAGACGAUACAACCACAUAAUGGGGGCAUCGAAAGAUACCGAUUGAGACAAGUGUCUUGAAUAAAUAGUCAUCAGUGACUCCACUUGGGCCUCGCGCCGAUAAGAAUCCCCAGUACGACUGGGCGGCGCUGUAUCCAGAAGCCAUAGUUUGCAGGAACUACUCUCGCUCAGUCAGACGAAACUGGGGCGCAUGUCCCAGCUUUAUGUAGGUAAAACCCCCGCCCAUAUGCAGGUAUGGACUUCCGCAGCGGUGCGGCAUUAAGGUGGCGGACGACUAACAGUAGUCGCUUUAGCCGCCUGCAGCUAACAAUAGCCGCAACGCGCCCAUAUGCAGAUAUGGACUUCCGCAGUAGUGCGGCACUCGAAUGGUGGACGACUAACAGUAGUCGCUUUAGCCGCCGCAGCUAACAGUAGCCGCAAGUAAACUAAUAGCAGUAUUAGUUAAAACCUGUAAUCACCGACCGCGGAAUAAACAGGUGUUUGUUAGUAAUAUUGAAGUUCGGUAAAUCGGAGUGGACGAGAUAACCACCGACAGUUAGGAUUCGGCGCCCAAAACCGUUGCAGAAAACCUUUACAGGAUACAACAUGCCGCAUGGACAUUCGGGUGCAUGCCGCAUCGCAUGGACAGUACGGCAGACCGCAAACGGAGCCGUUGCUUAACAUAUGAAGUUCGGUGCUGUCUGUGAUGUUUAGGUCUUGAAGCACCAGCGGCUACAGGAAAGCACCCCACUGCCGCAUGGCUUUGUAAUAACUAAACAGAUAAGUAAGAGCGGCAGAGUGCAACUCUUCGGAGGCCCCGUGCAUUGGCCAAAGUAAAUGUACAAACAAGCAGCUUGUGUAUUUCAUAGAGAAAUGAAAGCAAAUUAUGUUGGCCUGCUGGUGGCAAGUCGGAUUGCCCAUGCCGGCAAAUGGUAACACAAGCUGGGUGUUCGAGUUAUCAUACGCCGUCAUCUCAGAAUUCCAUUGUAAGAUACGCGGCAGCUUUCGGGAUGAAAUUUAGCGCGAGAGGCGUUGAUGUGACUUUUGAGGUCGGUGAAUGGAGGCAGCUAAACUUGUUUGUGCUCAUACGGUCUUUCUUAGCUACAUGCGAGAUACCUUGCAAUAGAGAAUGCUGUAUAGUACCUAUAACGCGUUUCAGCCAGGCGAGAUAUUAUGUUUGGUCCGUUACACACACACACACACACACACACACACACGGACAUGGGCAAUCCUACAGGUCGGGGCCCCCCUGGGCGCUUCGCGCUGGGGCCCCGCCCAAAAAAGGGGAAUUAACUCCUGAACCGCGUACAGCAGUAUGGAUCCGGAGACGCGCUUGCUGUCCACAUGUGGUGUGUCAUGCUUACGUACUCCAGCUUCCACAAUGUCACGAGUAUCAAUCAGAUCAGCUAACGUCUCAAUGAAGAGUCCAAACAGCUCCGUAGAUAAAGGGCACCCUUGCUUCAUUCCUUGCUUAAGCUUAGACUCAAACUCUCCUCCCACUUUCUCAUUCACAUUAAUCACCAUGGACACCUCCUGUACCUUUUCUCAGAGCAUCGAUGCUAGAUAUCUAGCAUGAUAUACGUGUAUCUAUAAGCACGUAUAUAUAUGCAUAUAUGCAUGCACAUCUUGACUAUGUGACUGUGUGCAUCCCUGCCUCCCCUUUAGCUGUUUCCCGCCAGGCAGAUGAUGAACAAGCCAAGGCUGGCAAGCAGCUUGCAAACAGUUUCGCUCGCUUAAAGAAAUGCAGGUAUAUAGAGUUAGUGCAUGUUAUUAGUUGCCAACAAUGGUGGCUAAUCCGACUGCGGCCACAAAGGGUAGGUCUAGACCACAGAUCUGCCA